GCUUUGUCAAGGGCAUUGUUGACUCUGAGGAUCUUCCCCUGAACAUCUCUCGUGAGACACUCCAGCAGAACAAGAUCCUCAAGGUCAUCCGGAAGAACCUUGUGAAGAAGUGCAUCGAGCUCUUCUUUGAGAUUGCCGAGAACAAGGAGGACUACAACAAGUUCUAUGAGGCUUUCUCCAAGAACCUCAAGCUUGGCGUCCACGAGGACUCCACCAACAGGACCAAGCUUGCUGAGCUCCUGAGGUACCACUCCACCAAGAGCGGUGAUGAGCUUACCAGCCUCAAGGACUACGUGACGAGGAUGAAGGAGGGCCAGAACGACAUCUACUACAUCACCGGUGAGAGCAAGAAGGCUGUGGAGAAUUCUCCCUUCCUUGAGAAGCUGAAGAAGAAGGGCUAUGAGGUGCUGUACAUGGUUGACGCCAUUGAUGAGUACUCCAUUGGCCAGCUCAAGGAGUUUGAGGGAAAGAAGCUGGUCUCUGCCACUAAGGAGGGCCUGAAGCUUGAUGACAGCGAGGAAGAGAAGAAGAGGAAGGAGGAGCUCAAGGAGAAGUUUGAGGGGCUCUGCAAGGUGAUCAAGGAGGUGCUGGGCGACAGGGUCGAGAAGGUGAUUGUCUCUGACCGCGUCGUCGACUCGCCGUGCUGCCUGGUGACCGGCGAGUAUGGCUGGACUGCCAACAUGGAGAGGAUCAUGAAGGCCCAGGCCCUGAGGGACACGAGCAUGGGCGGCUACAUGUCGAGCAAGAAGACGAUGGAGAUCAACCCGGAGAACGCCAUCAUGGAGGAGUUGCGCAAGCGCGCCGACGCUGACAAGAACGACAAGUCUGUCAAGGACCUGGUGAUGCUGCUGUUCGAGACCUCCCUGCUCACCUCUGGAUUCAGCCUCGACGACCCCAACACCUUCGGCACCAGGAUCCACCGCAUGCUCAAGCUGGGCCUGAGCAUCGACGAGGACGAGGAGGCUGCUGAGGCUGACACGGACAUGCCGCCGCUGGAGGAGGACGCCGGCGAGAGCAAGAUGGAGGAGGUCGACUAGGCGUGUGCGUUCGCUUGCUAUCCGAGUCGUAGAGCUAGCUUAUCUUUUGGGUUACUGUCGCGUGGUCGGUUUGUCUUUUAUGGUUUACUGUGCCUAGCCUGCUGUAAUGGGGCUAGGGGAGUGGUCUGUGGAGUCCCCGGAACUGCGUAUCGUAAUCGUUGCUUAUAUAUAUCGUCUUUACUACCUUUAUCGUCUCGUUUGCUCUUUUUUUUUUGCUUUCUGCUUCUUGCACUUUUCUCUCUUUUUUGUGAAUCCGGUAUUUCUAAGCUCAUUCUUUGGUGCUGACUUCGUUCUUUAGAGUCAGACAGCUUCGACUGCCUUAACCAAUUUACACAAGCCAGCCUUGGGCUGCUUUUAAUAUCAAGUUGGCUUCUGCAGCUUACGUUGAUUCCUGAUCUCCAGUGGCUGAUACUAAUCCUGGAUGUGCUAUCCGUGCCUCGUAUUUGUUGGUCCUGAUAGCUCUUGCGUUUUCAAUUUCAACAUUACAUCUCUUGCCUGCGUCUUUAAAAAAUUACCUCAAAUGAGUGUUUGCGUAUAUUCCUCAGACGUCUUGCUUGCGUAAAACAUAACAUUUGUGUUUGCGGCCUUACUAUUUCUUCAGGCGCCAGUCAAGGGCAACGAAGCAAGUUUUUCUUUUUUUCUUUCAGUGGAUCACACACUGAGAGUAUUAUUUUUUUUGAAACGGAGGCAAAAUAUUUGCCUCAUCCACACUGAGAGUAUUUGGUAUUUGUAUAUUUGCUCACAGUCAGGAAAUUGCCGGGAUCAACCAGCUCGAUGCAAAUAGGUUUGAAUUCUGCAAAAGCUUAAACAAUCUCAUAUAAGCUAUUGGGAUUGGGUCGUUAGAAUUUCUGUUCAAGGUAACGUGUGCUUCAUAUCUGAAUUUGAGAUCAAACAGAACAUAUGCUCUUCUGAAGAACACGCCUAGCAUCUAAAGCCAAGUCUGGUGCUGCAUAACAAAGUGGUGGCGCCGGAGCUUUAUUUUAAGAUAACCUAGCUCUAUGAGGUGCGCAGUUAUGUGCCCUGACAUUGAACUCCUUCUCUUUCAUAUUAGAAAAGAAAGCAACACAGGUUUAGGGUUUAGGUUCACCAGGUCAUCGAUAUGUUUCUUUGAACAUCAAAGAGACUCUUCCAAAAAUGCACUACCUGGGACUGUGAUCUAGAUUGCCUGGGGAGCCUAAAUGAAUAAUUGAAAGUGCCUUCCUGCCGCUAUUCUCUUUCAAGUUGAAUGUAAUAUGCCAAUUCUUGUUGUUUCUGCUGACAGGGAGUUAGUCGUUCCAUUCCGCUAGUAAGUUUGCAUGAAGAUUCAGAAAUCCCGACCGACUCCACUUUGACUCCUUUCUUUGAUAUAUAGCUCCAUGUGCCCUUAUUUGAGGCUGGUGUUGACUCUGAAGAUCUGAACAAUAAAGAACCAGUUUAGUAUUGUAUAACUCGCAGUACCUUAAAACGACAACGCGUUACACUUUUUAUCAUACUUCUAUUGAUGCCUUGUAUUCCUUGAGAAGGUUGACAUAAUUUUAAGAUGGUGUCUGUUGGUAUUAGUCCUAAAUAUUCUCGGAAAAUUUGUAGUCCUAGAUAUAUCGCUAGAAGAAUGGGAGUUCUGCUAGAAGAAAUAUGAGAAGAAUCUGCAGUUUAUACAGUUAAAAGAAUACGGCUACAUGCUGUUGAAUGUUGCAGGAAUUUGUCAGUUAGAAAGUACAAUUCUGGAUGAAUACGUCCUGUAUUCUCUCAUAUAUUUCGUGGCCAGUAUUCCAAAGUCCAUCAUAUCUUUAGGAAAAAAAAUCAAUGAUUUUCCCUCAGACAUCCACAUGAGUAUAUAUGUGCUUGCGUAUAUUACUCAGACGUCUUGGCAUGAUCCUCCACCAUAGCAAAAAAGAUACAUGACAUUUGUUUUUGCAGCCUCACUAAUUUUUGCUUGGAAUUCAGAAGGAUCGAAAAGAACCAGAUCAUAUUCAUAUUAACAUCAGCUGAAAUUUGGAAAUGUUAUUGUACAGAUUGCAAAGAUGAUACAACCAAAUUUUGAGAAGCUAAUCCCAUCAGUAAAAUUUGGUAAGUUCAAUUCCUAUUCUACAAGAAUUACGGAUGACCAAUACUGCAGAGCAGAGAAACGGUUAUCUGCAAGAAGGGACAAGCAUAUGUUCUGUUUCAUCUCAAAUUCAGAUAUGAAGCACACAGGGCAGUUGAACACUUUUAGAGGACCUCACACUUUUAACAGAAAUUUCUAAUGGUCUAAUCCCAAUACCAAUAGGAAGGACACCAUUUAAUGCUAGAGAAUGCAGCCCUAUAUGCGAUGGCUUAGACCUCUUCCAAUGCAAAGGUGUUUAGAUGAGGUGCUAAAUGCAUUAAAUACCUUAGCAACUCAAGUCCCGAAUGCAUAGGUGCUUAACUUAUUGUUGCUAAGCACACUUUAUUUAAUGAGUUAGCACAUAAAGUCUUUCAUGCAUUGGUCAAAUGAUUUCACUUAAGUGGUUUGCAUAGGUUCUCGCGCUUGGCAUUGGUUCUUCCUGGAGUCACCAAAGUACUCUCCCCCCUCCUUCAAUGUUAUGCCAUGUCAUUUUUUCGUUUAUGUGGCAUGCUUAGCACCUGUCCAUGGUGGAGCACUCGGAAGGGCCUUAGGCUUUUGCAAUAAAUUCAAACCUAUCGCAUCGAGCUGGAUGAUCCUGGCAAUUUCCUGAUUGUGCACUUCUGAAGAACACGCCUUGCAUCUAAAGCCUCUCCCCAUUUGCCAGCAGCAGCAUAAAUGUCUGAUAUCAAGACAUGGCAGCCAGCCUGCCGUGUGUUGAGACCAAUAAUUUCACUCUGGACUCUUUCAGCCACAUCAAAUCUCUUGUGCAUUCGACAGGCACCUAGUAGUGCGCCCAAAAUCAUGACAUCUGGGGCCAUCGGCAUGCUCCUUAUCAGCUCCUCUGCCUCUUCAAGAAGCCCUGCUCGGCCUAGCAUGUCAACCAUGCAGCCAUAAUGCUUUGCCUCUGGCUGCACUCCGCAAGAUGACAUGCUCUGAAAGCAUCGUCGACCCUCAUCCACCAGCCCGCUGUGGGCACAAGCAGUCAGCACACCAACGAACGUUAUGUCAUUCGGUUUCUCUCCUGACCUCUUCAUCUGCUCAAACAAACCGAUGCAAUCCUGAACAUCACCAUUCACUGCCAACCCAGUGAUGAGUGCAUUCCAGGUGGAGAUAUUCUUCUGGUCCAAGGAGUGGAAGAUUUUGACAGCCAUGUCAGUUUUCCCACACUUGGCAUACAUGUCAAUGAGGGCAGCACCGAGAUUGAACUCAUUGUCGAGCACCAUCUUGUGCUUGUCAAUGUAAGUGUGAGCCCACCUCCCUUCUUCCAGAGCUGUUAAAUGUGCACAUGCUGAGAGCACGCUCACCAUGGUCACCUCAUUAGGACGGCCACUGCUCUCGCUCUGCAUUUCCCUGAACAGCUCAAGGGUUUCCACGUAGCGUCCAGCCUGUGCAUACCCAGAAAUCAUGCACGUCCAGGAAACCACAUCUUUCUCCCGCAUCACAUCAAACAGCUUCCGUGCACCAUCCAUCUCACCGUUCACUGCAUACCCCCGCAUCAUUGUGUUCCACGAUACCAGAUUCCGUACCGGCAUCUCAUCAAACAUCUUCCUAGCCAGUGGCAGUAGCCCAUGCCGCGCGAAUCCUGUAAUCAUCGAGUUCCAUGUCACAAUGUUCCUCCCAAUGGCCGGCAUCUCAUCGAACAUUUCCCUGGCCACAUCCAACUCGCCAGAACCGGCGUAUGCCCCAACCAUCGCGCUCCAGGACACCCCAUUCCUCUGCGGCAUUUCCUUGAACACCAUCUGGGCGUUCCUGAUGUCCCCGCACUUCACAUAGCCGCCGAGCACUGUGUUCCAAGACACCACGUCGGUGACCCCUGCGCACGAAUCGAACACCUCCCGCAUGGAGCCCGUGUCCCGGAAGGCGGCGUACAUCGCGAGGAGCGCAUUGACGACAAAGACGUCGAUCAAGAAGCCGCGCCGGACGGCCUGUGCGUGCACCUGCGCGCCCGUGCGCGGGAAAGAAGCGAGCCUGGACGCCGACUUGAGGAGGGAAGGGAAGGUGAAUCGGUCGGGAAUAUCGCCAGAGCGGAGAAUGGAGGAGAAGGCGGCGAAGGCGAGGCGGGGAGACGGGGAGGUUGCGGAGGCUCGGAUGAGCAGGUUGUGGAGGAAGAUGCAUGAGGAGGGGAAGAGCGGGAAGUAGAGGCUGGAGAGGGAGGCGGCGAGGUGGGGGUGGGAAGGGAGUAGGGGCACGAUGCGGCGGAGAUGGGCGGUGUUGCGGAGGAGGUCGCCGGAGACGAGGAGGCGACCGAGGAGGAGAGGGAGGAGGCGAGGCGGCGGUGCCAUUCCGUUUUGGGUUUGACCGCGGAGGGGAGUUUUUGUACCACGAAAAAUUGAGAGCUCUGACAAGCUUAACCAUUCGAUUGGCAUCUGACGGCUGAGAGUAGGUGUGGAAGGGGACAAAUAGUCGAUUGCUAUACAAUUUGGGUUUGGGGCGUGCUAUACGUCCGCCGGCUGGUCUUUCGGCUGAUCUUUCUAAAAGAUCGGAUUGAACCGCGAACUGUCUGAUUAUAUGUCAUAAGCCGUUUGAUUUGGAUCACGCUACGCGUCCGCCGACCGGUAGCUAGAAAACAUCCACCGCCUUGCUGGCCAUUGGAUGGACGCGGGGAUGUCCAUCCGAUUAACCCACUCACAAGGGCCACCUUCCUUUUGCAACAAGGACGGUGUUGCCGAACAAGUCCUGCAACAGGAUGCUUGUGGCAAAACGUCGGAACCGCUAUUUACCUUUUUGAAACACAGUCUGUGUUGCAGUUUUUUUUGCAACUCAGGUCUUGUUUCAGUUUUUUUAUAACUGAGGUUUGUUGAAAAAAAAUGUCUUCGCUUUUUUGCAACAUAUAUUAUGUUGCGGGAGAAACUUCUGCAACAUUGGAGUUGUGGCAGAAAAAUUAGAGGAGGGUCACGAGGAGUCAGGGGCACAUGUCAAGUGGGGCGCGUGUCGUACAAACGUAACAUGUGUUGUGUUGCAGAUUUUUUUAUUGGACGUGCUACGCGUCAGCGUGCGAAUCUUUUUAAAGGAUUCGCCGGAUCUCGUGGCUUAGUGAUGUCCUCAUUUCUGAAACAGAUGGUGUGUUGCAAGUUUCCUUUUGCAACACAAGUCUUAUUGCAAAAAUAUUUGCAAUGAGGUUAGUGUUGCAAAUAUAUUUUUUGCAGCAGAGGUCUUGUGGCAUUUUUUUGCAACAGAGGUCUUGUUGCAUAUAUUUUUUGCAACACGCGUCUUGUUGCAUCUUUUACGUCUCCAAUUUUUUGCAACAUCGGUGUUGUUGCGGAAGGUAUUUUUGCAACGCGGAUGUUGUUGCAGAAAAAUUACAGUAAAGAUGUAGUGGCGGGCCACGCAUGGGACAUGCGUCACACGCUCAAGGCAGCGGACACGCGGUGUUGGAUCAGCCGGCUGUUCACAAGCUUUUCCCGUUUGAUUUCCUGUUCUCUAAUUUUCUGUAACAGUGCCUUUGUUGCAAAACUCCAUUGCAACAAAAUCUUUGUUACAAAAGUAUCUUUGACAUUUUCUUUGUAUUUCAGAAACAAGACUUUUGUUGCAAAAAUUGCAACAUCUGAGGCCUCUUCUCUACAUCUACAUACCUGCAACAAGAACUUUGUUGCAAAAAAAAUCCUCUUCUCUUUACUCCUACAAUAAAACCUUUGUUGUAAAGAACACUCUUCUCUUUAUUCCUGCAACAAGACCUUUAUUGUAUAAAAAAAUCUCUUUGCUACAUUCCUGCAACAAGAUCCUUUGCAAAAGUUACAACAUCUCCGACCUCUCCUCUGCAUUCCUGCAAUAAGACCUUUGUUGCAAAAAUUCCGUCUAAAGCAAUUGUAGCAUUAGCCCGUGGAUUUCGUCUACAAAUCAGCGAUGAGCGACACACGCCUAUAGCGUCCGGGGCCUGGCCUACAACACAUGCACCUUGAAGCAGGCACUCCAUGGACCUAGACGAUGAGGUUCCGUAGGUGACAGGAGCAUCAUCAAUUUAUUCAUACACACUCCAUGGAUCCUGCAACAAGACCUUUGUUGCAUCUGGUGCUUGCUACUUGUUGCUAGCAGCGCCUCCUCGCAGCAGCGUCUUCGCGGUGUCGGCUGUCCAUGGAAGCACGAAGGAGGAAAAGGAGAGAGCAUUGUCUUAUAUGUUGCCGGAGUAGGGAGAGAAUUGGGAAAAAGAAGAUAUGAGGAAGACGGAUCGAAUGAGUGGAUAAGGUCGAGUGAGAAGAUAGCGUUUCGGGAAGUUUCUCGUCUCCUCUACGCCUUCACUUGGUUGGUCCGAUCAAAACGAAUCAGACGGUCCGGCGUGUGAACAAUGGAGCAAGUGGGAUCAGCCGACUCAUUGGAUCAUUUCCCCAAUAUUUUCCCCUCGUCGUUUUUAAGUUUAUGAAGUUUGUUAGCGGGCUUAAAUUUCCAAGUUCAUACUAUUUUUGACUUAUAGCUUCUACUGUAUAAAUGCAUUGCUUCCUGGAUGUCUAGAAACUGAAGAUCUCCAUGUACAUGCUUUACAUUAAUGGUAAAAGACAAUAGGACCCAUUGACAUCAACUGUCUAGUGAUGUUGGAUGCUCUCAGUGUCUUCAUUACUUACUCCCUUAAGGUUCCUGAUGUCUUUCAUUCCUAUAGUUCUUGAGCAUCCCUUUUGCUUCUUUUUGGCUUGCACAAUAUAAUAAUGAAGAUUUGUGGGUACAUUUCUUAAGUUUUUUUGAGAAUUGUGUGACAUACUUAGACAAUCUGGGACCUUGAAGGCUUGUUGAGAAGGGAGAGAAAAAUAGCAGUAGAAAUGGUGAAAGGAUCAAUAUGGUUGACUAGAGGGGGGUGGUGAAUAGGCAACUAACAAUUUUUAGCUUUUCUUGACCAAAUUAAACUUAGCAUCAAAGUAGGUUGUCUAGAUGUGCAACUAGGUGAACAACCUAUAUGAUGCAACAACAACAAGCACACAAGCAAGCUAGGAAAACAACACAAUAUAAUCUUGCACAAGUAAAGGUAAGAAAUAACCAAUAGCGAAGCCGGUGGAGACGAGGAUGUGUUACCGAAAUUCUUUCCCUUUGAGAGGAAGUACGUCUCCGUUAGAGUGGCGUGGAGGCACAAUGCUCCCCAAGAAGCCACUAGGGCCACCGCAUUCUCCUCACGCCCUCACACAAUGCAAGAUAUCAUGAUUCCAUUAUUGGUGCCCUUGAAGGUGAAACUUUACAAACAAGGUUGGGGCUAUCUCCACAAUUCAAUUGGAGGCUCCCAACAAUACCACGGAGCUUCACCACAAUGGAAUGCGGCUCCGAGGUGACCUCAACCGUCUAGGGUGCUCAAGCACCCAAGAGUAACAAGAUCCGCAAGGGAUUAGUGGGGGGAAUCAAAUUUCUCUUGGUGGAAGUGUAGAUCCAGGACUUCUCAACCAAUCCCUAAAGAAUCAACAAGUUUGAUUGGCUAGGGAGAAAGAUGGGGCGAAAAUGAGCUUUAGAGCAACAAUGGAGCUUGGGGGAAAAGAGGUAAGUCAACUUGAGGAAGAAGACCUCCUUUUAUAGUUGGGGGACAAUCCAACGGUUACCCCCUUUUCAGCCCGCACAGAGCGGUACUACUGCUCAGUGGGGCGAUACUACCGCUGGUGCCAGUGGUACUACCGCGGUGACUGAGAACAUAUGCCUCUAAGGGGGAAUGGGAGGGAGAGAGAGGGUUUGGGCGGCACUAGUAGCGGUGGUAGCCGCGGUACUACCGCUCACGGGCGGUACUACCGCUGCUACUGCCGCACAACCCGACAUGAGGAGAGCACCCUCGAAUCAAGGCGAUAGCAGUGCCAACCAAGGACGAUACUGCCGCCAAUGCACCCAAGCGGUACUACCGCUGUGGAACGGUGGUAUUACCGCUUGAGGACCAUGGGCGGUACUACCGCUCUGGCGGCAGUACUACCGCUAGCACCUCACAACCUCCACUUCGAUGAAAUCACAAACUCCAAGGAAAUGAAAUGAGCUAGGGUGCAAAUAUGAAGUGUACGUGUUGAUUCCACCCUAGCUUUUACAAUGCGGACCCCCUCUUGAUAGUAUAGUGUCUCCUACGACUCAAGUCCACCAAAACCGAAACGAAAGAGACUACACCGUCUUCACUUAAAACUCCGAGGGGCAACGAAUAGUCUUGUGCCUAGACAUGGGAUACCUGAAAUGCUCAAUGCACAUGAUUAGUCCGCAAAAGCAUUGUCAUCAAUCACCAAAAACCACAUAGGGAGAAAUAUGCCCUUACAAUCUCCCCCUUUCUGGUGAAUUGAUGACAAUACGGGAUUUGCACAUAAGGAUAUGAAAUGAACAUAAGCAAACCCAACAACUAUAAAAUAUAGAUAGGCUCCCCUAGAUGUGUGCAAUCUAUAGAUAUGCUUUGGACUGCACGACGCACAUACUAGGAUCAACACUCCCCCUAUAUUUUAUAGACGAGGCAAAACACGCAACCAUAUUAGAGACAAUAAGCAUGGAGGCAAGGUAAAGUAAGUGAGCAUGAAGUAAGGGGCACAAAAGCUCACAAUAUACUAAACAUACUAGACAAUAAGAUAAGCUUGACAGCAUAUGUCUGUCUUGCACCAUAUGAUAGUCUCCUGGUCUCACACGAACACAACCACAAACCAGCAAACCAAAGCAACGAAGGUUCAAAGGAACGAAAGCAAAGCGACACAAGACUCGACACAAGGCUCGCAAAUCCUACAUUCUCUCCCCCUUUGGCAUCGAGACACCAAAAAGGCAGAGAGGACACCUACGACACAAGUGGUGGUAGACCUCCAAAGCAUCACCAGUCAUGUUCCUCCUCCUCAGACUCCUCUGCAGCACGGGAUGAAGAGCGAACUCUGGUAUCCUCCUCAGACUCACUCCACUGGUAGUGCUGACGGAUCCAUGGUUCCUCAUCUGUGAUUGUCUCCUCGGAGCCACUCGCAACCUCAAGACCAACCUACCUCAUAAUUGCCUUGUCGCGACGACGAGCCAUCUUGGCGUUCACAUGAGCCUUGUACUAUCCCUUGGCCUGCAUGCAGAUCAGAGCCUUCAUCUUGGCCUUAAGCUUCUUAGCCCAUGAGGGCUCUGCUCCAGAGGGCACAUAAUCCUCAUCAUCGUCAGCAUCAGCCUCUGCCUCAACCUCGUCAACACCUAACGGAAACCCAGACUUCGGAACCGAAGUGCCCCAGUUCUCCUUCUUCCUUAGACGCUUGAUAUCAUGAGAGAUCAACUCGCUAGUCUCCAGCACGACACCAGGAUAAGUGUGCUCCCAAGCCUUCUCAAUAAGCAACAUGAUAAAUGGACCAUAGAUAAGGCACUUGCGCUCGGAGAUAGCGGAGAGAAGCUCAGACCACAUGACAUGAGAGAUAUCCAGGGAACCUCCAGUGUUUUCUUCCUUCUCAUGCUGACAGAAAAGUAAUAUGUCCAUGAGGAAUGAGUGAACCAUAUCCAAGUUCCCAAUGCGUGGGAAAAGAGUCUCCCUGAAGAUGCGAUGAAGAAUGUCAAGUAGAUAGGCAACUCAUACGUCUCCUUCCACGUCUCGGGGUUAAUCUUCACAGUGCAGAAUGGCCAGAGAGCUUACUCGUGGGUAGAGGUUGUCUUUCGGUGAGGACGAAAGCCAACCGGGUUCUCAAGCCCUUGAUCUUCAAUCUCAAACAAUUCCAUGAACGCCUUCCAUUUGACAGACAGAAGCUUGCCAUUAGUCAUCCAAGUCAAGGUUCUUUCCGCAUCAGUGCCCAAAUGAACUUUGGCAUAGAACUGAGCCACCAAAUCCGCAUCAAAGUCCUUGUUGAACUCCAUGAUCCUGAGAAUAUUCAGUUGAGAGUACAUCUGCAGAGCUUUAGGCAGGAUCCUUCUCCAUAUAGGCAAUGUCGAUGGAGCGGACAUUGGCAAAACGAUUCUUCUUUGCCUUGAUCACAUCAAAAUAGAUUGCUGAUGACCCACAAGUUUAGGGGAUCAAUCGUAGUCCUUUCGAUAAGUAAGAGUGUCGAACCCAACAAGGAGCAGAAGGAAAUGAUAAGCGGUUUUUGGUAAGGUUUUCUCUGCAAGCACUGAAAUAGUAGGUGAUAGAUAGUUUUGUGAUAAGAUAAAUAGUAACAAGUAACAAGUAAAUAAAGUAAAUAAAGUGCAGCAAGGUGGCCCAAUCCUUUAUGUAGCAAAGGAUAAGCCCGGACAAUUUCUAAUAAUGAGAAAGGAGCUCCCGAGGACACAUGGGAAUUAUCGUCAAGCUAGUUUUCAUCACGUUCAUAUGAUUCGCGUUCGGUACUUUGAUAAUUUGAUAUGUGGGUGGACCGGUGCUUGGGUACUGCCCUUACUUGGACAAGCAUCCCACUUAUGAUUAACCCCUAUUGCAAGCAUCCGCAACUACAAAAGAAGUAUUAAGGUAAACCUAACCACAACAUUAAACAUAUGGAUCCAAAUCAGCCCCUAAUGAAGCAACGCAUAAACUAGGGUUUACGCUUCUUUCAUUCUAGCAACCCAUCAUCUACUUAUUACUUCCCUAUGCCUUCCUCUAGGCCCAAAUAAUGGUGAAGUGUCAUGUAGUCGACGUUCACAUAACACCACUAGAGGAAAAGACAACAUACAUCUCAUCAAAAUAUCGAACGAAUACCAAAUUCACAUGACUACUAAUAGCAAGACUUCACCCAUGUCCUCAGGAACAAACGUAACUACUCACAAAGCCUAUUCAUGUUCAUAAUCAGAGGAGUAAUAAUAUGCAUAAAGAAUUUGAGCAUAUGAUCUUCCACCAAGUAAACCAAUUAGCAUCAACUACAAGGAGUAAUCAACACUACUAGCAACCCACAGGUACCAAUUUGUGGUUUUGAUACAAGAUUGGAUACAAGAGAUGAACUAGGGUUUUGAGAGGAGAUGGUGCUGGUGAAGAUGUUGAUGGAGAUUGACCCCCUCCCGAUGAGAGGAUUGUUGGUGAUGACGUUGGUCAUGAUUUCCCCCUCCCGGAGGGAAGUGUCCCCGACAGAACAGCUCCGUUGGAGCAAUAGAUUGGUUCCGCCAAGGUUCCGCCUCGUGGCGGCGGAGUUUCAUCCCGUAAGGUGAAGGAAAUAUGCCCUAGAGGCAAUAAUAAAGUUAUUAUUUAUUUCCUCAUAUCAUGAUAAAUGUUUAUUAUUCAUGCUAGAAUUGUAUUAGCCAGAAACAUGAUACAUGUGUGAAUACAUAGACAAACAUAUAGUCACUAGUAUGCCUCUACUUGACUAGCUCAUUAAUCAAAGAUGGUUAUGUUUCCUAACCAUAGACAUGUGUUGUCAUUUGAUUAAUGGGCUCACAUCAUUAGGAGAAUAAUGUGAUUGACAUGACCCAUUCCGUUAGCCUAGCACUUGAUCGUUUAGUAUAUUGUUAUUGCUUUCUUCAUGACUUAUACAUGUUCCUGUAACUAUGAGAAUUAUGCAACUCCCGUUUACCGGAGGAACACUUUGGGUACUACCAAACGUCACAACGUAACUGGGUGAUUAUAAAGGAGUACUACAGGUGUCUCCGAAGGUACAUGUUGAGUUGGCGUAUUUCGAGAUUAGGUUUUAUCACUCCGAUUGUCGGAGAGGUAUCUCUGGGCCCUCUCGGUAAUGCACAUCAUUAUAAGCCUUGCAAGCAAUGUGACCAAAUGAGUUGGUUACGGGAUAAUGCAUUACAGAACGAGUAAAGAGACUUGCCGGUAACGAGAUUGAACUAGGUAUUGGAUACCGACGAUCAAAUCUCGGGCAAGUAACAUACCGAUGACAAAGGGAACAACGUAUGUUGUUAUGCGGUUUGACCGAUAAAGAUCUUCGCAGAAUAUGUAGGAACCAGUAUGGGCAUCCAGGUCCCGCUAUUGGUUAUUGACCGAGAAUGGUUCUAGGUCAUGUCUACAUAGUUCUCGAACCCGUAGGGUCCGCACGCUUAAUGUUACGAUGACAGUUUUAUUAUGAGUUUAUAAGUUUUGAUGUACCAAAGUUUGUUCGGAGUCCCGGAUGUGAUCACGGACAUGACGGGGAGUCUCGAAAUGGUCGAGACAUAAAGAUUGAUAUAUUGGACGACUAUAUUCGGACACCGGAAGUGUUCCGGGUGAUUUCGGAGAAAACCGAAGUGCUGGAGGGUUACCGGAACCCCCCCGGAGAGUUAAUGGGCCACAUGGGCGUUGGUGGGAAGAGAGAGGGGCGGCCAGGAAGGGCCGCGCGCCCCCUCUCCCUCUGGUCCGAAUUGGACUAGGAGGGGGGGGGCGCCCCCCUCUUUCCUUACCCUCCUCUCCCCCUUCCUUCCCCUCCUAGUAGGAGUAGGAAAGGAGGAGUCCUACUCCUACUAGGAGGAGGACUCCUCCUCCUGGCGCGCCCAACAAGGGCCGGCCGGCCUCCCCCCUCCCUCCUUUAUAUACGGGGGCAGGGGGCACCCCACAGACACACAAGUUGAUCUACGCAUCGUUCCUUAGCCGUGUGCGGUGCCCGCCUCCACCAUAUUCCACCUCGGUCAUAUCGUCGCAGAGUUUAGGAGAAGCCCUGCGCCGGUAGAGCAUCAUCAUCGUCACCACGCCGUCGUGCUGACGGAACUCAUCCCCGAAGCUUUGCUGGAUCGGAGCCCGGGGAUCGUCAUCGAGCUGAACGUGUGCUGAACUCGGAGGUGUCGUACGUUCGGUACUUGGAUCGGUCGGAUCGUGAAGACGUACGACUACAUCAACCGCGUUGUGUUAACGCUUCCUUUUGCGGUCUACGAGGGUACAUGGACAUCACUCUCCCCUCUCGUUGCUAUGUCAUCACCAUGAUCUUGCGUGUGCGUAGGAAUUUUUUUGAAAUUACUACGUUCCCCAACAGUGGUAUUAGAGCCUAGGUUUUAUGCGUUGAUGUUAUAUGCACAAGUAGAACACAAGUGAGUUGUGGGCGAUAUAAGUCAUACUGCUUACCAUCAUGUCAUACUUUGGUUCAGUGGCAUUGUGAGAUGAAGCGGCCCGGACCGACAUUACGCGUACGCUUACGCGAGACUGGUUUCACCGCUGUGAGCACUCGUUGCUUAAAGGUGACCGGCGGGUGUCUGUCUCUCUCACUUUAGUUGAACCGAGUGUGGCUACGCCCGGUCCUUGCGAAGGUUAAAACAGCACCAACUUGACAAACUAUCAUUGUGGUUUUGAUGCAUAGGUAAGAACGGUUCUUGCUAAAGCCCGUAGCAGCCACGUAAAAUUUGCAACAACAAAGUAGAGGAUGUCUAACUUGUUUUUGCAGGGCAUGUUGUGAUGUGAUAUGGUCAAGACGUGAUGCUAUAUUUUAUUGUAUGAGAUGAUCAUGUUUUGUAACCGAAGUUAUCGGCAACUGGCAGGAGCCAUAUGGUUGUCGCUUUAUUGUAUGAAAUGCAAACGCCCUGUAAUUGCUUUACUUUAUCACUAAGCGGUAGCGAUAGUCGUAGAAGCAAUAGAUGGUGUAACGACAACGAUGCUACGAUGGAGAUCAAGGUGUCGCGCCGGUGACGAUGGUGAUCACGACGGUGCUUCGAAGAUGGAGAUCACAAGCACAAGAUGAUGAUGGCCAUAUCAUAUCACUUAUAUUGAUUGCAUGUGAUGUUUAUCCUUUAUGCAUCUUAUCUUGCUUUGAUUGACGGUAGCAUUUUAAGAUGACCUCUCACUUAAUAAUCAAGAAGUGUUCUCCCUGAGUAUGCACCAUUGCGAAAGUUCUUCGUGCUGAGACACCACGUGAUGAUCGGGUGUGAUAGGCUCUACGUUCAAAUACAAUGGGUGCAAAACAGUUGCACACACGGAAUACUCAGGUCAUACUUGACGAGCCUAGCAUAUACAGAUAUGGCCUCGGAACACGGAGACCGAAAGGUCGAACAUGAAUCAUAUAGUAGAUAUGAUCAACAUAGUGAUGUUCACCAUUGAAACUACUCCAUCUCACGUGAUGAUCGGACAUGGUUUAGUUGAUUUGGAUCACGUGAUCACUUAGAUGACUAGAGAGAUGUGUGUCUAAGUGGGAGUUCUUAAGUAAUAUGAUUAAUUGAACUUAAAUUUAUCAUGAACUUAGUACCUGAUAGUAUCUUGCUUGUCUAUGUUUGUUUGUAGAUAGAUGGCUCGUGCUGUUGUUCCGUUAAAUUUUAAUGCGUUCCUUGAGAAAGCAAAGUUGAAAGAUGAUGGUAGCAAUUACACGGACUGGGUCCGUAACCUGAGGAUUAUCCUCAUUGCUGCACAGAAAAGUUACAUCCUGGAAGCACCGCUGGGUGCCAGGCCUGCUGCUAAUGCAACUGACGACGUUAAGAACGUCUGGCAGAGCAAAGCUGAUGACUACUCGAUAGUUCAGUGUGCCAUGCUUUACGGCUUAGAACCGGGUCUUCAACGACGUUUUGAACGUCAUGGAGCAUAUGAGAUGUUUCAGGAGUUGAAGUUAAUAUUUCAAGCAAAUGCCCGGAUUGAGAGAUAUGAAGUCUCCAAUAAGUUCUAUAGCUGCAAGAUGGAGGAGAAUAGUUCUGUCAGUGAACACAUACUCAAAAUGUCUGGGUAUAAUAAUCACUUGAUCCAACUGGGAGUUAAUCUUCCUGAUGAUAGUGUCAUUGACAGAAUUCUCCAAUCACUGCCACCAAGCUACAAGAGCUUCGUGAUGAACUAUAAUAUGCAAGGGAUGAACAAGACUAUUCCCAAGCUCUUCGCAAUGCUAAAGGCUGUGGAGGUAGAAAUCAAAAAGGAGCAUCAAGUGUUGAUGGUUAACAAGACCACCAGUUUCAAGAAAAAGGGCAAAGGGAAAAAGAAGGGGAACUUUAAAAAGAACAGCAAGCAAGUUGCUGCUCAAGAGAAGAAACCCAAGUCUGGACCUAAGCCUGAAACUGAGUGCUUCUACUGCAAGCAGACUGGACACUGGAAGCGGAACUGCCCCAAGUAUUUGGCGGAUAAGAAGGAUGGCAAAGUGAACAAAGGUAUAUGUGAUAUACAUGUUAUUGAUGUGUACCUUACUAAUGCUCGCAGUAGCACCUGGGUAUUUGAUACUGGUUCUGUUGCUAAUAUUUGCAACUCGAAACAGGGACUACAAAUUAAGCGAAGAUUAGCUAAGGACGAGGUGACGAUGCGCGUGGGAAAUGGUUCCAAAAUCGAUGUGAUCACGGUCGGCACGAUACCUCUACAUCUACCAUCGGGAUUAGUUUUAGACCUAAAUAAUUGUUAUUUGGUGCCAGCGUUGAGCAUGAACAUUAUUUCUGGAUCUUGUUUGAUGCGAGACGGUUAUUCAUUUAAAUCAGAGAAUAAUGGUUGUUCUAUUUAUAUGAGUAAUAUCUUUUAUGGUCAUGCACCCUUGAAGAGUGGUCUAUUUUUAUUGAAUCUCGAUAGUAGUGAUACACACAUUCAUAGUGUUGAAACCAAAAGAUGCAGAGUUGAUAACGAUAGUGCAACUUAUUUGUGGCACUGCCGUUUAGGUCAUAUCGGUGUAAAGCGCAUGAAGAAACUCCAUACUGAUGGGCUUUUGGAAUCACUUGAUUAUGAAUCACUUGGUACUUGCGAACCGUGCCUCAUGGGCAAGAUGACUAAAACGCCGUUCUCCGGAACUAUGGAGCGAGCAACUGAUUUAUUGGAGAUCAUACAUACUGAUGUCUGUGGUCCAAUGAAUGUUGAGGCUCGCGGCGGGUAUCGUUAUUUUCUCACCUUCACAGAUGAUUUGAGCAGAUAUGGGUAUAUCUACUUAAUGAAACAUAAGUCUGAAACAUUUGAAAAGUUCAAAGAAUUUCAGAGUGAAGUGGAAAAUCAUUGUAACAAGAAAAUAAAGUUUCUACGAUCUGAUCGUGGAGGAGAAUAUUUGAGUUACGAGUUUGGUCUACACUUGGAACAAUGUGGAAUAGUUUCGCAACUCACGCCACCCGGAACACCACAAUGAAAUGGUGUGUCCGAACGUCGUAAUCGUACUUUACUAGAUAUGGUGCGAUCCAUGAUGUCUCUUACUGAUUUACCGCUAUCGUUUUGGGGUUAUGCUUUAGAGACGGCCGCAUUCACGUUAAAUAGGGCACCAUCAAAAUCCGUUAAGACGACGCCUUAUGAACUGUGGUUUGGCAAGAAACCAAAGUUGUCUUUUCUUAAAGUUUGGGGCUGCGAUGCUUAUGUGAAGAAACUUCAACCAGAUAAGCUCGAACCCAAAUCGGAGAAAUGUGUCUUCAUAGGAUACCCAAAAGAGACUAUUGGGUACACCUUCUAUCACAGAUCUGAGGGCAAGAUUUUCAUUGCUAAAAUCGGAUCCUUUCUAGAGAAGGAGUUUCUCUCGAAAGAAGUGAAUGGGAGGAAAGUAGAACUUGAUGAGAUAACUGUAUCUACUCCCUUGUUGGAAACUAGUUCAUCACAAGAACCAGUUCCUGUGACAACUACACCAACUAGUGAGGAAGUUGAUGAUAUUGAUCAUGAAACUUCAGAUCAAGUUUCUACUGAACCUCGUAGGUCUACCAGAGUAAGAUCCGCACCAGAGUGGUACGGUAAUCCUAUUCGGAAGUCAUGUUACUUGACCAUGAUGAACCUACGAACUAUGAGGAAGCGAUGAUGAGCCCAGAUUCCGCAAAAUGGCUAGAGGCCAUGAAAUUUGAGAUGGGAUCCAUGUAUGAAAACAAAGUAUGGACUUUGGUUGACUUGCCCGAUGAUCGGCAAGCCAUUGAGAAUAAAUGGAUCUUUAAGAAUAAGAUUGACACUGAUGGUAAUGUAACUGUCUAUAAAGCUCGACUUGUUGCAAAAGGUUUUCGACAAGUUCAAGGGGUUGACUACGAUGAGACUUUCUCACCCGUAGCGAUGCUUAAGUCUGUCCGAAUCAUGUUAGCUAUUGCUGCAUUUCAUGAUUAUGAAAUUUGGCAAAUGGAUGUUAAAACUGCAUUCUUGAAUGGAUUUCUGGAAGAAGAGUUGUAUAUGAUGCAACCAGAAGGUUUUGUUGAUCCAAAAGGUGCUAACAAAGUGUGCAAGCUCCAGCGAUCCAUUUAUGGACUGGUGCAAGCAUCUCAGAGUUGGAAUAAACGUUUUGAUAGUGUGAUCAAAGCAUAUGGUUUUAUACAGACUUUUGGAGAAGCCUGUAUUUACAAGAAAGUGAGUGGGAGCUCUGUAGCAUUUUUGAUUUUAUAUGUAGAUGACAUAUUAUUAAUUGGAAAUGAUAUAGAAUUUCUGGAUAGCAUAAAGGGAUACUUGAAUAAAAGUUUUUCAAUGAAAGACCUCGGUGAAGCUGCUUACAUAUUGGGCAUCAAGAUCUAUAGAGAUAGAUCAAGACGCUUAAUAGGACUUUCACAAAACACAUACAUUGACAAAAUUUUGAAAAAGUUCAAAAUGGAUCAGGCAAAGAAAGGUUUCUUGCCUGUGCUACAAGGUGUGAAGUUGAGUCAAACUCAAUGCCCGACCACAGCAGAAGAUAGAGAGAAAAUGAAAGAUGUUCCCUAUGCUUCAGCCAUAGGCUCUAUCAUGUAUGCAAUGCUGUGUACCAGACCUGACGUAUGCUUAGCAAUAAGUUUGGCAGGAAGGUACCAAAGUAAUCCAGGAGUGGAUCACUGGACAGCGGUCAAGAACAUCCUGAAAUACCUAAAAAGGACUAAGGAUAUGUUUCUCGUAUAUGGAGGUGACAAAGAGCUAGUCGUAAAUGGUUACGUUGAUGCAAGCUUUGACACUGAUCCGGACGAUUCUAAAUCGCAACGGAUACGUGUUUUUAUUAAACGGUGGAGCUGUAAGUUGGUGCAGUUCUAAACAAAGCGUCGUGGCGGGAUCUACAUGUGAAGCGGAGUACAUAGCUGCUUCUGAAGCAGCAAAUGAAGGAGUCUGGAUGAUGGAGUUCAUUACCGAUCUGGGUGUCAUACCUAGUGCAUCGGGACCAAUGAAUAUCUUCUGUGACAAUACUGGUGCAAUUGCUUUGGCAAAGGAAUCCAGAUUUCACAAGAGGACCAAGCACAUCAAGAGACGCUUCAAUUCCAUUCGGGACCAAGUCCAAGUGGGAGACAUAGAGAUUUGCAAAAUACAUACGGAUCUGAAUGUUGUAGACCCGUUGACUAAGCCUCUCUCACGAGCAAAACAUGAUCAACACCGAGACUCCAUGGGUGUUAGAAUCAUUACUAUGUAAUCUAGAUUAUUGACUCUAGUGCAAGUGGGAGACUGAAGGAAAUAUGCCCUAGAGGCAAUAAUAAAGUUAUUAUUUAUUUCUUCAUAUCAUGAUAAAUGUUUAUUAUUCAUGCUAGAAUUGUAUUAACCGGAAACAUGAUACAUGUGUGAAUACAUAGACAAACAUAUAGUCACUAGUAUGCCUCUACUUGACUAGCUCAUUAAUCAAAGAUGGUUAUGUUUCCUAACCAUAGACUUGUGUUGUCAUUUGAUUAAUGGGAUCACAUCAUUAGGAGAAUGAUGUGAUUUACAUGACCCAUUCCGUUAGCCUAGCACUUGAUCGUUUAGUAUAUUUCUAUUGCUUUCUUCAUGACUUAUACAUGUUCCUGUAACUAUGAGAAUUAUGCAACUCCCGUUUACCGGAGGAACACUUUGGGUACUACCAAACGUCACAACGUAACUGGGUGAUUAUAAAGGAGUACUACAGGUGUCUCCGAAGGUACAUGUUGAGUUGGCGUAUUUCGAGAUUAGGUUUUGUCACUCCGAUUGUCGGAGAGGUAUCUCUGGGCCCUCUCGGUAAUGCACAUCAUUAUAAGCCUUGCAAGCAAUGUGACCAAAUGAGUUGGUUACGGGAUAAUGCAUCACGGAACGAGUAAAGAGACUUGCCGGUAACGAGAUUGAACUAGGUAUUGGAUACCGACGAUCAAAUCUCGGGCAAGUAACAUACCGAUGACAAAGGGAACAACGUAUGUUGUUAUGCGGUUUGACCGAUAAAGAUCUUCGUAGAAUAUGUAGGAACCAGUAUGGGCAUCCAGGUCCCGCUAUUGGUUAUUGACCGAGAAUGGUUCUAGGUCAUGUCUACAUAGUUCUCGAACCCGUAGGGUCCGCACGCUUAACAUUACGAUGAUAGUUUUAUUAUGAGUUUAUAAGUUUUGAUGUACCAAAGUUUGUUCGGAGUCCCGGAUGUGAUCACGGACAUGACGAGGAGUCUCGAAAUGGUUGAGACAUAAAGAUUGACAUAUUGGACGACUAUAUUCGGACACCGGAAGUGUUCCGGGUGAUUUCGGAGAAAACCGGAGUGCCGGAGGGUUACCGGAACCCCCCCGGAGAGUUAAUGGGCCACAUGGGCGUUGGUGGGAAGAGAGAGGGGCGGCCAGGAAGGGCCGCGCGCCCCCUCUCCCUCUGGUCCGAAUUGGACUAGGAGGGGGGGGGGGCGCCCCCCUCUUUCCUUCCCCUCCUCUCCCCCUUCCUUCCCCUCCUAGUAGGAGUAGGAAAGGAGGAGUCCUACUCCUACUAGGAGGAGGACUCCUCCUCCUGGCGCGCCCAACAAGGGCCGGCCGGCCUCCCCCGUCCCUCCUUUAUAUACGGGGGCAGGGGGCACCCCAUAGACACACAAGUUGAUCUACGGAUCGUUCCUUAGCCGUGUGCGGUGCCCCCCUCCACCAUAUUCCACCUCGGUCAUAUCGUCGCGGAGUUUAGGCGAAGCCCUGCGCCGGUAGAGCAUCAUCAUCAUCACCACACCGUCGUGCUGAUGAAACUCAUCCCCGAAGCUUUGCUGGAUCGGAGCCCGGGGAUCGUCCUCGAGCUGAACGUGUGCUGAACUCGGAGGUGCCGUACGUUCGGUACUUAGAUCGGUCGGAUCGUGAAUACGUACGACUACAUCAACCACGUUGUGUUAACGCUUCCGUUUGCGGUCUACGAGGGUACGUGGACAUCACUCUCCCCUCUCGUUGCUAUGUCAUCACCAUGAUCUUGCGUGUGCGUAGGAAUUUUUUUGAAAUUACUACGUUCCCCAACAUAAGGUUGCCCACGAUUUUUUCCAGGGUAAAAGCUCUAAUAUAGAAGAAGAUGGACAACGGGGGCCCACCAGGGGGCCCAGGAGAUAGGGGGCGCGCCCAGUAGGGGGGUGCCCUCCACUCUCCUAGACAAGGUGUGGGCCCCCUGGUGUAUUUCUUUCGCCCAAUAAUUCUUAUUAAUUCCAAAAACAUGUUUCGUGGAGUUUCAGGAUUUUUGGAGCAGUGCAGAAUAGAUUUCCAAUGUUUGCUCCUUUUCCAGCCAGAAUUCCAGCUGCCGGCAUUCCCCCUCUUCAUGAUAAACCUUGUAAAAUAAGAGAGAAUAGCCAUAAGUAUUGAGAUAUAAUGUGUAAUAACAGCCCAUAAUGCAAUUAAUAUUGAUAUAAAAGCAUGAUGCAAAAUGGACGUAUCAACUCCCCCAAGCUUAGACCUCGCUUGUCCUCAAGCGGAAGCCGAAAUCGAAAAAUAUGUCCACAUGUUUAGAGAUAGAGGUGUCGAUAAAAAUAAAAUACAGAUAUGAGGGCAUCAUGAUCAUUCUUAUAACAGCAACAUAUAUAGAUUUUGUCAUAUGAUUUCUUAUGCUCAAGUAACAAUCAAUUCACAAUGUCAAGUAUGGUUCAAAUACUUCAUUGAGAACUAAUAAACUAUAAUCUCAGUCAUUGAAGCAAUUGCAAUUUAUCAUAACAUCAGAAAGAGUCAACAAUAGAGCCUUUCAGCAAGUUCACAUACUCAACUAUCUUGUAGGCUUCUACAAUUGCUAACACUCACGCAAUACUUGUGGUUAUGGAAUUUCAGCCGGACACUGAGAAAGAUAGGGGCUUAUUGUGUUGCCUCCCAACGUAUUCACCUUUAGGUGAUGUCAACAAUAAUAGCCCAUGCUAACUUACAUCCAAUUGGAUAUAUAUAUCAUGAUCUUUCAAACACGAGGAGCUUGCCAAAUGAUAAAAUGAAAAAGGGAAAGGUGAGAAUCACCUUGACUCAAGCAUAAAGUAAAAACAUAAAGUAAAAGAUAGGCCCUUCGCAGAGGGAAGCAGAGGUUGUCAUGUGCGUUUAGGGUUGAUGCACAAAAUCUUAAUGCAAAAGAACAUCACUUUAUAUUGCCCCUUGUUUGUGGACCUUUAUUAUGCAGUCCGUCGCUUUUAUUACUUCCACAACAAGAUCGUACAAAGCUUAUUUUCUCUGCACUAAUAAGUCAUACAUAUUUAGAUAGCAAUUUUUAUUGCUUGCAACAUGACAACUUACUUGAAGGAUCUUACUCAAUACAUAGGUAGGUAUGGUGGACUCUCAUGGCAAAACUGGGUUUAAGGAUAUUUGGAAGCACAAGUAGUAUCUCUACUUGGUGCAAGGAAUUUGGCUAGCAUGAGGGGGAAAGGCAAGCUCAACAUGUUUGGAAGGUCAAUGACAAUAUACUUUAACUGAGAUGUCGGAAAACAUAAACCAUUACAUUGUCUUCCUUGUCCAACGUCAACUCUUUUAGCAUGUCAUACUUAAUGAGUGCUCCCAAUUAUAAAAGGUGUCCAAAAUAAUAUAUUUAUAUGUGAAACCCUCUUUCCUUAUCACUUCCUAUUAAUCGCAACGAUGACCAAGGCUAAGUUUAUCAACUCUCAACAAUUUUUAUGCCUCAUACUUUCUAUGUGUGAAGUCAUCACUAUUCAUAAGAUCAAUAUGAACCCUUUUUUUCUUUCUACUUUCUCAAGAUCAUAGCAACAUAGCAAAGCCCUUGACUCAACACUAAUCUUUAUUAUAGAUAGCUCACGGACUCGAUUACAAAAAGAGAUCACAAUGCAAAACUCAAAACUACUUGAUAUCAAAACUUCAAUCUACUAGAUCAAGAUACUACUAAAAGGAUCGAACUAAAUAAAAUGAUAAAGAUAGGAGUGUGAUGGUGAUACGAUACCGGGGCACCUCCCCCAAGCUUGGCAGUUGCCAAGGGGAGUGCCCAUACCCAUGUGAUUAUGUCCUUAGAGGUGGUGAAGUAGGAGUUGUUGAUGAUGUAGGCUUGUCGUCCGUCUUCCAAGGCAUAGGCUCUCCAUCAUAGAAGGAUGAUCAAGUCUCCAGGAUCCUUAAAUCUGCAGCCAAACUCAUCCUCUUGAAUCUAUAUUCAUACUCACAGUUUUGGUUUUGCAGGUCAUAGAUCUUGGCUUGGAGGUGCUUGAUUUUCUCUUGAAGCUUGAAGAUGGUCUCCCCAAUGACUUUGGCAUCCAGCUUGUGGUUGUUGGUGAACUCCGUGAUCAUCAUCUGGUUGGCGUUGAGUCCACGCUCCACCAUCACUUGGCACUUGAAAACUUGCUGCUCCACGGCUUCGAGCUUUGUCUCCACGCUUCCGGUACGCCUUGGUCCCUCCACAUCGCGGAUGUGCAGCACCCCCCAUGCAUCUCAAUGGUUUGAGGGUGUUGCAGCACCUCCACGAGAUAGGGGUUGAUAACCCUCUCAAAAAACUUGUCCUUGGGAGCGCUUGGAGACGACAUGAUGCUCUAGAUCUGAAACAGAAAACAGCUCGAAACGAAAACAGAGGAUAUUUGCAUGAUACGGUGGUCAAAACCUUCAGGAGUAUAUAUAAUGAAUUUUUACCGACCAAAAUAUGCAACGUGCAAGAAAACGGAGUCCGGGAGGCACACGAGGUGCCCACGAGACAGGGGGGCGCGCCCUCCACUCUCGUGGAGGCCUCGUGACCCUUUCGGACUACUUCUUUCUUCCGAAAAUUCUUAAAUAUUCCAAAACUAAUAAAAAUUGCCAUUGGAGUUGUUUUGGAGUCGGUUUACCUACUGUACCACAUACCUAUUCCUUUUCGGAGUCUGGAACGUUCUGGAAAGUGUCCCUUAUGUAUUCCUCCGGGGUUACGGUUUCAAUAAUAAUAGUUUCAACAUUGAUAGGAUUACGUGAAAUAUAAUGUUUAAUUCUUUGACCGUUUACCACCCUCGGACUUGUGCCUUCGAAGUUGUUGAUUUUUAUGGCACCAGAACGAUAGACCUCCUCGAUAACUAAGGACCUUCCCAUUUUGAGAGAAGUUUUCCUGCAAAAAAAUCUUAAACGAGAGUUGAAUAAUAAAACAUAAUCUCCUACGUUAAACUCACGCUUUUGUAAUCUUUUGUCAUGCCAACGUUUGACUUUUUCUUUGAAUAGCUUGGCAUCCUCAUAGGCUUGAGUUCUCCAUUCAUCAAGGGAUCUAAUAUCAAACAACCUCUUCUCACCGGCAAGUUUGAAGUCAUAGUUGAGCUCUUUAAUAGCCCAAUAUGCCUUAUGUUCAAGUUCAAGAGGUAAAUGACACGCUUUUCCAUAAACCAUCUUAUAUGGAGACAUACCCAUAGGAUUUUUGUAUGCAGUUCUAUAGGCCCAUAAUGCAUCAUCAAGUUUUUUGGACCAAUUCUUUCUAGAUUUGUUCACAGUCUUUUGCAAAAUUAAUUUGAGCUCUCUAUUGCUCAACUCUACUUGACCACUAGACUGCGGAUGAUAAGGAGAUGCGAUUCUAUGAUUGACAUCAUACUUAGCAAGCAUCUUACAAAAAGCACCAUGAAUAAAAUGUGAACCACCAUCAGUCAUAAGAUAUCUAGGGACUCCAAACCUCGAAAAAAUAACAUCUUUAAGCAUUUUAAUAGAAGUGUUAUGAUCAGCACUACUAGUUGGAAUAUCUUCUACCCACUUAGUAACAUAAUCAACAACAACUAAAAUAUGUGUAUAACCAUUAGAGGCAGGAAAAGGUCCCAUAUAAUCAAAGCCCCAAACAUCAAACGGUUCAAUAACAAGAGAAUAAUUCAUAGGCAUUUCUUGACGUCUACUAAUGUUACCUAUUCUUUGGCAUUCAUCACAAGAUAACACAAACUUACGAGCAUCUUUGAAGAGAGUAGGCCAAUAAAAACCAGAUUGUAGUACCUUGUGUGCAGUUCUAUCUCCAGCGUGGUGUCCUCCAUAGGAUUCAGAGUGACACUUACGUAGGAUCUGUUCCUGUUCAUGCUCAGGCACACAACGUCUAAUAACACCAUUUACUCCUUCUUUAUAAAGGUGUGGGUCAUCCCAGAAGUAAUGUCUUAAAUCAUAAAAGAACUUUUUAUUUUGCUGGUAUGUGAAACUAGGCGGUAUAAAUUUAGCAACAAUGUAGUUAGCAUAAUCAGCAUACCAAGGAGCAGUACGAGAAGCAUUAACGAUCGCUAAUUGUUCAUCAGGAAACCUAUCAUCAAUAGGCAGUGGGUCAUCAAGAACAUUCUCUAACCUAGACAAGUUGUCUGCAACGGGGUUCUUAGCUCCCUUUCUAUCAAUAAUAUGCAAAUCAAAUUCUUGGAGCAAGAGAACCCUCUAAUGAGUCUAGGCUUAGCAUCUUUCUUUUCCAUAAGAUGUUUAAUAGCAGCAUGAUCAGUGUGAAUAGUAACUUUGGAAUCAACAAUAUAAGGUCUAAACUUAUCACAUGCAAACACAACUGCUAAGAAUUUGUUUUCAGUAGUAGCAUAAUUUCUCUGGGCAGUAUUAAGAGUCUUACUAGCAUACUGGAUAACAUUCAAUUUCUUAUCGACUCUCUGCCCUAGAACAACACCUACAACAUAAUCACUAGCAUUGCACAUAAUUUCAAAAGGUAAAUUCCAAUCAGGUGGCUGAACAAUAGGUGCAGUGAUCAAAGCUUUCUUAAGUAUUUCAAAUGCUUCUACACAAUCAUCAUCAAAGACAAAAGGAAUAUCUUUUUGCAAUAAAUUAGUCAGAGGCCUAGAGAUUUUAGAAAAGUCCUUAAUGAACCUCCUAUAAAAACCGACAUGACCAAGGAAACUUCUUAUACCUUUUAUGUCCUUGGGACACGUCAUCUUUUCAAUAGCAUCAACUUUGGCUUUAUCAACUUUAAUACCUCUCUCGGAGAUCUUAUGCCCCAAGACAAUGCCUUCAUUAACCAUAAAGUGACACUUUUCCCAAUUCAGGACGAGACUAGUGUCUUCGCAUCUCUGCAAAACUCGAUCAAGGUUGCUCAAACAAUCAUCAAAAGAGGAUCCGUAAACAAAAAAGUCAUCCAUGAAUACCUCACAAAUCUUUUCACAAAAAUCAGAGAAUAUAGCCAUCAUGCAUCUUUGAAAGGUAGCAGGUGCAUUACAUAAACCAAAAGGCAUACGUCUAUAAGCAAAAGUACCAAAAGGGCAAGUAAAAGUAGUUUUAGAUUAAUCCUUCGCUGACACGGGUAUUUGAGUGAAACCAGAAUAACCAUCUAGAAAGCAGAAAUGUGUGUGUUUGGAUAGUCUUUCUAGCAUUUGAUCAAUAAAAGGUAAAGGGUAAUGAUCUUUCUUAGUAGCUUUAUUUAACUUACGAAAAUCAAUUACCAUCCUAUAACCUGUAAUAAUUCUUUGCGGGAUCAAUUCAUCUUUAUCAUUAGGAACAACGGUAAUACCUCCCUUUUUAGGAACACAAUGUACAUGGCUUACCCAUUCACUAUCAGCAACGGGAUAAAUAAUACCUGCCUCAAGGAGCUUUAGUAUCUCCUUUCUUACCACUUCUUUCAUCUUGGGAUUUAGUCGUUGUUGAGGAUCUCUAACAGGUUCGGCAUCCUUCUCCACUAUAAUUUUGUGUUGGCAUAAUGUGGGACUAAUGCCCUUAAGAUCAUCCAGAGUAUAUCCAUAGCUGCUCUGUGCUACUUCAGAGUUUUCAAUAAUCGUUCUUCUUCUUGCUUUGAAAGGUUAGCACUAAUAAUAACAGGAUAUAUUUCCUUUUCAUCAAUAAGCAUACUUAAGAUUAUCAGGUAAUGGUUUGAGUUCAAACACGGGAUCACCCUUGGGUGGAGGAGGAUCCCCAAGAAUUUCAACGGGAAGGUUAUGUUUCAGCAUAGGUUCCUGUUUAAGGAACACUUCAUCUAUUUCCCUUCUUUCCUUCAUAAACAUAUCGUUUCAUGGUCUAGCAAAUAUUGUUCUAACGGAUCAGUAGGAGGCACGGCAAUGGAAGCAAGACCAAUAAUCUCAUCCUUACUAGGUUGUUCCCUAUCACGAGGUUGUCUAUGAAACUUAGCAAAAUUAAACUCAUGAGACAUACCAUCUAUGCCAACAGUGACAGUAUCUUUUUCACAAUCAAUCUUAGCAAUAGCUGUAUUCAAGAAGGGUCUACCAAAAAUAAUGGGACAAAAAUCAUCUUGUGGGGAACCAAGAACUAGAAAACCAGCAGGGUAUUUAACCUUUCCACACAAGACUUCAACAUCUCUAACAAUCCCAAUAGGUUUAAUGGUAUCCCUAUUAGCAAGCUUAAUAGUAACAUCAAUGCCUUCUAAUUCAAUGGGUGCAAUGUCGUGCAUAAUUUCUUUGUAUAGAUCAUAAGGUAUCGCACUAGCACUAGCACCCAUAUCACAUAAGCCAUGAUAACAAUGAUCUCCUAUUUUAACAGAAAUAACAGGCAUGCCUACGACAGGUCUAUGUAUCUUAGUAUCUGGUCUGGCAAUAUUAGCAGUCUCACCACAGAAAUCAAUAGCAUGCCCAUCUAAAUCAUCAUCCAAGAGAUCUUUAACCACAACAAUACUAGGUUCAACAUUAAUUUGCUCAGGAGGUGUAUAAGUCCUAGUAUUACUCUUACGAACAACAGUCGAAGCUUUAGCAUGAUCCUUUAUCCUAACAGGAAAGGGAGGUUUCUCAACAUAAGUAGUAGGAACAAUAGGAUCACUAUAGGUGAUAGUCUUUUCUUCAACUGUAAUAGGUGCAACUACUUUCACUUCAACAGGAGGAUUACAUUUAAACCACUUCUCUUUAGGGAGAUCAACGUUUGUAGCAAAAGAUUCACAGACAGAAGCUACUAUCUCAGAGUCAAGUCCAUACUUAGUGCUAAAUCCACGAAAAGCAUCGGUAUCCAUAAAAGAUUUAACACAAUUGAACUUAGGUGUCAUACCUGACUCCUUACCAUCGUCGGAAUCCCAAUCUUCAGAGUUGUGUUUAAUUCUUUCCAAUAAGUCCCAUUUGAAAUCAAUAGUCUUCAGCAUAUAAGAACCAACACACGAAGUAUCGAGCAGGUUGCGAUUAUCAAGAGAAAGCCGAGCAUAAAUGUAACAACCCAAAUUUUCAAUUUGGAAUGUUAUACAAAUAGAUCAUUAUUACAUAUCAUAUUUAAUGCAUUUUGCCUUGAUCCUGGAAAUUCUACGCAACUCAAGGACCCACGGAGAGAGUUGGGGAUUUCAUUAUUUUCAUAUUUGAGUUUUCUCAAAUUUUGGAAAUAGGAUCAUUUGAUUUUGUUUAUUUUAUCUUCAAUUAUUUCAAUUAUAAAAAUACGAGAGAGGGAAUAAAAUGACUUUCCCCAAAUAAAUAAAUAUUGAGGAUUAAAUAAAAAAAUCAAAUAAGAUUUUAUUUUGGAUUUUCUAGCUAUUUUAUUUGAAUUUAGGAAAAAUGCGUGUUUUUAAAAAUUGCAUUUAGGCCCCAAAUAAAUGUUCAUCUAAACCGACUUGAUUUUAGAAGCCGGGAAAAAUAUAUUUCGGGAUUUUUGGAGUCUGUUUAGUAUUUCUUUCGUUUGUUUUUCUGCGCGAUAAUUAUUAAAAAGAAGAGUCUGAACCGACCUACGGGCCGUAACCGGCGAGGACUCCGCCUGUCCGGGCCUUUAUAAGCUGCCGGCCCACCCCGGGGCCGAAACCCUAGCCGCUGCCCGCCUCGAACCCCGCGCCCGCCGCCGCCGCCUUCCGCCCCCGCCNNNNNNNNNNNNNNNNNNNNNNNNNNNNNNNNNNNNNNNNNNNNNNNNNNNNNNNNNNNNNNNNNNNNNNNNNNNNNNNNNNNNNNNNNNNNNNNNNNNNNNNNNNNNNNNNNNNNNNNNNNNNNNNNNNNNNNNNNNNNNNNNNNNNNNNNNNNNNNNNNNNNNNNNNNNNNNNNNNNNNNNNNNNNNNNNNNNNNNNNNNNNNNNNNNNNNNNNNNNNNNNNNNNNNNNNNNNNNNNNNNNNNNNNNNNNNNNNNNNNNNNNNNNNNNNNNNNNNNNNNNNNNNNNNNNNNNNNNNNNNNNNNNNNNNNNNNNNNNNNNNNNNNNNNNNNNNNNNNNNNNNNNNNNNNNNNNNNNNNNNNNNNNNNNNNNNNNNNNNNNNNNNNNNNNNNNNNNNNNNNNNNNNNNNNNNNNNNNNNNNNNNNNNNNNNNNNNNNNNNNNNNNNNCGCCGGAUCCCGCCGCCACCGCUGCCUUUCGCCACCCCGCACCCCGCCGCCCCGCCGUCCGCUGGAGCCGCCGCUGCCGCCGACCGCCGCCGGUUUUUCCUAGAAAACCGUUCGGUUUUCGCCGGUUUUCGUUUGGUUUUUUAGUUUCGUUUUUUUAUUUAUUAAAUCGGUUUUUUCGGUUUAGGUUAAUUAGCGAGCGUUCGCUCGUUCAUUCGUUUUAACGAACACAUUCAUCAAUUAGAUCCAGAUAACGAACGUUCGUUCGUUAAUCUGUUCAUCGUUUUCUUUUUCUCGGAUUUAUUCCGCGAUUUUUUCUGAUCGUGAUUUCUGAUCUGAUUUUCGUUUUAGUAUAACUUUUCGCUCGUUUAUCGGAAUCAGGCGAUUCAAGCGCCUGGAGUUUCGUCUCGAAGCCCUCUUUAUGAAUAAUCUACUCAAACCAGUUUUUGCUUCUGUAAAAUUUUGACUUAGGUCCAGAUUAGUAAACGAAGCUUGUUUCUUUCGCCGUUUGAGUUUUGUUUCUUCGUUCGAUUUGAUUCUUUUUGCAAACCGGAGUUCUUAAGUUGAACUUUCUGGUUAGAUCUUUUAUUUGAGUUUUACCCGUGCAUUAGAUGAGUACUUAUUGUAUGCUUGUUUGUUUGUUUGCUUGCGAUAGAGUACCCGGAUUGCGCCGCUUGCUACUUCGAAUCCCUAAGUUUCACGGAUCAGCAGCAAGGCAAGUAACACUUUGAUCAUACUUCUUUAUUACCCAGUUUUUAUGCAUUAGAUCAAUCCUCAAACAAUUGCAUGAUUAGGAUCUGAUUAAUAUGUGGGUUUUGGGAAGUAGAUGAGGUAGCACCUAUUACCAGUUUUAUUAUCAAACCCUUGGGAGUUACUUCUACAUUUGCUUUUUAUGCCAUGCUAUGCUGGUAGACGUGGAUUGGGUGGGUGUAUCCAUGACAGAUGUGAGAUUGUUAAUUAAUGGUUUAUUUAAGGUGGCAACUUUAAUACACAUCUGGGUGGAUUGAGGUACCUGGGUAUUCCAGGAUUGCCUGUUUGUUUUGGACCGCCACCAGGCUCAAAGGGAUCAUAAGAUUAUUCAUGCUAGAAACUUCCGUGUGCAGCCACAUGCUAUUAUGGGCUCUAGCAUAGUUGACUAAGUCAUGCGAACUCUUACAGUGGUAGACUAGAAGAUGUAGGGGAAAGUAGGUGUACAGGUCUACCCAUCGUAAGGUGCUAGCGCUUCUGAAAGACUAUGUCUCGGUCAUCCGUUUCUCAAACACCAUGUAGUGCGAGAAAACCAACGGAGGAGAUCGAGUCGUGUGGGGAAAAGUGCGCAAACCUCUGCAGAGUGUAUAAACUAAUCAUGAUUAGCCGUGUCCCCGGUUAUGGACGUUUUGAGUAUCUAGUACUUGGAUUAUCAUGUGAAUCUCAACAUGUUACUUUAAUUAAUAUUGUUGGGUUUGUUUAAUGAUGAUGUUACUUAAUUGGGAUUGAGAAUGCUGUGAACCAUUCUCAAUGUUUAACAACCACCAUGAUAGUUAAAUAAAUUUAUUCCUUUGCAGUAGGGAAAAAUUGGCUUUAUGCAAAACUGUAACCAUAGAGCUUUCCACCAGCCAUAUUAUGAUGUAGUAUAGCUUAUUUCUUUCAUUACUCUCUAUGUGUUACUUUGCCAGCAUAUUCCAUGUGCUGACCCGUUUUUCGGGCUGCAACGUUCAUGUUGCAGACUUUUCAGACGACGAGUAAGAUGCCUUAGGAUCGUGGUUCUAUACUUAGUGAUGUCGUUGGAGUUGAUGGACUCACUUAUCUUCCAAGCCUUCCGCUGUUAUCGUUAUUAGAUGGCCUUAAGCCAUAUUUAUUGUAAUAAGUUCUCUUUGGAGACAUUCGAUGUAAUAAGUGUGUGAUUACUACUCUGUUAUAAAUCCUUCGAGUACUGUGCAUGUCAGCAUUACUGAUCCAGGGAUGACACUGAUGCACAGAGAUCAGACUGUUUGAGGUUUGGUCGCUACAAGAUGGUAUCAGAGCACACGCUGACUGUAGGACACGACCACUAUGCAAAAGCCAUAGAUCACUAUUCUCUCUUCUCAUUUCUGACUCCUCAUCCUUUCACCUCUUUUAGGAUGGCGGAUGCAAGGAACAAGUUCAUGCAACCGGAUGAAGAUACACCCUUUGGACGACACCUGAAGGAACUCACCAAGUACCUGGAGAUCGAAGUACCAAGCUUCAGUGGGACUUACAAUGCCACUCUACCUGAAGAGGAGCGCUGGAUGAUUCAUGUUCAAGUUCCAGGAAGGACGUUCAUGUCUGUCACUGAGCCCAUAGAGUUUUCCUUUGAUGCACCAACCUGGAGCCUAGGAAAGAGCAUGGCAGCCCACAUCACCAUGGGACGUAUUGGAGAAGUUUACCAGAAGGAGCUUAAGGAUACAACCUACCAGAUUUUUGGGCGCCGAGAUGAGCAAUAGGAGAUGGUCAUCACCAGGAAGGACAGAUCAAUUGCAGCUUUCAUCCAGGAGUUAAACCAGCACAUUCGACGCCAGGAGAACCAGAUGUGUGGAGGCAUGAUGGAUCUGAAGAAGGCCAUGACCAAGAUCAUGGAACUGGAGGAAGAACUCAAGUCUACACGUGAUGGAUACGAGGAGGAGAUAGCAACGCUAGUCGAGAAGAAUGAAGAUCCAAAGAAGAAGUUAAGAGUGUUCAUGGGAUUUCCAGCAACUGGAGAAGACGAAGAUUGCACUUGUCCUGAGAACUACAUCAUCAUCGACGACACCGACUUGGACCCAGAUGAUAGUGAUGAUGACUAUGUUGAUGAAGCUAGAGCAGAUAUCAUGGAGUCUUCAUCGGAGCAGUUUUUCUAGUCGACCACCAUAACAGUAGUAGUAUUCCCCCAUGUAUCUAGUAUAGUCCGAGCACUUUUGUAACGAUAGAUAGACCGUUGUAUGCCCUUGCUUGUUUGAAUGAAGUGUUUUGAUUGAAAUUUGUCUCAUGUGCAUAUGGAUAGUGUUUUUCCCUCUAGACCUCAUUCUAUUAUGUAUUCUCAUCUUUUCUAAACCCUUAGAUGCCUCCGAGACGUGACAACGGAUUUGCUUUCCCACCGGAGCUCACCCAGUUGAUUCAGCAGCAGAAUGCAUUGAUGCAGAUACUAGUCCAGAAUCAGAAUCAGGGGAACAACAACAACAACCCACCACCACCACCACCUGUUGAUCACUUAACCCGUUUCCUUAGGUUGAAUCCACUGGUGUUUUCCAGUAGCACCGAGCCGAUUGUUGCAGAUGAUUGGCUUCGCAAGACAGCCAGGGAGUUGACCACUGCAGGAUGCACAGAUGUGGAGAAGGUGCGGUUUGCCGCACAUCAGCUUGAGGGACCCGCAUCAUCAUGGUGGGAGAAUUUCACAGCCACCUAUCCAGUAGACAUUGUCACAUGGGAUCAGUUUCAGCAGGCUUUUCGUACCGCUCAUGUUUCAGCAUGAGCUAUGGACAUGAAGAACCGUGAGUUUCGCAACUUACACCGGGGAGGAUGUACAGUUGGCCAGUACGUGGAUGAUUUCAGUAAACUAGCACGUUACGCCCCAGAUGACGUUGCUACGGGUGCAGCUAAACAGGAGGUAGUUCACACAAUCAUAAUGGUUCCAAGAAUGGUAACGGGAAUGGAGGAAGCAAUGGCCAGAACCGUACCAACCCCUCAACACCAGCCAAGAGAGAUCUGAGUCAAGUCACUUGUUUUAAGUGCCAGAAGACCGGACAUUACGCCAAUGAAUGUCCUGAAGGCCAAAAUGGGAAUGACAAUGGAAGCUCUGGGAAGAAGCCGAACCCUUUUAACAGAGGAAAAGUGAACCACAUUAGCGUGGAGGAGGUUGAAGCCCAGCCAGAUGCAGUAAUAGGUAAGUUUUUGGUUAAGUCAUUUACUACACUCGUUCUUUUUGAUACUGGUGCAUUGCAUUCAUACAUAUCAAGGGGAUUUGUGGAUAAGUAUAGACUGCCCACCAAGGUUCUAGGAACACCCAUGUUAGUAACCUCACCAGGAGCAGAGUAUAUGGCCAGUCGAGGAUGUUUUCAAGUGCCGUUGAGUAUAGGCAAGCAUGUUUUCCCCUCAGACUUAAUCAUUUUGGAAUCUCAAGGUUUGGAUGUGAUUCUGGGUAUGGAUUGGCUAUCGAUGUAUGGAGGAAACAUCGAUUGCACCAGUAAGUCGAUUUUGCUUACUACCCCAGAAGGGAGAAUGAUAAGGUAUGUAUCAAGACAUGAGCCAAAGAGGAGGCACGUAAAUUCCUUAUCAGGAAUUGUGCAGGAGGAAGUACCAGUAGUGAAGGAUUAUCCUGACGUAUUUCCAGAGGAGUUGCCCGGCAUGCCACCGGACAGAGACAUCGAGUUUUUGAUUGAGCUUUUGCCAGGCACAGGGCCAAUAUCCAAGAGACCAUGCAGGAUGCCAGCAAAAGAUUUGGAGGAGAUUAAGAGUCAGAUUAAGGAGUUAUUGGAUAAAGGUUAUAUUCUCCCAAGUUCUUCGCCUUGGGGAUCGCCAGUGCUUCUAGUGGAGAAGAAAGAUGGAUCAUUGAGGAUGGUUGUUGACUAUCGAGGCUUGAAUGCAGUAACAAUCAAGAACAAGUACCCACUGCCGAUGAUCAAUGAUCUGUUUGCCCGAUUGCAAGGGGCAAAGGUAUUUUCCAAGAUCGAUUUGUGAUCAGGAUACCAUUAGUUGAAGGUUCGAGAGCAGGAUAUACCUAAGACGGCUUUUACCACUAGGUAUGGGCUGUACGAGUAUACCGUUAUGUCUUUUGGUCUGACGAACACACCCGCCUAUUUCAUGAACAUGAUGAACAAAGUAUUUAUGGAGUUUUUGGAUAAGUUCGUCGUGGUGUUCAUUGAUGAUAUUUUGGUCUACUCAAAGAACGAAGAGGAGCAUAAAGAGCAUUUGCGCUUGGUUUUGGAGAAGCUCAGGGAACACCAGUUAUACGCCAAGUUCAGCAAAUGCGAAUUCUGGUUGAAGGAAGUUGGAUUUCUUGGACAUGUUAUAUCCGGGGAAGGUAUAGCAGUAGACCCCACCAAGGUUGUCACCGUGACAAAUUGGGUAGCACCAACAACAGUUGGAGAGAUCAGGAGUUUCCUUGGACUGGCAGGAUACUACCGAAGAUUCAUUGAGAAUUUCUCAAAGAUUGCAAAGCCUAUGACGGAGUUGUUGAAGAAAGAUACCAAGUUCAUUUGGACUGAGGAAUGUGAGGCCAGUUUCCAAGAAUUGAAGAAACGUUUGGUUACCUCGCCAGUGUUGAUUUUGCCAGAUCAGACCAAGGAUUACGAGGUGUAUUGCGACGCUUCACAUUGAGGACUUGGAGCAGUGCUUAUGCAGGAGGGGAGAGUUGUUUCGUAUGCUUCACGACAACUUAAACCCCAUGAGUUGAAUUAUGCCACACAUGAUUUGGAGUUAGCAGCCGUAGUGCAUGCAUUGAAGACAUGGAGACAUUUUCUUAUCGGAAACCAUUGUGAGGUGUAUACGGAUCACAAGAGUUUGAAGUACAUUUUCACGCAGAAGGAGUUGGAUCUCAGGCAAAGGAGAUGGUUGGAGCUCAUCAAGGAUUAUGACAUGAGAUUGCAAUAUCACCCCGGGAAGGCUAACGUAGUAGCCGAGCGUUGAGCCGUAAGAGCCAUGUCAAUACACUCAUAACCGCAGGAUUGCCAAAGGAGUUAGCCGAGGACCUUUGCGAGCUAUGUUUAGAGAUAGUUCCGAGAGGCUAUGUAGCAGCAUUGGAAAUUCAGCCAACUUUGAUGGAUAAGAUCAGGGAAGCUCAGAUGCCCGACAAGGAAAUUGUGGAGAUAAAGGGGAAGAUGAGCAAAGGAAAAGCAAAAGGAUUUCGUGAGGAUGAGCAUGAUACCUUAUGGUUUGAAGACCGUGUUUAUGUUCCAAAUAAUCCGGAGAUCAGGAAGUUGAUUUUGCACAAGGCUCAUGAUUCGCCGUAUUCGAUUCACCUAGGAAAUACCAAGAUGUAUUUGGAUUUGAAGGAAACCUUCUGGUGGACCAGAAUGAAAAAGGAUAUUGCGGAGUAUGUAGCAGUUUGUGAUGUAUGCCAGAGAGUAAAGGCAGAGCAUCAGAAGCCAGCAGGAUUGUUGCAACCAUUGCCGAUACCCGAAUGGAAGUGGGAUAAGCUAGGCCUGGGUUUUAUCACAGGAUUGCCCAGGACUCGUUCCGGCUAUGACUCGAUUUGGGUUGUAGUCGAUCGUUUGACGAAGGUAGCACAUUUCAUUCCAGUAAAGACCACUUACACCAGUGCUAAGUUGGCCAAGAUAUACAUGACCAGGAUCGUUUGUCUGCAUGGAGUUCCGAGGAGCAUUGUAUCAGAUAGAGGAACCCAGUUCACCUCAAAGUUCUGGAGCGUAUGGGAGAAGUUGCUUACAAGUUGGAAUUGCCCAAGGGAUUGUCAGGAGUUCACGACGUGUUCCACGUGUCCCAGUUGAAGAAGUGCCACGUGGAGAUGGCUGAUAUACCACUGAGAGAUACCGUGCCACUAGAGGCGAUUCAGUUGGACAGCGAUUUGACCUAUGAGGAGAAACUAGUCAAGAUUCUUGAGUAUGCCAGCCGAGUCACCCGCAACAAGGUUAUCAAGUUUUGCAAAGUUCAGUGGAGCCACCACACCGAGGAUGAAGCCACCUGGGAACGAGAGGAAGAUCUGCUCAAGGACCACCCUCACCUAUUUUCUAGUCAACCCGAAUCUCGAGGGCGAGAUUCAUCUUAAGGGGGGUAGGUUUGUAACAUCCCAAAUUUUCAAUUUAGAAUGUUAUACAAAUAGAUCAUUAUUGCAUAUCAUAUUUAAUGCAUUUUGCCUUGAUCCUAGAAAUUCUACGCAACUCAAGGACCCACGGAGAGAGUUGGGUAUUUCGUUAUUUUCAUAUUUGAGUUUUCUCAAAUUUUGGAAAUAGGAUCAUUUGAUUUUGUUUAUUUUAUCUUCAAUUAUUUCAAUUAUAAAAAUAUGAGAGAGGUAAUAAAAUGACUUUCCCAAAAUAAAGAAAUAUUGAGGAUUUAAUAAAAAAAUCAAAUAAGAUUUUAUUUUGGAUGUUCUGGCUAUUUUAUUUGAAUUUAGGAAAAAUGCGUGUUUUUCAAAAUUGCAUUUAGGCCCCAAAUAAAUGUUCAUCUAAACCGGCUUGAUUUUAGAAGCCUAGGAAAAUUUAUUUCGAGAUUUUUGGAGUCCGUUUAGUAUUUCUUUCGUUUGUUUUUCUGCGCGAUAAUUAUUUUAAAAAAAAGAGUCUGAACCAACCUACGGGCCGUAACCGGCCAGGACUCCGCCUGACCGGGCCUUUAUAAGCCGCCGGCCCGCCCCGGGGCCGAAACCCUAGCCGUCACCCGCCUCGAACCACGCGCCCGCCGCCGCCGCCUUCCGUCGCCGCCGCUGCCUUUCGCCGCCUCCGCCGCCNNNNNNNNNNNNNNNNNNNNNNNNNNNNNNNNNNNNNNNNNNNNNNNNNNNNNNNNNNNNNNNNNNNNNNNNNNNNNNNNNNNNNNNNNNNNNNNNNNNNNNNNNNNNNNNNNNNNNNNNNNNNNNNNNNNNNNNNNNNNNNNNNNNNNNNNNNNNNNNNNNNNNNNNNNNNNNNNNNNNNNNNNNNNNNNNNNNNNNNNNNNNNNNNNNNNNNNNNNNNNNNNNNNNNNNNNNNNNNNNNNNNNNNNNNNNNNNNNNNNNNNNNNNNNNNNNNNNNNNNNNNNNNNNNNNNNNNNNNNNNNNNNNNNNNNNNNNNNNNNNNNNNNNNNNNNNNNNNNNNNNNNNNNNNNNNNNNNNNNNNNNNNNNNNNNNNNNNNNNNNNNNNNNNNNNNNNNNNNNNNNNNNNNNNNNNNNNNNNNGCCCUGCACCCCGCUGCCCCGCCGUCCGCCGCCGCCGCCGCCCUGCCGUCCGCCGGAGCCGCCGCCGCCGCCGAGGUUGACCCGCCGCCGGUUUUUCCUAGAAAACCGUUUGGUUUUCGCCAGUUUUCGUUCAGUUUUUUUAGUUUCGUUUUUUUAUUUAUUAAAUCGGUUCUUUUGGUUUAGGUUAAUUAGCGAGCAUUCGCUCGUUCGUUCGUUUUAACGAACGCAUUCAUCAAUUAGAUCCAGAUAACGAACGUUCAUUCGUUAAUCUGUUCGUCGUUUUCUUUUUCUCGGAUUUAUUCCGCGAUUUUUCUGAUCGCGAUUUCUGAUCCGAUUUUUGUUUUAGUAUAACUUUUCGCUCGUUUAUCGGAAUUAGGCGAUUGAAGCGCCUGGAGUUUCCUCUCGAAACUCUCUUUCCGAAUAAUCUACUCAAACCAGUUUUUUCUUCUGAAAAUUUUGACUUAGGUCCAGAUUAGUAAACGAAGCUUGUUUUUUUCGCCGUUUGAGUUUUGUUUCUUCGUUUGAUUUGAUUCUUUUUGCAAAUCGGAGUUCUUAAGUUGAACUUUCUGGUUAGAUCUUUUAUUUGAGUUUUACCCGUGCAUUAGAUGAGUACUUAUUGUAUGCUUGUUUGUUUGCGAUAGAGUACCCGGAUUGCACCGCUUGCUACUUUGAAUCCCUAAGUUUCACGGAUCAACAGCAAGGCAAGUAACACUUUGAUCAUACUUCUUUAUUACCCAGUUUUUAUGCAUGAGAUCAAUCCUCAAACAAUUGCAUGAUUAGGAUCUGAUUAAUAUGUGGGUUUUGGGAAGUAGAUGAGGUAGCACCUAUUACCAGUUUUAUUAUCAAACCCUUGGGAGUUACUUCUACGUUUGCUUAUUAUGCCAUGCUAUGCUAGUAGACGUGGAUUGGCUGAGUGUAUCCAUGACAUAUUUGAGAUUGUUAAUUAAUGGUUUAUUUAAGGUGGCAACUUUAAUACACAUCUGGGUGGAUCGAGGUACCUGGGUAUUCCAGGAUUGCCUGUUUGUUUUGGACCGCCACCCAGGCUCAAAGGGAUCAUAAGAUUAUUCAUGCUAGAAACUUCCGUGUGCAGCCACAUGCUAUUAUGGGCUCUAGCAUAGUUGACUAAGUCAUGCGAACUCUUACAGUGGUAGACUAGCAGAUGUAGGGGAAAGUAGGUGUACAGGUCUACCCAUCGUAAGGUGCUAGCGCUUCUGAAAGACCAUGUCUCGGUCAUCCGUUUCUCAAACACCAUGUAGUGCGAGAAAACCAACGGAGGAGAUCAAGUCGUGUGGGGAAAAGUGCGCAAACCUCUGCAGCGUGUAUAAACUAAUCAUGAUUAGCCGUGUCCCUGGUUAUGGACGUUUUGAGUAUCUAGUACUUGGAUUAUCAUGUGAAUCUCAACAUGUUACUUUAAUUAAUAUUGUUGGGUUUGUUUAAUGAUGAUGUUACUUAAUUGGGAUUGAGAAUGUUGUCAACCAUUCUCAAUGUUUAACAACCACCAUGAUAGUUAAAUAAAUUUAUUCCUUUGCAGUAGGGAAAAAUUGGCUUUAUGCAAAACUGUAAUCGUAGAGCUUUCCACCAGCCAUAUUAUGCAUGUAGUAUAGCUUAUUUCUUUCAUUACUCUCUAUGUGUUACUUUGCCAGCAUAUUCCAUGUGCUGAUUUGUUUUUCGGGCUGCAACAUUCAUGUUGCAGACUUUUCAGACGACGAGUAAGAUGCCUUAGGAUCGUGGUUCUAUACUCAGUGAUGCCGUUGGAGUUGAUGGACUCACUUAUCUUCCAAGCCUUCCGUUGUUAUCAUUAUUAGAUGGCCUUAAGCCAUAUUUAUUGUAAUAAGUUCUCUUUGGAGACAUUCGAUGGAAUAAGUGUGUGAUUACUACUCUGUUAUAAAUCCUUUGAGUACUGUGCAUGUCAGCAUUACUGAUCCAGGGAUGACACUGAUGCACAGAGAUCAGACUGUUUGAGGUCUGGUCGCUACAAUAAAAGUUUUGAAUAAUCAUUUCCCUGGAGAGCUCAUGAUUGGGGUAUGAAUAUAACAUUGACUUAAGCCCCCCCCAAGCUUGAGCGAUGCUUUCUCCUUCGUGAGGCCAGAAAUUAUAUAUGUAAUUACGAUCACGAUGAACAAGUUGCAUAGGAUAGAACUUCUGGUGAAAUUCCAACUUCAAUCGCUUAUAAUUCCAAGAUCUCGUAUCAUCACAUAGCCUAUACCAUGUCAAUGCAUCUCCCUUUAAAGAUAAAGGGAAGACCUUCCUUUUGACAACAUCAUCGGGAAUACCUGCAAGCUUAAAUAAUCCACAAACUUCAUCCACAAAUAUAAGGUGUAAAUCAGGAUGCAAUGUUCCAUCUCCUGCAAAUGGAUUAGCUAGCAGUUUCUCUAUCAUACCCGAAGGAAUCUCAAAGUAAAUAUUUUCAUAAAUUUCAGUAGGUUGAGGAGAAACUCUUCGCUCUUCUGGUCGGGGUGAAGAUACCUCGAACAAACCCCUCAAAGGGUUAGUUUCUGUAGUGACAAGUAACAGAAAAUUUCAGCACACUAUAUAAAUGUUUCCUUACCAAGUUCCACUUACCAAAAGCGCUACACUCCCCGGCAACGGCGCUAGAAAAGAGUCUUGAUGACCCACAAGUGUAGGGGAUCAAUCUUAGUCCUUUCGAUAAGUAAGAGUGUCGAACCCAACGAGGAGCAGAAGGAAAUGAUAAGCGGUUUUCGGUAAGGUUUUCUCUGCAAGCACUGAAAUUGUAGGUGAUAGAUAGUUUUGUGAUAAGAUAAAUAGUAAUGAGUAACAAGUAAAUAAAGUAAAUAAAGUGCAGCAAGUUGGCCCAAUCCUUUAUGUAGCAAAGGAUAAGCCCGGACAAUUUCUAAUAAUGAGAAAGGAGCUCCCGAGGACACAUGGGAAUUAUCGUCAAGCUAGUUUUCAUCACGUUCAUAUGAUUCGCGUUCGGUACUUUGAUAGUUUGAUAUGUGGGUGGACCGGUGCUUGGGUACUGCCCUUACUUGGACAAGCAUCGCACUUAUGAUUAACCCCUAUUGCAAGAAUCCGCAACUACAAAAGAAGUAUUAAGGUAAACCUAACCACAACAUUAAACAUAUGGAUCCAAAUCAGCCCCUAACGAAGCAACGCAUAAACUAGGGUUUAAGCUUCUGUCACUCUAGCAACCGAUCAUCUACUUAUUACUUCCCUAUGCCUUCCUCUAGGCCCAAAUAAUGGUGAAGUGUCAUAUAGUCAACGUUCACAUAACACCACUAGAGGAAAAAACAACAUACAUCUCAUCAAAAUAUCGAACGGAUACCAAAUUCACAUGACUACUAAUAGCAAGACUUCACCCAUGUCCUCAGGAACAAACAUAACUACUCACAAAGCAUAUUCAUGUUCAUAAUCAGAGGAGUAAUAAUAUGCAUAAAGGAUCUGAGCAUAUGAUCUUCCACCAAGUAAACCAAUUAGCAUCAACUACAAGGAGUAAUCAACACUACUAGCAACCCACAGGUACCAAUUUGUGGUUUUGAUACAAGAUUGGAUACAAGAGAUGAACUAGGGUUUUGAGAGGAGAUGGUGUUGGUGAAGAUGUUGAUGGAGAUUGACCCCCUCCCGAUGAGAGGAUCAUUGGUGAUGACGUUGGUCAUGAUUUCCCCCUCCCGGAGGGAAGUGUCCCCGGCAGAACAGCUCUGCUGGAGCCCUAGAUUGGUUCCGCCUCGUGGCGGCGGAGUUUCGUCCCGUAAGCUUGCCCAUGUUUUUUGCUGGGGUAAAAGCUCUAAUAUAGCAGAAGAUGGACACCGGGGGCCCACCAGGGGGCCCAGGAGAUAGGGGGCGCGCCCAGUAGGGGGGGGGCUCCACUCUCCUAGACAGGGUGUGGGCCCCCUGGUGUAUUUCUUUCGCCCAAUAAUUCUUAUUAAUUCCAAAAACAUGUUUCGUGGAGUUUCAGGAUUUUUGGAGCAGUGCAGAAUAGGUUUCCAAUGUUUGCUCCUUUUCCAGCCAGAAUUUCAGGUGCCGACAUUCCCCCUCUUCAUGAUAAACCUUGUAAAAUAAGAGAGAAUAGCCAUAAGUAUUGAGAUAUAAUGUGUAAUAACAGCCCAUAAUGCAAUAAAUAUUGAUAUAAAAGCAUGAUGCAAAAUGGACGUAUCAAUUGCCCACUGAAACCGGUUCCAGAAUGGGCGGUUGACCAAACUGGGUUCUUGAUCUUCCGCAUAUGGGUUGCGCCGACGCCUUUCCCAGAACUCCUUUGCAGACAUCUCUAUCAUAGACUUGGCCCUAUGCUUGGGCUUGUUUGCAACAGUCUUCUUGGGCUGAGAAGGAGGAGGAGCACUCGAGGAAGCAGCCCCAGACUCAGAAGUGUGAUAAUGCUUUGAACUAGAACGCCCGGGGUUGAUACGAUGGACCGGUUGCUUUGUAGGUCCAUCACCUGGAAUCAAACACAAGAACACGAGACACAACACAAGAGAACAAGCAUAAGCCAGCAGAAAGAGCAAAAAAUAUCAAGGUUCGGUAAAAAAGGAUGAAGUUGGCAUCCAGCGGUAGUACCACCGGAAGCCCUCAAGCGGUAGUACUGCUCCAGGAGAGCGGUAGUACCGCUCUAGGCGGAGGGGCAGCGGUUCCUUACUGCCGCGGCCAAAUCCGGCACUGCCGGGAUGCCAAAUUCAAAAAAUGUCCUACCAAACAUCAAUCUAUCUAGUCUAGAAGCCUUCUCCAACCUACUGAAGCCUUGAUUUAGCCAAAAAUCAAGAAAUGCAACAACUAUUGCCCCUAAAAUCUAGCUCUGAAACCUAGGCACACAUAGAACAGGAAUGGGGGCAAUACCGGCAUCCAUGGCAAGAGGACGGGGUGGGGAUCGAUUCCACCAGAGGAAAUGGAGAGGGACGACCCGGAGACAGCGGCCCGCUGGAGCCCUCACGCGGCGAUUGCAUCGCUGGAGCGAGAGGAAGACUGAGAGGGGCGAGCGAAUGGGUAUGGGGGAGAAGAAACUCCCCCUGCCCAACAUAACCCCCCAGUCCCACCCUGUAGCGAUAGUACCGCUCGGGUGGCGGUAGUGUCGCUUGACGAAAGUCAGUGGUAGUGAUGUCUACUACGCAACUUUAUUCUUGUAGACUUGUGUUGGGCCUCCAAGCGCAGAGUUUUGUAGGACAAUAGCAAUUUUCCCUCAAGUGUAUGACCUAAGGUUUAUCAAUCCGUGGGAGGUGUAGGAUGAAGAUGGUCUCUCUCAAGCAACCCUGCAACCAAAUAACAAAAAAGUCUCUUGUGUCCCCAACACACACAAUACAAUGGCAAAUUGUAUAGGUGCACUAGUUCGGCGAAGAGAUGGUGAUAAAAGUGUAAUAUUGAUGGUAGAAAUAUAUUUUUAUAAUCUAAAUAAAUAAAACAGCAAGGUAGAAAAUAGUAAACGGGCACAAAAAUGGUGUUGCAAUGCUUAAAAAUGAGGCCUAGGGUCAGUACUUUCGCUAGUGCAACCUCUCAACAAUGCUAACAUAGUUGGAUCAUAUGAUUAUCCCUCAAAGUGCAAUAAAGAGUCACUCAUGAGUUCCUAUUAGCAGAGAACAAAAGAUAGGAAUUGUUUGUAGGUCACGAAACCACCUCAAAGCUAUUCUUUCCGUUCGAUCUAUUCAAGAGUUUGUACUAAAACAACGCAAAGCUUUUUUUUCCAUUCGAUCUAUCCUAGAGUUCGUACUAGAAUAACACCAAAGCAAAUUCAUAUUCAUAAUACUCAAUCCACACAAAUAACUAUAAAGAGACCCCAAAGUUUCCGUCGGAGAAAAACGUGCAUCAACCCCUAUGCAUAGAUUACCCCAAUAUCACCGCGGGAAUCCUUGAGUUGAAUGCCAUAACACAUAUCAAGUGAAUCAAUAAGAUACCUCAUUGUCACCUCAAGUAUUCAUAUUGCAAGACAUAUAUCAUGUGUUCUCAUCUCCGAAUAUUCAAUCCGACAAGACAAAACUUUGAAGGGUAAAGAUUCAGUUCAUCAUAACAAGAGUAUAGAGGUGAGAAACAUCAUAUGAUCCGACUAUAUUAACAAAUCCCAUGAUAUAGAUAACGAGAGAGAGAGAUCAAACACAUAGAUACUGGUACAAACCCUCCGCCCCUAGGGUGGACUACUCCCUCCUCAUCGUGGUGGCCACCGGGAUGAUGAAGAUGGCCAUCGGCGAUGAUUCCCCCCUCCGGCAAGGUGCCAGAACAUGGUCUAGAUUGGAUCUCGUGGAUACAGAGGCCUUGCGGCGGUGGAAUUCUGAUCUAGGGCUACCCCGAAGGGUUUUGGAAUAUUUGGGAUUUUAUAGGGCGAAGAAGGGGUGCGGGAGGCCACUGAGGUGGGCACAACCUACCUGGGUGCACCAGAGGGCCCUGGCACGCACUAGUGGAUUGUGCCCCCCUCGGGGUACCCCCCAGGUGCAGCUCAGGCCUAUUGGGUUCCUUCUGGUGCAGAAAAAAUCUCCAAAAAGUUACGUGGUGUUUGGACUCCGCUUGAUAUUGAUUUCCCGCGAUGUAAAAACAAGCAAAAAAAUAGCAACUUGCACUGGGCACUGGGUCAAUAGGUUAGUCCCAAAAAUGAUAUGAAGUUGCUAUAAAAUGAUUGUAAAACAUCCAAGAAUGAUAAUAUAAUGGCAUUAAUACUUCAUAAAUUAUAGAUAUGUUGGAGACGUAUUAGGUAGUACCGCGCGCCCCAGCGGUAGUACCGCCUAGCGAGACACGCAACAACUAGAACGAAAGAACGGCUAAGCUCAAGCAAUGACGAGGAGAGGGAGAAAGAAACAAAAACUCAAAGGAAAAAACACCCACGAGAGGACAAGAAACAAAAACACACAACUGUCGAAGAUAGGGUGGUGGCCGAGGCCACCUAUGUUUGAGUUAAGUGGUAUGGCACCGCGAAGAUUUUAACUUUGGGCUCAUGACCAAAACUCAUCUUUGAAGAACAAGUACCAUAAAAAAUGGCUAAUGUGAAAUACGUGAUCAAUUUAUGCAUAAUGGGGGGAGGGAGAGUUCAUUGAGAGAACAACACUCCCCCUAUAUCCAUGCCUACACCUAAACAAGACAUCAAGUAGAGUAUGGUGGGGCGUGCAAAGGUUCAAGCCACAUUGCUCAAAUCAAUGAUAUUUAGCUCAUGCCUUUAACUUGCGGAAUCUUGCUUCAUCCAAGGGCUUCGUGAAAAUAUCUGCAAGGUUAUCAUGAGUGUUGACAUAUUUGAGCUCGAUCUCCUCUCGCCUAAUGUGAUCCCGGAUGAAGUGAUACCGAAUCUCAAUAUGCUUCGUCUUGAAGUGUUGCACCGGGUUGAGAGAAAUCUUGAUGGCACUUUCAUUGUCACACCAACAAGAGAGAGAGAAAUCAAACACAUAGCUACUGGUACGAACCCUUAGCCCCGAGGGUGGACUACUCCUUCCUCAUCGUGGUGGCCACCGGGAUGAUGAAGAUGGCCACCAGUGAUGAUUCCCCCCUCCAGCAUUGCCAGGGGGAUGAACCUCGGGCAGGUAACGGAACCCGGAUCCUUUUCAAAACAACGGGGCCAGCAUCGCCCCUCAAGCCGGCACGCGCUUGGCCGAGUCGCUCGACCCGGCCAAACCCCGCGUCCCGGACAAACUCUCCAACCCGGCCUAGUACCUCGACUCGGCCUCGACAACUAGUACAAGACAGCCGAACCCGACACAACCAAGGCUUCCUCAACAAGCCAGCUCCACCCGUGGCAUGCUCCGCAAUCCAGCCACGGGUCAGCUCCCGUCCCAUCCAAGCCGUACGAUGGGAUGAGUCUUCAGCCACUGAUGACCAAGGCAACAGUGCCCCGCCCAUGCCUCUGGUCAGCCGGAGCAUGGCAACAGUGCCCCUCACCUACCCGCUGACCAGGGCCGGCGUGUCUACAGUGCCCCCGCCAUCACCGCUGACGACAGCAAGCGACGACCUGAUGGAGUGCCACUGUACACGACUCGACUCGGCCACGCCCUGACGAUCGACAAGACGGCGCACAUUCCCCCUAGGCACGCGGGGCCUGCACCUAGGGGAACCCGGCGAACCACAGGCCCCCAGCGGGUCCCAGCCCGGGUCCCCAAACGCCGAUGACCCAGACCCAUCGACUUGUAACAUUACCAUUGUAUCCCUGGGGGGUUGGCCUAUAAAACCCCCUAGGAGCCCACGCAUACCAAAGAGGGAGAGAUAACGUAGAGAGGAACUAGCCACCAAAUAGUAACAUUCACCCGGGGAGAAGGAGCAGCCUAAGCCUUGGCCUGCCUUCCUCCCCCCUCGAUACAGCUCUAGGAGCAACCUUGUACUGUCGAACAUCAAACUACACUCGGCAUGACUAGGGGUGUUAUCUCUCCGGAGAGCUCCGAACCUGGGUAUGUCUUGCAUCCUGCGCUCGCUCGUACCAACCCUGCCUCUGGAGCCCACCAGUGCCCUCGAGCCUCCUCCUCUCUUUAGCCAUCCCAUGGCAUCUGCCGUGUGCCCACCACGACAGUUGGCGCCCACCGUGGGGCAGCUCGAGGAGCUGGCCGGGAGCAUGCUUCAGACGGGGCCCUUCUCCUACUCCGAUGAGUCCGUCAUGCUGGCGGACAACAUCGUCGACACACUCGCUGCCUCCUUCGCCGCGCUGCGCAUCUCUGAUGCACCCACGGCUACCCCAGCGAGGUACUCAGCUACUCCGACUCCCCCCUCUCCCUCGGCGGUGGCAUUUCCAAUGGGGCAAUGGACGUCCACGUGGAGGUCUUCGUCACCGGUGAUGGCGCAUCCUCCUCAUCGAGCAAGACGAGGAAGGCUGCCGAAGCCAGGGCCGCAACAGAACGGACGGAGUCGUCCGAUCCGUUGUGCACCGUGAUGCAGAGCUUCCGCGUCCCCAUCGGCACCGACGUCAACGCCACCAACGUCGCUGAGGCCCAGGCCCAGCUCGAGGAAAGGAGCCAGCAGAUGCUGGACCUGUCUGAGACACUCGCCACCACCCAGCGUCGCCUGGAUUCCGCUCAGCUGGAGCGCAACGCCGCCUAUGGAUUCACGCCCGCCACGGCCGAGCCGAGCCGGGUCGCCGACGUGCGUGCCCGGGGAGGAGCGAUCGGCCAGGCCCUCGGCGCCAUCCGACCGUCUAUGAGACCCCAGCGAAGAACAUGCGCACUGUCUAGGCAGCCGCAGUCGACCUGGAUCAGCUCACGGGCGAGGAACUGAAGGAGCACAUCGGACGGAUGCGUGAUCUCCUCAACGCGGCCAACACUCAGCAAGACCGCCUCAACCAGCUCGCCAAGCCGGCGGGAUCCGGCUCCGCCCACAUCGGCGGACCCGGCGAACUUCAGCACACAGCUUCCUCGCCACCCAACGAGGUGCACUCCGCCCGAGUCCAGACUCGGCGUGACCCGGCCAACACGGUCGCCGGCGGUUUGGGCGACGAGCCCAUCCCGGAGAUCCAGCGCGGACCCGGCCAGCAUGGCCGGUGUCCGGCUCCAACCGACCCAGCCCCUCGUGGCUUGGUCGCCAGUCGACUCGGCCCGCGCGCCAUUGUUCCGGAGAAUGGAGUUUUAGUCAUCUUGCCCAUGAGGCAUGGUUCACAAGCACCAAGUGAUUCCAAAAGCCGAUCAGUAUGGAGUUUCUUCAUGCGCUUUACACCAAUAUGACCUAAACGACAGUGCCACAAAUAAGUUGCACUAUCAUUAUCAACUUUGCAUCUUUUGGCUUCAAUAUUAUGAACAUGUGUAUCUCCACGAUCGAGAUUCAAUAAAAUAGACCACUCUACAAGGGUGCAUGACCAUAAAAGAUAUUACUCAUAUAAAUAGAACAACCAUUAUUCUCUGAUUUAAAUGAAUAACCGUCUCGCAUCAAACAAGAUCCAGAUAUAAUGUUCAUGCUGAACGCUGGCACCAAAUAACAAUUAUUCAGGUCUAAAACUAAUCCCGAAGGUAGAUGUAGAGGUAGCGUGCCAACGGCGAUCACAUCGACCUUGGAACCAUUUCUGACGCGCAUCGUCACCUCGUCCUUAGCCAAUCUUCGUUUAAUCCGUAGCCCAUGUUUCGAGUUGCAAAUAUGAGCAAAAGAACCAGCAUCAAAUACCCAGGCGCUACUACGAGCAUUAGUAAGGUACACGUCAAUAACAUGUAUAUCAAAUAUACCUUUCACUUUGCCAUCCUUCUUAUCCGCCAAAUACUUGGGGCAGUUCCGCUUCCAGUGACCAGUCCCUUUGCAGUAGAAGCACUCAGUUUCAGGCUUAGGUCCAGACUUGGGCUUCUUCCCGGGAGUAGCAACUUGCUUGCUAUUCUUCUUGAAAUUCCCCUUCUUCCCUUUGCCCUUUUUUCUUGAAACUAGUGAUCUUGUUAACCAUCAAUACUUGAUGCUCCUUCUUGAUUUCUACCUCCGCAGCCUUUAGCUUUGCGAAGAGCUUGGGAAUCAUUUUCGUCAUCCCUUGCAUAUUAUAGUUCAUGACGAAGCCUUUAUAGCUUGGUGGCAGUGAUUGAAGAACUCUGUCAAUGACACUAUCAUUAGGAAGAUUAACUCCCAGCUGAGUCAAGUGGUUAUGGUACCCAAACAUUCUGAGUAUGUGUUCACUGAUAGAACUAUUCUCCUCCAUUUUGCAGCUACAGAACUUGUUGGAGACUUCAUAUCUCUCAACUCGAGCAUUUUCUUGAAAUAUUAACUUCAACUCUUGGAACAUCUCAUAUGCUCCAUGACGUUCAAAACGUCUUUGAAGUCCCGAAUCUAAGACGUAAAGCAUGGCACACUGAACUAUUGAGUAGUCAUCAACACGCAUCUGCCAGGCAUUCACAAUGUUUGUAGUUGCUGGCGCAGGCGGUACACCUAGCGGUGCUUCUAGGACGUAAUUUUUCUGUGCACCAAUGAGGAUAAUCCUCAAGUUAUGGACCCAGUCUGUGUAAUUGCUACCAUCAUCUUUCAACUAUGCUUUCUCUAGGAACACAUUAAAAUUCAUGGGAACGGUAGCACGGACCAUUGAUCUACAACAACAUAGACAUGCAAAAACUAUCAGGACUAAGUUCAUGAUAAAUUAAAGUUCAAUUAAUCAUAUUACUUAAGAACUCCCACUUAGAUAGACAUCCCUCUAGUCAUCUAAGUGAUCAUGUGAUCCAAAUCAACUGAACCAUGUUCGAUCAUCACGUGAGAUGGAGUAGUUUUCAAUGGUGAACAUCACUAUGUUGAUCAUAUCUACUAUAUGAUUCACGUUCGACCUUUCGGUCUCAGUGUUCCAGGCCAUAUCUGCAUAUGCUAGGCUCGUCAAAUUUACCCCAAGUAUUGUGCAUGUGCAAAACUGGCUUGCAUCCGUUGUAUGUGAAUGUACAGCUUAUCACACCCGAUCAUCACGUGGUGUCUCGGCACGACGAACUGUAGCAACGGUGCAUACUCAGGGAGAACACUUAUACCUUGGAAUUUAGUAAGGGAUCAUCUUAUAAUGCUACCACCGUACUAAGCGAAAUAAGAUGCAUAAAAAUAUAAACAUCACAUGCAAUCAAAAUAUGUGACAUGAUAUGGACAUCAUCAUCUUGUGCUCAUGAUCCCCAUCACCGAAGCAUCAUCAUGAUCUCCAUCGUCACCGUCUUGACACCUUGAUCUCCAUCGUAACAUCAUUGUCGUCUCGCCAACUAUUGCUACGAUGACUAUCGCUGCCGCUUAGUGAUAAAGUAAAGCAAUUACAUGGCGAUUGCAUUUCAUACAAUAAAGCGACAACCAAUGGCUCCUGCCAGUUGCUGAUAACUCUGUUACAAAACAUGAUCAUUUCAUACAACAAUUUAUAUCACAUCAUGUCUUGACCAUAUCACAUCACAACAAGCCCUGCCAAAACAAGUUAGACGUCCUCUACUUUGUUGUUGCAAGUUUUACGUGGCUUCUACGGGCUUCUAGCAAGAACCGUUCUUACCUACGCAUCAAAACCACAAUGAUUUUUCGCCAAGUGUGUUGUUUUAACCUUCAACAAGGACCGGCCGUAGUCAAACUCGAUUCAACUAAAGUUGGAGAAAUAGACACCCGCCAGCCACCUAUGUGCAAAAGCACGUCGGUAGAACCAGUCUCAUAAACGCGGUCAUGUAAUGUCGGCCUGGGCCGCUUCAUCCAACAAUACCGCCAAAUCAAAGUAAGAUGUUGGUGGUAAGCAGUAUGACUAUUGUCGCCCACAACUCUUUGUGUUCUACUCAUGCAAAUAACAUCUACGCAUAGACCUAGCUCGGAUGCCACUGUUGGGGAACGUAGUAAUUCAAAAAAUAUCCCACAAUCACGCAAGAUCUAUCUAGGAGAUGCAUAGCAACGAGAUGGGAGAGUGGUCCACGUACUCUAGUAGACCGAAAGCGGAAGCGUUUAGUAACGCGGUUGAUCUAGUCGAACGUCUUCACGAUCCAACCGAUCCAAGUACCGAACGUACGACACCUCCGUGUUCAGCACAUGUUUAGCAUGAUGACGUCCCUCGAGCUCUUGAUCCAGUUGAGAACGAGGGGGAGUUCCGCCAGCAUGACGGCGUGGCGACGGUGUUGAUGAUGUUACCAACGCAGGGCUUCGCCUAAGCACUACGACGAUAUGAUCGAGGUGUUAAACUGUGGAGGGGGCACCGCACACGGCUAAGAGAAUAACUGUUAUGCCAUGGGGUGCCCCCUGCCCCCGUAUAUAAAGGAGAGAGGAGGAGGCCGGCGUCCUAGGAGGGGUGCGCCUAUAGGGGGAGUCCAACUAGGAUUCCCAAUCCUACUUGGAGUCUCCUUCCUUUUCCAAGAGGGGGAGAGAGGGAAAGAGGUGGAGGAGAAAGAGGAAAGGGGGGGGGGCGACCCCUCCCCUAGUCCAAUUCGGUUUGGGCUAGGGGGCGCGCGCCUCCACCUGGCCGCUGCCUCCUCUCUUCCACUAAGGACCACGAAGGCCCAUUAAUCCCCCGGGGGGGUUCCGGUAACCUUCCGGUACUCCGAAAAAUGCCCGAACUUUUCUGAAACCUUUCCGAUGUCCGAACAUAACCUUGCAAUAUAUCAAUCUUUAUGUCUCGACCAUUUCGAGACUCCUCUUCACGUUCGUGAUCUUAUCCGGGACUCCGAACAAACUUCGGUCAUCAAAAAACACAUAACUCAUAAUACAAAUCGUCAUCAAACGUUAAGCGUGCGGACCAUAUGGGUUCGAGAUCUAUGUAGACAUGAUCGAGACACAUCUCCGAUCAAUAACCAAUAACGGAACAUGGAUACUCAUAUUGGCUCCUACAUAUUCUACGAAGAUCUUUAUCGGUCAAAAACCGUACAACAACAUACAUUGUUCCCUUUGUCAUCGGUAUGUUACUUUCCUGAGAUUCGAUCGUCGGUAUCAUCAUACCUAGUUCAAUCUUGUUACUGGCAAGUCUCUUUACUCGUUUUGUAAUGCUUUAUCCUGCAACUAACUCAUUAUUCACAUUGCUUGCAAGGCUUAUAGUGAUGAGCAUUAUCGAGAGGGCCCAGAGAUACCUCUCCAAUACACGCAGUGAAAAAUCCUAAUCUCGAUCUAUGCCAACCCAACAAACACCUUCGGAGACACAUGUAUAGCAUUUUUAUAAUCACCCAGUUACGUUGUGAUGUUUGAUAGCACACAAGGUGUUCCUCCGGUAUUCGAGAGUUGCAUAAUCUCAUAGUCUGAGAAACAUGUAUAAUCUUCUAUCUAUUAUAUAAUUAAAACAAGAGUAAAAUAAGCCACCACAUUCGUCCACAUAUGCUAAUAUUGUUUACACCGUUCGAUUAGAGUAAUAACGGCUGAGAUUUAAAGAUUUUUACGUAACAUUGUAAGUAUAUGUACAUGUAGUAUUGGACUUUCAUGUUAUCACGUUAUAUUGGACCUUUAGAAAAAGGACAAAAGAAGGGAGAUCAAUAGGAAAAGACACGCUGCUCUCCGAUCAAGAAGAAAAAAAGGGACAUCAAUAGGAAAAGGCACACUGCUGUCCGAUCGUGGUAGAGUUACCUAUAACUAUCGUUAGGUAUGAAUUAGUUAGGCAUUGUCCUUCCAUCAACGUGUCCAAGUGUAUACCCGUGAGACACAAACAAAUCAAACCAGUAAAAAAUAAAUUAAGAUAGGGAACCUUACGUGCAGCCAAUUCCAUACGUGGACACAAUGUAUACGGAUACACGCAUGCAAAUAAGACAUGUAUAUGGACUACAUAGAGGACUCCACAAGGACUUUCCAAGGCAUGAUGGAAAAAAGGACUUGCCAAGGCAACCACGACAGAUAAAAAGGCAUACAUCCGACCGCACCCAACACAUGCCCAAAAAAUUAGGUCAGCCAAAUAUGCUACCAGGCUAGCAUACUACCAAUAAAUUCAAAGUCUUCUGAUUCAACUAGGCAACGUCACAACGCCGGACGUAGUCGUGCCCAAGCAACCUUCUGAGUGGCCUCUCACCUGAAUCAUCAAGGUCCGUAAUUGCUAUUCUGGAUCCAAUCCUUUUGAGUGGCCUCUCACCUGAAUCAUAAAGGUUUGUAAUUGUUAUUCUUGACCCGAUCUACGGGCUGCCAGAUGUAGUCGUGCCCAAGCAACCUUUUGAGUGGCCUCUCAACAGAAUCAUCAAGGUUUGUAUUCUGGACACAAUCUUCAUACGUGCAUUAUUAAUUCACUAGAGAUUGUAUGAUCCUUUUACAGCAAUGUCAUACAACAAGCUUGGAGAGUUCACAACAAGAAGACAAGACUGUGUAUUGAAGCGCAAGUAAUGAGAAUAUGAGAUUAAUCAAUUCUACAACCAAAUGGCUUUGGAUCCCCAAUAUGAUAUUCAUGCAUGAAAAGGUUUAGUCAUUACAUAUAUAUUUGAAGAUUGUUCUAUUGUUCUAUACAAUUAAGUAUAUUUUGCCGAUAUGAAAUUCAUGGAUGAAAAGGUUUAGUCAUUAUAUAUUUACUUGCAUAUUGUUCUAUUGUUUUAUAGAACUACUAAGUACAUUUCGAUUGUUUUCACAUGGCCAAACAAUUCAUGCCACUAUCAGGAAGAAGUUUAUAGACACAUAUAGAUCAAAGAUAAAUGAGAAUCUAUUUAAACAUUUAGAAAUUUUAAGGUUCUGGAAUCCACAAAGUAUAACCGAGUAAGCAGUGAAAUAUAAUUAUGUCUGCGUACAUUACAAAAGUAGAGGCGAAAGGAUCAUCUGAAGGUUACCCAGCUUACUACUUCGAGUUUGCUACAAAAGAAACAUUAGAAGAACAUGCAGAGAAAUAUAAAAGAAUGCUCACAUAUCUCUAUAGUCUAUAGUUGUAAAUAAGACUUUCAAGAUAUUAAUAUUUUUAACUUCAAAAUAAUUAACUCCGCUUUUAAAGACAUCAUUGGAUUACUCACCCAAACGAAGCAUGUGGAAUCAUUAAUAAAAAAGAAAGAACUCUGAAAAUUCAUACUUCAGCCAAAUUGCAAUUGUAAUAUCAGACUAAGUUCAUAAUAUGUAACCAUUCCUCAAAUUUUAAUUGGACCAACUUCAUUGACAUGGCAUCAAUUUUUCUAGAUUAUACUCUUUAGGGGUGAUAAAAUUAUUGUUAGUUUAUGAGAAAAACUUAUAGCUUCAAUGAGGAUCUAAAUGGCAACCGAACUGUCCUUACUGUGACCUCAGCAAUGAUGCAGAAGUUCAAUGAUAAGUUCAUUAAUGUUACAAGCUCUUCUAUUAUUUACCAAAAUAUGUGCAACAGAUUUUUCUUUGAUUAAACAUAGUUGUGCUUAAUGUCAAGUGCCACAAGAAUAUAUAUAGAUUUAGAUAUACCAAAAACUUCGGUAUAUCUUGGUUAAAGUUUGGGGUAUCAUUAUACAGAUCUAGAUAUACUCAUAUGUGAGAUUCAUAACAUAUAUUUCUUUGACUAAGCAUGGUUGAGGAGGUUAAUUUGCAUUUAAUUCAUUACAAAAUGCCUACUGUGUUCUUUUUUUUGACUGAGAAAUAGUAGGAGAGGCACCUAAUAUGCUAUAAUAAUAUAUAAUAAGUAUUUACAUGGCUAGGAGGAAAGUCCCACCAAAGGAAAACAAACAAGCAGAGUCUAAAGUGAAUUUACAAAAGAAGUGAUAUAAUCACUGAGAUCAGGGGACACUCUGUAUCUAAGCCAGGUAAGAUCAGCCUUAGUUCUCUCAAGCCAAGCUCUAUAUGAAGGACUGAUCUGAUUGAAGAUGAAGUUAUUUCUCUCCUUCCAAAUAUUCCAAGCAGUAAUGGUGAAGAUUUCAAAGAAAAUUCUACCGGAAUAAAUUUCACGUACUGUGUUUGUAGUUUCCUAACUAAUAAGUAUAUCUCACAUAUGAUGCAUAGAAUUUUGGAUGAUGUGUUACAAAAAGCAACGAAGAACCAUAACAUGGAUGCGAAAAAGGUGGUUGAUUUUCUCAGAGUACAUACUUAUCAAUUUUUAGAGACAUGUAUAAUCUUUGAAAUGUAUUUUUAUUUUGUAGAAAAAUAACAAUUGAGAUUCACCUCAGAAAAGGAUAUGUCAAUUGGUUGCCCAUGGGAGAAGAACCACAUGAUACUAUGGGACUAUAGUAAAUGAGUUGAUGGGUGUGAAGAAAAAAUGUCAGCAUCACAUGGACUCUACAAUGGCAAAAGAAACUGAUGGAGAUCUAUUGUAUUAUCGGAUGGCUCAAAUGAUGAAUGCACCGACAUAAGUGUGCAAGAAUGAAAGGAGAAAUAUGUACGUUGGGAACAAGAAACAUGUUGAAGCAAAAGCAAAAAAACCUACAAUGCUUGAAGAUAAAGACUCAGUUGCCCGUUGUGGCAAAAUAAGAUGUAGUGUUACUGCAGCCGUUAGGAGAGCACAAAAAAUAACCAAAGAGCUAGAUGGCCACAAGACCGGAAUUGUUGAUGUAAAAUGCUAUUCCCUUUGUAAAGAAAUAUAAGAGCGUUUAGAUCACUAGUCUUAUAUUUCUUUAUGGAGGGAGUACAAGACAAGUGGGCAGUUAGAAGAUACAGUAGACAGAAAAAACACAAAAUUAGUUGAUUAGUAGCUUAUAGUGAAACUAAGGCAGACUACUACUGAGAUGGAGAAGAACACUUGACAUCUACCGAUAUAAUGAUGUGAGUUAUUAGAUAACAAAAGUAUUGAAUUUAGCACUACAAGAAUCAUGACAUGUUGUAUUUAUUUGAUUGAAAUAUGAGUUUUCUGCUCUUCAUGACAACUCUUCAAUCCAACAGACUUUUCAGAUCAAGAGAAAUAUUAGAAAGGCUUCAAUAUUAUCCUAUGUCAAUUAACACAUGGAUCUUGCUUUGUAUUAGAUACACGUAUAUGUAAUAUAUUUUUUUGGUGAAUACGCUUAGCAGCGUAUCAUUUCAUUGAUAGGUAGAAGGGUGUUCACAAGUUACAGGGAUGCUCCCUCGCAGACGUACACAAGCCAGCGUCUAGGAGGUUGCAAGGUGGAGCAGAGGGAGGAGGAUGCUCAGCCUCGGGACACAAGGUUUAAUUUACAGGUAUAAAUCGCGGCUAGCCCUCUACGCUCAGCACAGGUGGAGCAGACGUAUAUGUAAUAUAACUUGCAAAUAUAUGCUAAAAAAAUCAUUAUAUAUUUUUAGCUCAGUUAGAGGCUGAAAACAUACAUGUGAAGAAUCACCCGCUAUGGAGGAAGUAGGAAUGAUAUGAAGCUGUAGCACAUACAUGUGAAAACCCGGCAUGACGAACAAUGAGGGCCACAACUCACCUCAGCCAGCCGACACAUCUCUGUCUUAUUAUUUCUUCAACAUCUGCUUCACAUCUGAUUUGGCACUUCACGACCACAAAUUUCAACAAAUAAAACACAAUGUAUAAAUAGUCUAAUUUGACAGGGAAUAGUGACAAAAAUAAAACAAAAUGUACUAUAUAAUGAUAUGGUCGGAGUACAAGAGACAACCAUGUAAAACUUACACUGGCAGAGGUCCGAAAGCACCAACCAUGAGGAAGGCGAGAACUCGCCACCAACGGGCUAAGACCUACCCAAAUGAGUUCAUCGCUGCUGCAUGCCCAAUCUAAGAUCACCAGAGCUAGGGUUUGGGGACAGUACCAAAACAGAAGGAAACUGGAAGAUAAGAGACAAGAAGUAGCGCCGGGAUAGAUCAGGAAUUAGUUUCACAUAAGCUAGCGGCGGCAUCUUCCUUCGCCGGCUGCCAAUCGAAGGCGGCAGUGUAUGUGGAUAAGGUCAUGAGGAGUGUGGAGUGGAUUGACGGAGAUGGGAGAGACGAAUUCUAAAGAGUCACCAGUCCUUUCCUUCGAGAAAAUUGUUACAGAGUUUUUUCUUAGGGGAAAUUUAUUUGUUACGGAGUGAUAUAGUUUACUAAAUGAAUCACAUGGGCAUGAAUCACGUCUGCUGGGCCUCUACUACCCAUACAUGGGCUUGGGAAAGUUGGGUGCUUCAUAUAGAAAAAAGAACAAUUCUUUGUCCAUCCCAAAUUUGAAAUCCCAUCGUACUAUUUUCUUGCGAGGCGAUUCCAUACUAGGCUCUCAUUAAACUUCAACUUUUUUCUGCGCAUAAACUUAAAAUUCAACUUACAUGGUAUCAUAACUACUAUUUUAUUCAAAAGCAAGAAAACAUGAAAUAUCGCUUCAACCCUCUCAAGACAAUUACUCAACACUCGACAAGAACAAACAUGCAUUAUUACGGUAUUAUUGUUCGCCUUUUCUUUUAUCUUCAUGCAUUGCAAACUAAUUAAUUUUGUACUCCCCCCGUAAAGAAAUAUAAGAGCAUUUAGAUCACUAAAGUAGUGAUCUAAACGCUCUUAUAUUUCUUUAAAGAGGGAGUACCAUGAAAUUCCCACAAUUUCUGGCGUGGCUCUUCUGUUCAAUCGCUUCUUUUCUUUGAGGAACACUAACAACUUCAAAUCUCAAAAAUAAAUAAAUUCAAAACACACUUUAGAAGAUAUGAUCAUGAAUCUAGAAAAACUUCAAACCACUCUUUAGAAGAUACAAUCAUGAAAGCAAUAUGAAAAUACGAUCUAAUAACCAAAGUCCUAUUAGAUACCGAGCUCAAAUGCACCAUGGUGAACAGUAACCUCGAAAAAGUGAUAAAAAAUUGAAACGAUCUGAUUUUUUUUGGAUUAACUUCGACAAAUGUUUUCUAUGCUUAACAAAUUUCAGCAUGAAAUGACAUUCAUGGAAGUCAUAAAAAAAACAAAUUCAGCACUCCAAAAUGUGUUCAAAACUAGCAUUUUUGGAGCAUAAAUUUUGUUUUUUCUUUGCCCUCACUUCCACGAAAGUCUCUGCUUCCCACAUCUGACAAGCAAAACUGAUAACAUCAGGCAUAUUAUUGAUCUCUUAUUUGACAGACUAACUUCUUUGUAGCUUUGUAUAUACAUUUGAAGGAGUUUUUCUUUGUAAUAUUCGUUGAAUCCUUAUAGUUUCACAUACAGUGCCAAAUAUAAAUUUCAAAAAUGACUUACUGUACCAAUUCCUCUGAAGCAAUUUCUUCUCUUCGAGAAAAAAUGAAACGGUAGCAGGGUCACACUAAUAAAGAGAUGACACACAGUAAAAAAACAUCAAGAAAAACUAACAAAAGGUUGUUCAGUAGACAAUAAUCAUAAAAUUCUCAACAAUGGCACACAACAAAAACACAAAUUGUUUAUCAAAAAUAUAGGUAUAUCACUCUAGCCGCGCAAAUGCGCGGGUACACCCGCUAGUUCAUGAAGAAAUCAGUAGCAAUGAAACUCUAACGAUCAUAAUGCUAAGAUAACGGAUGGGUCUUGUCCAUCACAUCAUUCUCCUAAUGAUGUGAUCCCGUUCAUCAAAUGACAACAGAUGUCUAUGGUUAGGAAACAUAACCAUCUUUGAUUGACGAGCUAGUCAAGUAGAGGCAUACUAGGGACACUAUGUUUUGUCUAUGUAUUCACACAUGUACUAAGUUUCCUGUUAAUACAAUUCUAGCAUGAAUAAUAAACAUUUAUCAUGAUAUAAGGAAAUAUAAAUAACAACUUUAUUAUUGCCUCUAGUGCAUAUUUCCUUCACUUCUCUCCUUGUAUGCACGACACAAGGCCUUUCUCAAGUUGCUCCUUCAACUUGGCAUUCUCCUCCACAAGAUGCACAUGCUUACAACACGGGUUAGUAGCAUUUGCAUUAUCAAUUAAAACCAUAUGAGGAAACGUGGCUUUCUCCUUGGUUAGCUUCACUUGGAGUUGACCAUGAGACUCCUUGAGGCUUGCAUGAGCACUCUUCAAGGCCUUGUGAGCCUUGUCAAGUAUUUCAAACUCCUCCUUGAGUCUAGCAUGGUCAACCUCAAGUUUAGCCUUCUCGGAAUUAAGCUCACGAGAUACAACAAGAGCAUGAUCAAGAUCUUUCUUUAAUUUAGCAUGGUCAUCGUUGUGUGACUCCUCAAGAGCCAAACGAUGACCAUGCUCUUCCUCAAGAGCAUUAGAGAGAUACGAUAUCUCAUCGGCAUAGUCACGACUAUGCUCUUCCAUCUUAGAGAUGGUUUCUUCGUGAGCCUCGAUCAUGUCAUUGGCUUCACCAAGUUGUUCCGAGAGAGCAAUGAAGCGCUUCUUGGUUUUACCCUUGAGCUUACUCAUAAAAGACUCAAAUUCAUUUUCUUCCUCCUUCGACGCCUCACUUUCAUCAAUGCAAUCCGUUAAUGAAAGCACAAGUGCUCCCUGAGUGAUUUUGGUAAUUAAUGUCAACAUAUCUCUUGUUGGACUAAUACUUCUACCUACUAUAUUUCAGAUGAGUUCAACAUUGGAGUGGCAUGGACAUGGACAAGAGGGUGUGGAACCCCUUCAAGAUGCUAAGGACAAAUGUUGGCAAAAGCUCAAGACUCUACAUUUUCAUUUUAGUGAUCCAAGAUCACAUUGAGUCCAUAGGAAAGCCAAUACUAUUAAAAGGGGAUGAGGUGUUGCUUAAUGGCUUGCUUGCUCAAAGUGCUUAGUGAUAUGCUCCAAAACCCUCGGCCACUUUCUCACAUCCACAUAUGUCCUAAACCUAAAUUACAAACUCGGCCCCACUGAUUUGAUCUAUCCGGCGCCACCGAGUUUCAUCUGAUGCAACCACUACCAAACCCUAAUCAGUUCGGUCUUAUCGAUGGGAUCUCGGUCUCGCCGAGAUGGGCUUGCAAAUUCUGUGUGAUCUAUUGCAACAUUUGCGGUCUAACCGAGUUUGUGUAAUCAGUCCCACCGAGUCUGCUUGACCAAUCCUCUGUUUGCUUAUUACCAAAAUCGGUCUCACCGAGUUUGAGUAAUCGGUCAAACCGAGUUGAGGUUUUACCCUAACCCCUGCACAUCGGUCCCACUGAGUUGACCUUGUUGGUCCCAUCGAAAACUAUAACAUUCACAUUUUGACCCGAAUCGGUCUGAUCGAGUUUACCAGUCGGUCCCACCGAGUUUGUGAGUCUGUGUGUAACGGCUAUAUUUUGUGUGGAGGCUAUAUAUACCCCUCCACCCACUCUUCAUUUGUGAGGAGAGCCAUCAGAACGUGCCUACACUUCCAACAUUCAUUUUCUGAAAGAGAACCACCUACUCAUGUGUUGAGACCAAGAUAUUCCAAUCCAACCACAAGAAUCUUGAUCUCUAGCCUUCCCCAAGUUGCUUUCCACUCAAAUCAUCUUUCCACCAUAGCCAAAUCUGUGAGAGAGAGAGUUGAGUGUUGGGGAGACUAUCAUUUGAAGCACAAGAGCAAGGAGUUCAUCAUCAACACACCAUCUAUUACCUUUUGGAGAGUGGUGUCUCCUAGAUUGGUUAGGUGUCACUUGGGAGCCUCCGUCAAGAUUGUGGAGUUUAACCAAGGAUUUUGUAAGGGAAAGGAGAUCGCCUACUUCGUGAAGAUCUACCCUAGUGAGGCAAGUCCUUCGUGGGCGAUGGCCAUGGUGGGAUAGACAAGGUUGCUUCUUCGUGGACCCUUCAUGGGUGGAGCCCUCCAUGGACUCAUGCAACCGUUACCCUUUGUGGGUUGAAGUCUCCACCAACGUCGAUAUACGAUAGCACCACAUAUCAGAACCACGCCAAAAAUCUCCGUGUCUCCAAUUGCGUUUGCACACUCCAAUCCCAUCCCUUUACUUUCUUGCAAAUUGCAUGCUUUACUUUCCGCUGCUCAUAUACUCUUUGCGUGCUUGCUUGAAUUGUAUUGUGUAUGCUUGAAAUUGUGCCUAUCUACCACCUCAACUUGAAAAUCUUAAAAAUUGCCAACUUUAUUUGUUGAGGAUCUAAGCACCCCCCUCUAGACACCUCUUCUCGAUCCUUUCAAUUGGUAUCAGAGCAUUGGUCUCCAUUGCUUUGGUUUAAUCACCAUUGGAGGAAGAUGGAUGAGUCUAUGUUGGGGAGUCUUAGACGUAGAGUGACUAUGCUUGAUGGAGAGUUCUUUAGUGAGUGGAAAAAAAUGAGAUGCUUGGAAUUUUUCAUGAAUAUCACUUGAACAAGUACAUUACUACUCCUUGUGAACCCCCUGUGGAUCCCUUGCAUGCUACCCAUGAUGAGUCUCUUGACAUGAUUCGCAAUCUUAGAACUAUCAAUCUUAUCGCUAGAGGCUUGCCUAGGAAUUUGAUUGGUCCGUUGCCAACUCUUGAUUGUGCUUAUACUAUAUGGAGAUUCCUUGAGGAACGAUUUUCAGACUAUUCCUUGAAAAACUUAGAUGAGAUUCUUCACAAGUCUAUUGCUUUGAAUAAGAUGAACCCCAAUGAUCCUAAGUUUGGAGAUUGUUUAUUUGAGGUUACCAAUCUUAUGCGUGUCAAAGGAGAUGUUGGAAUCAUUAGCAAUAUUAUUUCUGAAGCUAUUAGAAUUCAUAGAGAUGAACAUUGUCAAAAUCAUAUAUCUAAUGAAUCACUCUCUCUAGGAAAUGAUCAUUUGCAAGAUGAUGUUGAACAUGGAUACUAUGAUGAGGAUGAUGAUAAUGACUUUGAUCUUGAAGAGUCUAUGAGACACUUUGGUCUUAUGGCUAACCUUCGGGGCUACAUAGCUGGAGGGAAGGAAUGGGUCCUUGAUAGUGGAUGUACCGAUCACAUGACCGGAGACAAAGAUAUGUUUCGUGAGCUUGCUGAAAACGACGACCCUCGAAAGUAUGUAACUUUUGGUGAUAACUCAAGGGUAAAGUGGUUGGCCUCGGUAAGGUGGCCAUCUCACAUGACAACUCCAUACAAAAUGUUAUGCUCGUUGAAUCUCUUGGCUAUAACCUACUUUUUGUAUCUAGACUAGCUGACUUUGGUUUCAGUGUCCUAUUUACUGAACUAGAUUGCCAAGUGUUUCGUAGAGAUAAUCAUAAAAUGGUCUUUACCGGCAUACGUACAGGUGAUCUAUACAUUGUUGAUUUCACUAAAAAGGCUCAACCUAGAACUUGCUUAAUUGCUAAAUCUUCUAAAGGCUGGUUGUGGCAUAGACGAUUAGGUCAUGUGGGCAUGCGAAACCUUGACAAGCUUAUUAAAGGUGAUCAUAUCCUUGGUGUUAAAGAUGUCAUAUUUGAUAAGGAUAGACUUUGCAGCACUUGCCAAGCAGGAAAACAGGUUGGAGGAAGCCACCCCAUGAAGAACAUCAUGACCACGAGGAGACCGCUCGAGCUACUUCAUAUGGAUCUUUUUGGACCCAGCUCCUACAAGAGUCUCGGUGGUAACUCGUUUGGACUAGUCAUUGUAGAUGAUUUUUCAAGAUUUAUGUGGGUGUUCUUUCUUGAUGAUAAAUUGCAUGUGCAAAAGAUCUUCAAAAACUUUGCUAGGAAGGCCCAAAAUCAAUUUGAAGUGAAGAUCAAGAAGGUUCGCAGCGACAACGGAAUGGAGUUCAAGAACGCCAAUGUGGACACCUUUAAUUUCUUAACGAAGAAGGGAUUUCACACGAGUUCUCGGCUAUGUACACACCUCAACAAAAUGGAGUUGUUGAGAGGAAGAACCAGACGCUCAUCGAAAUGGCAAGAACGACGCUUGAUGAAUACAAGACGCCAAAACACUUUUGGGCAGAAGCGGCUGAGACAGCUUGUCAUGCAACGAAUCAUCUAUAUAUUCAUAAGCUACUCGAAAAGACGGCAUACGAGCUUCUCACCGGUAACAAACCCCAAGUUGGAUACUUUCGAGUAUUUGGUUCAAAGUGUUACAUUCUUGAUAAGCAUCGUCGUUCAAAAUUUGUUCCUAAGUCUCAUGAAGGUUUCCUACUCGGUUAUGGCUCAAACUCUCACACUUACCGUGUCUACGGCAAUUUCACUUGAAAGGUUGAAGAGACGGUAGAUGUGAAGUUUGAUGAAUCUAACGGUUCGCAAGUAGAGCAAUUGCUAAUUGAUGUAGGUGACAAAGAUCCUUCAAAAGGAAUCCAAGACUUGUCUAUUGGCAAGAUUCGCCCAACGAAGGUGAGUACCUCGUCCGUCCAAGUGGAAGCCUCAACUUCACGCCAAGGUGAACCACAAGUUGACUUGGAGGCAUCCACGAGUGGGACACAUCAAGAUGAUGAGAACGAGGAUGUGCAACAAGAUGAACCUCGACGACCUCCCUCUCCACCUCCACGGGAGAACAACAACGCCAACAACAACAAAGAAAGACAAGAGGAAGAACAAGACAAUGAAGAGGAUGUUCCAACCCGACCCAAACAAAAGUUAUCACGAGUUCGAGCAAGAGUUUCAAGAGAUCAUCCCAUCGAACAAAUCUCUCAUGACAUUCAAACCGGGAGAACUACUCGCUCUAAAUCUUGUUUAGCUAACUUUUGUGAACAUUACUCAUUCAUUUCUAGCAUUGAACCUAUGAACGUUGAAGAAGCAUUGGAAGAUCCGGAUUGGAUAAAUGCCAUGCAUGAAGAGCUACACAACUUUGAGAGGAACCAAGUGUGGACGUUGGUUGAGAAGCCUGGUGAGAAGAACAAUGUCAUUGGAACCAAAUGGGUGUUUCGGAACAAGCAAGAUGAAGAUGGACAAGUUGUACGCAACAAGGCACGUCUCGUUGCUCAAGGCUACACUCAAGUCAAAGGUAUGGACUAUAGUGAGACUUAUGCCCCCGUUGCUAGACUUGAGUCCAUUCACAUCUUACUUGCCUAUGCCAAUCAUCAUGACAUUACCUUAUAUCAAAUGGAUAUCAAAAGUGCUUUUCUUAAUGGUGAAAUUGAGGAGGAAGUUUAUGUUAAACAACCCCCUGGCUUUGUUAAUCCUAAGAAACCCGACCAUGUUUACAAACUCCACAAAGCUCUUUAUGGUCUUAAGCAAGCUCCUAGAGCUUGGUAUAAAUGCUUGACUAAGUUUCUUCUUGAUAAAGGGCUUGAAAUUGGUAAAAUUAAUUCUACACUCUUUACUAAAAGGGUUAAUGGCGAAUUAUUUAUGUGCCAAUUUAUGUUGAUGAUAUCAUAUUUGGUUCAACUAACCCUCAUUUUAGUGAAAAGUUUGGGAAGCUUAUGUCGGAGAAGUUUGAGAUGUCUAUGAUGAGUGAACUCAAGUUCUUUCUUGGUUUGAAAAUCAAGCAAACUAAGGAGGGAACCUUUAUCUCUCAAACAAAGUAUACCAAGGACUUAUUCAAGAAGUUCAACAUGCAAGAAUGCAAAGGUAUGAAUACCCACAUGCCUACUAUUGGACAUCUUGACUUGACAAAGGAUAGUGAACCGAUUGACCAAAAGGUUUACCGUUCUAUGAUUGGUUCAUUGUUAUAUCUAUGUGCCUCCCGUCCCAAUAUCAUGCUAAGUGUGUGCAUAUGUGCAUGAUAUCAAGCGGCCCCCAAAGAGUGUCAUCUUAAGGUUGUGAAAAGGAUAAUGAGAUACUUAAUACAUACACCAAAUUUUGGCAUUUGGUAUCCUAAGAGGUCUUCUUUUAAUCUUGUUGGCUACUCCGAUUCGGACUAUGCUGGUGACUAGGUUGAUAGAAAGUCCACUUCGGGUACUUGUCAAUUUCUUGGUAGAUCUCUUGUGUCUUAGUCCUCCAGGAAACAAAACUCGGUAUCCUUAUCCACCGCCGAAGCGGAAUACAUUGUCGCUGGUUCAUGUUGUGCUCAAUUACUUUGGAUGAUCCAAACUCUUAAAGAUUAUGGGAUAUAUGUGAAAAAUGUUCCAUUGCUUUGCGACAAUGAGAGUGCUAUUAAGAUUGCUCAUAAUCCCGUGCAAUAUUCUCGAACUAAGCAUAUUGAAGUCCGUCAUCAUUUCAUUUGAGAUCAUGUUGCUAAGGGAGAUAUCAAACUUAAGCAUGUUCGUAGCGAUAAGCAAUUGGCAGAUAUAUUCACCAAACCACUUGAUGAGAAAGUGUUUUUGCGGGUUGAGAGGUGAAUUGAACAUCAUUGAUGCCUCAAAUUUGGAGUAGAAACUCCAUGUGGAUGCAUGCAAGGCAUGAGCCUUACUAUGACUAAUCCUUGACUUCUCUCUCAUGAUGAUGAUCAUAUGUCUUGGAUAUUCUUGUACUCUUGCAUGCUAUCUAACCCUUGUAGGUACUUGGAUGAACCCAACUAUAUGAGAUUGCAACUCAAUCACACUCUAAGCAAUCUCUACAUCUCCAAGUCUCUACCAUAUGGUGGUUGAAGACAAGGAAGCAUGAAUCCAUUCAAUAUAUCCUUUGACAAAUUCCUUAUAUCAAAUUUCAAUUGAUAUCAAAUUUCAUGAUUGUCACUUUGGAUACACAAGUGCUCUUCCUUGCAAGACUAACCCAUGUAGGAAGAUGAACUUCAACUACAAGUGGUGAUCCCAACUCUUGAUGAUCUACAUCAACUUGAGCACCCUACACAAGUUCAACUACAUGACCAAGCUCAACACCACCACCCAAGGUAUGUCAUUCCAUCUUAGAGAAGCUUUACCCCAAGACAUGGGUCAAGGCAACUCAACAAGAUGUGAAUACACCAAAAUGCUUAAACAAAAAAUGGCAACCCCAUUUUGAGCUUAAACGAUGAGUAUGACCUAUGAUCAAGUGUCCUCACUUGACUCCUAAGUUAAUAUACUCUAACAAAGGUGACUUUGUCGCCGACCUUUUCUAGAUGAAGUUCUCUGUUGUUUCUUUGUGCUCUUGCAUUUGUCUCAUGCAUGCUAGUUCCCCUUUCAAAAAAAACUUCAUCUAGAUGUCUUUUCUUUUCUUUUCUCUGUUAUUUUCUGCAUUUCCCUGCAUCCAAUUCAUUGCAAAUCCUUCAUUAAUUCCUUGCAUAUCCAUGUGAGAUCCUAAGUGCCUAAGUGAGCUGAGGUGACAAGUAUUUACUCUUUGGGUUGAACUCGGUCUCACCGAAUUGAUCUUUUCGGCAGAACCGAACCAUCUCGGUGUCACCAAAAAUGACAACUCGGUGCUACCGAUUUCAAUCCUGAGACAAAAAUUGUGUCACUUGCAUCCUGCAUAUCUGUUCCAGCUCCACUUUUAUAACUUGUCCUCUACCAGCAUCAUAUAUUACAUGUGGCUUUGUAAUGUGACUCAAGGACCAAACCUACUUGACUCAUGCUCAAGUCCCUUCUUAGAAAUUGAUGUCAAAGGGGGAGAGAGAGAGCACAUCAAAGCUUAUCACAUAAGAGAGAAUGCACUCCUAAAGCUUCUCCUGGUGCUUCUUACUCUUAAGAGGAAAGUUAUCUCAUGUCUUCAAGAGGGGAAAGACAUGAUAGUAUGUGUUGUGAUUAUCUUGCUCUGGUUAUUUUCUUGUUUGCUCUGAUUUUCUAUUACCCUAUCUUCUCCCAUUAUCCAAUGUCAGAUUCAGGGGGAGAAAGACACCUAAGGGAAGAAAAUCUUUGGAAUUCAUUGUAUAUCUUUAGUCUUGGGGACAUGUCAAUAACCAAAUAGAGUACCUAGUACUCACUCUCUACAUGUCAUCCCAGUCUUGUCAUUCUUUGUGUUCUUUAGUUCUUGCUCUGUCUAGUAGAUGUUCUUGUGUUAUCUAACCUUGUUUACCCAGGUACAUCUCUUACAAAGCUAGUUCAAGACCACAAGGUAAGUAUAUUCAUCACACUCACGUGCAUGAAGAUCUCUUGCUAUGGUACAUAUUGUUUGCAAGAGAGAUUCAUGAGCAUGAAGGUAUAUUUCCAGUAUCUACAUCUUUUGCUCUGAUGCAUAUAGCCAAGACACAUGUAACUCAUUGCUUGCUUUGUCAUGUUUAUGCAUUCUCAUCCUCUUAUGAUCUAUCUUCACAUGAUUGCAUACAUGUAGGGGGAGUUAAUGUAUGUUGCAUGUCUUUCCAAAGCUUCACUUGCUAUUUCCUUAUAUCUUUAUCUAAAGCUUUGAUGUAUAUUGUCAUCAAUUACCAAAAAGGGGGAGAUUGAAAGCACAAGUGCUCCCUGGGUGAUUUUGGUAAUUACUGUCAACAUAUCUCUUGUUGGACUAAUACUUCUACCUAGCAUAUUUUAGAUGAGUUCAACAUUGGAGUGACAUGGGCAUGGACAAGAGGAUGUGGAACCCCUUCAAGAUGCUAAGGAUAAAUGUUGGCAAAAGCUCAAGACUCUACAUUUUCAUUUUAGUGAUCCAAGGUUACAUUGAGUCCAUAGGAAAGCCAAUACUAUUAAAAGGGGAUGAGGCGUUGCUUAAUGGCUUGCUUGCUCAAAGUGCUUAGUGAUAUGCUCCAAAAGCCUCAGCCACUUUCUCACAUCCACAUAUGUCCUAAACCUAAAUUUCAAACUCGGCUCCACUGAUUUGAUCUAUCCGGUGCCACCGAGUUUCAUCUGAUACAGCCACUGCCAGACCCUAAUCAGUUCGGUCUUACCGAUGGGAUCUCGGUCUCACCGAGAUGGGCUUACAUAUUCUCUGUGAUCUAUUGCAACAUUUUUGGUCUAACCGAGUUUGAGUAAUCGGUCCCACUGAGUCUGCUUGACCAAUCCUCUGUCUGCUUAUUACCAAAAUCGAUCUCACCGAGUUUGAGUAAUCGGUCAAACCGAGUUGAGGUUUUACCCUAACCCCUACACAUCGGUCCCACCGAGUUGACCUUGUCAGUCCCAUCGAAAACUCUAACGUUCACAUUUUGACCCGAAUCGGUCAGACCGAGUUUUACUAGUCGGUCCCACCGAGUUUGGGAAUCUAUAUGUAACGGCUAGAUUUUGUGUGGAGGUUAUAUAUACCCCUCCACCCAUUCUUCAUUCGUGAGGAGAGCCAUCGGAACGUGCCUACACUUCCAGCAUUCAUUUUCUGAAAGAGAACCACCUACUCAUGUGUUGAGACCAAGAUAUUCCAAUCCAACCACACGAAUCUUGAUUUCUAGCCUUCCCCAAGUUGCUUUCCACUCAAAUCAUCUUUCCACCAUAGCCAAAUCUGUUAGAGAGAGUUGAGUGUUGGGAAGACUAUCAUUUGAAGCACAAGAGCAAGGAGUUCAUCAUCAACACACCAUCUAUUACCUUUUGGAGAGUGGUGUCUCCUAGAUUGCUUAGGUGUCACUUGGGAGCCUCCGUCAAGAUUGUGGAGUUGAACCAAGGAGUUUGUAAGGGCAAGGAGAUCGCCUACUUCGUGAAGAUCUACCCUAGUGAGGCAAGUCCUUCGUGGGCGAUAGCCAUGGUGGGAUAGACAAGGUUGCUUCUUUGUGGACCCUUCAUGGGUGGAGCCCUCCGUGGACUCACGCAACCGUUACCCUUCGUGGGUUGAAGUAUCCACCAACGUGGAUGUACGAUAGCACCACCUAUCGGAACCACGCCAAAAAUCUCCGUGUCUCCAAUUGCAUUUGCACACUCCAAUCCCAUCUCUUUACUUUCUUGCAAAUUGCAUGCUUUACUUUCCGCUGCUCAUAUAUUCUUUGCAUGCUUGCUUGAAUUGUAUUGUGUAUGCUUGAAAUUGUGUCUAUCUACCACCUCAACUUGAAAAUCUUAAAAACUGCCAACUUUAUUUGUUGAGGGUCUAAUGACCCCCCCCCUCUAGACACCUCUUCUCGAUCCUUUCAGUCAAGGAAGGAUUAGUAGUGAUGGUGGUUUUGAUGUUGGGGGUUACCUUGUUGGUGGCUUUAGCCAUGAGGCACUUGGCGGUGGUAUUCUUGUUGGGUGAGUCGAAGAGGGACACCCGUGGAGUUAUUGCAAUGGCAACGGAGGCCAUGGUAACCGUAUCACCGUCUUCAUCAUGAUCAUCCUCAUUUUACUCUUCUUGUGCCACCAACCCCUUGGGAGGAGUGUUCUUGGUGAAGUUGUUCUUGUUGGGGAAGGACUUGGCCUUGUCCUUUUGGAGAAGCUUGCCUCCAUUGUCUUCCCUCUUCUCGUACGGGCAUUCCGCAACAAAGUGGCUCACAUUGCCACAAUUAUAGCAUGUCCUCACAUGUUGCUUGCCCUUGGUGCCACUUGAGUUGUUCUUGUUGAAGUUGGGCCUUGUGUUCUUCUUGCUCCAAAAUUGCCGUGACGCGAGAGCCAUGUGCUCAUGAUAAGCAUACUUGGUAUCUUCGAGGCAACAUUCCUCUUCACUCUCUUCUUCCACACUAGCCUUGGCCUUCAAAGCUAGGUUGGGCUUCUUUGAUUGUUGAGAACGCAACACCGCAUUGUCGGCGAUCUUGUCCAAGAUCCUCAUAGCAACAAACUCAUCCAACACUUCACUUGAGGACAAGGUGUGAAAGUUCGGCCUUUGACGGAUGAUGGAUGACAUGGCCUUGUGGUAGGGCAUCAUGGCCUUGAGAAACUUGCGCUUGAUCCAAUUUUCAUACGUAUCCUUGCUCCCAUGAUCUUGGAGUGAGACCGCGAGAGUGAUUAAUCUCUGGUAAAGCUCACGAGGUUCUUCAUCUUCAUUCAUAGAAAACUCAUCGGCUUCAUCUUGUACCACUUCAAAGUUAGAGCAUUGAAUGCUAGCACUUCCCUUGUAAAUGGAAACAACAUGUUGUCGUGCUUCCUUGGCCACGGUGAAAGGUCGGAGGUGAGCAAUAUCUUCGAGAGGAAUUGCUUCUUGGAGAAUGAAAAGAGCGGACUCGUUGAAUUGAUGGUCCGCAACUUCUCUAGGACUGAAGUUGCUUGGGUCAUGCGGGUAGAAACCUUGCUCAAUAAUUUUUUAAAGAUUAGUAGAACUAUGAUUUAAAUGAAGUUUAAAGCGAUACACCCAAGAAGCAAAAUCCUCAUUUUUCACAAGCUUAGGAGGAGGACCAACAUGAUUCAUAUGAGUUGAGGGAACCGGUCUUCCAUAAGUAAGUGGAGGUUCAACAUGGGCAAAGAUGCCACUCCCACUUCUACCACUAGGAAAAGGAGCAUGCUCACUACUAGCUUCCCCCUUUUUGGAGUUAGCAUCCGUCACCUUGUUAGCGGGAUCAACCACUUCCAAUGGUUCGGUGGAUAAUUUAAGCCCAUCAAGAAACUCCUUAAACAUGCCUUUAACCUCAGCCAUCAUGGAGGUUUUCAAUGUGUCCAUAGCCACAUUGAACUCCUCACGAGAGACUGAGGAUCCCGCAUCGGCCGCGGACAAAGUGGGAUUCGCACCGGGGUGGUCCUCCACCUCGUCCGAGGUGUCAACCAUACUCUUCGAACAGCAAAGUCCUUAAUAAAGAGACGAGGUUCUGAUACCAAUUGAAAGGAUCGAUAUGGUUGACUAGAGGUGCGAAUCCCACUUUGUCCUUAAUAAAGCCUCGUCUAUUAAUUAAGGACUUGGCGGCCAGUGCCAACCAAGGACGGUACUGCCACCGAUGCACCCAAGCGGUACUACCGCUGUGGAACGGCAGUACUGCCGCUUGAGGACCAUGGGAGGUACUACCACUCUGGCGGUGGUACUACCGCUAGCACCUCACAACCUCCACUUCGAUGAAAUCACGAACUCCAAGGAAAUGAAAUGAGCUGGGGUGCAAAGAUGAAGUGCACGUAUUGAUUCCACCCUAGCCUUUCCAGAGCGGACCCCCUCUUGAUAGUACGGUGUCUCCUAUGACUCAAGUCCGCCAAAACUGAAACGAAAGAGACUACACCGUCUUCACUUAAAACUCUGAGGGGCAACGAGUCGUCUUGUGCCUAGACAUGGGAUAUCUGAAAUGCUCAAUGCACACGAUUAGUCCACAAAAGCAUUGUCAUCAAUCACCAAAACCACAUAGGGAGAAAUAUGCCCUUACAAAUGGAAACAUGGAGAAAAGUAUGACUUGUUUUGUUUUCACCUCUAGUAUUGGAGGUGAGAACUCGACUUGGUGUUUCCCGAUGCCUCACAUUCCUAUUGUUCUCAAGCACUCCUUCCUCUUCCUUUUUUGGCUUGCUUGGUUGCUUUAACUUAGAAAACACAUACAUGUGUGCACAUAUUCAAUGUGAGUCAAAUGCGAGCUUGUAAGAGUAAGAUAGAGAGGGCAUAAGAACAGUAGGAAUGAGAAUAUAGGAAAGCCUAACUUACCGGUUCCACUCAUCCCUAUCAUUCUUAUGUGCUCCUUCCUCUUCCUCUUUUUUGUUGCUAAAUCACUUUAGCAGAAAAACUAAAAUAUAUGCACAUAUAUUGAGGUGAUAAGAGAUGUUCGCCAUGUGAGAGGAAGGUUAAGAAAGAAGUAUACGAGCAUCUCUAACAGACCUCAUAUAUCAACAAUCCUUAUAACACAGAUAAGGACCGAGAAAUCGGAUGUUUGCGGGGCGAAAUUGGCUAAGACCGAACAGACCCCGUAUUUGAAACUAUAAAUUUUGAAAGAAAGCAUUCACGGGCUAAAUGAAGAACACAUACUACAUUCAUAGUUUGAUCACCGCUACAUUUCCGAAGUUAUUUUACAUCGCGGCGCCACCCUACCCCUAAACUAGCCAAAAUCGGAGCUCUCCGGGUGCGGUGGCGAUGCUGUGGCAGCGACGCUCACUCAUCGUCGCUGGAGGAGGAGACGAGGUCGACGUACUUCUUGUCUUGAUCCUCCUACUCGUGGCGCCAUGCUGCCUUCUUGGCGUCGAACUCGCGCGUGGCGGCGAGCGCCUGCUCGAAGAGGAGGUCACUGAGCUCCUCGUCCUACUGGUGACACACAUCCUCCUCCUCCUUCUCGCACGCAGUGUGGUACGUCUCCAACGUACCUAUAAUCUUUUUAUUGUUCGACACUAUUAUAUUAUCAAUCUUGUAUGUUUUAUGUGCAUUAUUAUGCUAUUUUAUAUCAUUUUUUGGGACUAACCUAUUAACCUAGUGCCAUUUGUUGUUUUUUCCUUGUUUUUGCCUUUACAGAAAAUCAAUACCAAAUGGAGUCCAAAUGAAACAAAACUUUUUGACGGUUUUUCUUGGACCACAAGACAUCCUAGAAGUUUCGGGGGAGGCUAGAGGAGCCAUGGGAUGGCACAAGCUUGCAGGAUGUGCCCUAGGCGGCGCCCCAAGCUUGUGGGCCCCCUGUAGCCCCUCUAACCCUAAUUCUUCUUCUAUAAAAACCCAAAUAUUCCUUGUAGACCAGGGAGCACACCAAAAAUACUUUUCUGCCGCCACAAGUUUCUAUUCUCGCGAGAUCCCAUCUGGAGGCCUUUCCGAUAAUCUGCCGAAGGGGGAUUCGACCACGAAGGGCUUCUACAUCAACCUUACUGCCCUUCCGAUGAUGUGCGAGUAGUUUACCACGGACCUACGUGUCGAAGUUCUGGGAACAGGGGUCCCCAGACUUGCCUGCCUACGGCCUGUGGCGUGGCUCAAGUAGUGGCCCAGUAUGGCCCAUCUUCAUCAGCACAAGACUCAAGACCCUCGCGAGGGGCCAGGCCUCGCGGGGCGGACGAUGCAAGGCUUCCUCAGGGACGGCCUCGCCAAACAGGCUCGCGAGGAGGCGGAGAGAUCAAGGCAGGGUACCUCGCGAGGUGCUCAUGAUGCAAGCCAUGACGAUCGAGGCCAAGCGGGCGCCGGCCUGUGCAGUGUCCUUGUUUCCUCUUUGGUGCAAAGGGGGCAAGCAUAGACGUGGAGUACCGAGGCAUCAGGCAAAGGUUGCCAUUUCGGUGCAACGAGACCAAGACCAGCGGAGCGGCAGGAUGGAGGUCAAUGUGGAGCUCAAGACGGCGUCAUCGCCAGUGCUUUUGGCAGCCGAAGACCAACUCUAGUCAGGAUAAUUUGUACUAGAUGUUCCCCUUCGAAAUGGCCAUUGUUGGCGAACUUCCCGCUCAAUAUUUGGGGAGAUGCCCAGGGCCUCUAUAAAUAGAGCUAGCCACCACAGAGUAGAGGCAUCGGAUCCAGAUUUUGGGAAGACUAGAGAGAGAGAGGCAAUCGAACUCACCCAAGCAGUUCAUCGCAUCAGCUCAAGAACACCUCUCGCGAGGCCGUUCUUCCCCUGUACUGUUCAUCAUCAGCCCCUGAGGCAAUCCACCACACCACACACUGGAGUAGGGUAUUACACCACAACGGUGGCCCGAACCAGUAUAAAUCUCGUGUCCCUUGUGUUGUUCAUCGUAUUCAGCUUAGAUCUGACGAGGCAAUUGGACGUAGAUCGGUAGGGGAGAGAUCUUCGUGUGCACCUCAGAGUUUGAACCUUAAGGGUCUGCCGGAACCCAACAUCCGACAUUUGGCACGCCAGGUAGGGGUGCGCUGGAAUCUCUCUUCCGCUGUUCAUGCUCGAUCUUCCGUCGUGUCCAUGGCUGACGCUCGCCGGGCUCGCGCCGAGCGUCGGGCUGCUCUCGUCGCCCGCGUCGCCCAGACGGCGCCCGUCGGCGGGUGUCCCCGUCGUUCCCCGUCGCCUGCUGCCAACUCCUCCACCGGCCCGGUGGGGAACAAGCAGCAUGCCUCGUCUCUGCAUCCUUCGGUGUGGCGGGAAGGUCGCACUGCCACCCCGUCGCUGACUCCAGCCGGUUCGUCGUCCCACGCCCGUCGCGCCUCCAUGGACGCGCACGCCGUGUUGCUCCUGGCACGUGAGCUCCUGCACUACCGUCCCAUCGACGACCUCUACGAGGACUGGCUCGCCCGCACCACCGAGCUCGUCAGUGCCGCAGGGGGCUCCCCUAUGUCGUCCCUCUCGCUGCCUCGCCCUCCGUCCUGCGCAGGAGGCGCAGACCAGGAGGUGCCUCCGCCUCCUCCUCCCCAAGAAGGCGCAGACCAGGAGGUGCCUCCGCCUCCUCCUCCCCAAGAAGGCGCCCCAGCUCCAAGGCGCGCGGCCCUAGGACGAGAUCCACCGUGUCCGGCGCACGCGCGACAAGAAAGGAGCUGCCAAGAAAUCCCUCGUCCCCAAGAAGGCGCACGCGUGCUCCCGACACCGGUGCGCCGUGACCGCAUCCCUGCGCCGCCACGUCAAGACCCCGCGCUGCUCCAAGCGGCAGCGCGUGGGAAUUUCCAGGAGCAAGCCCAGCAUCAGCAGAGAGCUCCGAUGGUCACCGCAGGCUGUCGCGCCUUCACCCCCGAGCUACGCAGUGUCGCCUGGCCAGGUAAGUUCAAGCCUGACCUGCCUCCUCACUACGACGACACUGCAGACCCCGCGGAGUUCCUACAGCUCUACGAGCUGGGCAUCGAAGCUGCCAACGGGGACGAAAAGGUCAUGGUGAACUGGUUUCCCAUGGAACUCAAGGACGAUGCCCGCACCUGGCUCCUGAACCUGUUUCCUUGCACGAUCUCCUCCUGGGACGAGAUGCGCACCCGCUUCAUCGCCAACUUCCAGGGCACUCGCGACAGUCUGCCGGCUGUGGGUGACCUGCGCCGCAUCAAGCAGUAGCCUGGAGAGACCUUGCAAAAGUACAUCCAGCGCUUCAACAACGCUCGCCUCAAAAUUCCCAGUGACUGAGGAGGCCAUUAUCUCUGUGUUCUCUGAUGGCGUUCGCGACGUCAAGAUGAAGGAGGAGCUGGCAAUCCAUGAAGAUCUGUGUACGUCACUGGAGUUGUUCAACCUGGCGACCAAGUGUGCAAGGGCUGAGGAGGGACGCCUCUCCCUUCUCGAGCUCCCAACAGCAGACCCAGAAGAGAAGAAAGCCAAGGCCAAGGAUGUGAAGCGCCAGGGAGCAGCUGUGCUCGCAGCAGAGCCGGACACAAAACGCGGCAGGGACCAGUCGGAGUCGUCCAAGGGCAGCCGGUACUGUGUGUACCAUGAUCUCCACACCCACAACACCAACGAAUGCCAAGAGUUUAGGGCCGUACGAGAAGGCCGCGUCGGACGACGCCCCGAGUGCAACGAUCGGGGCUACGACCGAGGAGCAAGAGGUGGAGGAUGAUGGGACGACCGUGGCCCUCGCCAAGGGUAGCGUGACCGACCUCGCGAGGACCACUGGCAGGACCAGCCUCGCGAGGGAUCUUGGAGAGAUCAGCCUCGCGAGGAUCGCCCACAAGGCAACGCAGGCCUUCCUCCUCUGCCACCACCACCAAGGAGGAAUGAAGACCAUCAUCAGGACGAGGGGGCUGGGGGCUUCCAGGAGCCACGUGCGAUUGCUUGCAUCCCGGGCGGCGCUCAGGCCCCAGCCUCACAGCGCAUCUUCAAGCAGUUAGCUCGUGAGGUGAAUGCAGUCGUCCCCAAGCUUGAGGCCACACGCCCUCUCAGGUGGUCUGCGUGCACCAUCACGUUCAGCUCAGUGGAUGAUCUCAAGUGCGCGGCAACGGCCAGUGUCCUCCCAAUGCUUUGUUCCCCAGUCAUCAGCAAUGUGCAAGUCACUAGGACCCUCAUCGAUGACGGAGCAGGACUCAACGUUCUGUCCGUCGAGACAUUCAACAAUCUCCAAGUGCCAUAUGAUCAGCUUCAGCCAACCAAGCCUUUCUCGGGAGUCACUGAUGGUUCCAUUGUCCCGAUAGGGCAGGUCCGCCUUCCUGUCACCUUUGGACAACGCAACAACUACCACACAGAGCUCAUUGACUUCGACGUCUCCCACAUUCGCUUGCCAUACAAUGCCAUCCUCGGGUACCCAGCCCUGGCCAAGUUCAUGGCAGUGACUCACCAUGGCUACAACGUCCUCAAGAUGCCAGGGAGCAGUGGGGUCAUCACGGUCCCCUGUGAAGAGAAGGAUGUGGUGUGCUCCCUCGAGCGCGCCUUCCAGGCCGCGUCGACCGAGGACCCGGACAGCAAGAGUGGAAACCUCCCUGGAGUAGCUCCCAAGAAGAAGAAGACAUCACCUGGUUCAAGGCCUCAGGAGGUAGGCACCUCCGGAGGCGCCACAUCUGGACAUGUGCCCGUCCAAGGGGCGCCACCCUCCAUCGCAUAGGAAGGCGCACCCAGCGCCCUCCUCGGGCAAGGCUCGGGGGCUCUCUCCUGGGGAGUCAUCGACCUUGCCAAAAUCACGAGGGAGGCGCUUGGGCACCACUUGGAGGCGUGCUUCACGGCACGCUUCCCUCAGGAAGGUGUAAGGAAAGAAGGACCCAACCCUCAGGAGUUCAUCACCAAGGCCGCUCAGGAGUUGGAGGAAUCGAGAGUCAUGCGCGGCAACCGCCGUCUGCCCGGCGUAGCUCCCCAUCCAGGCGAGGAUGGCGGGUUGCGCGUCUCCAUCGACUACCCAGGGCUCAACCGAGUCGCUUCUCAGGUGUGCUUCUGGCCUUCGCGCGUGGGGCGUUGCGCGGGCCCACUGCACAGCUUCGUCCGCAUGCCCUUUGGUUUGCCGAACGCGGCUGCAGCCCACCAGCGCUUGAUGAGAAGCAUUCUUGAAGCUCAGGUGGCCAAGCAUCGCACGUUCCUGGAGGAGAUGGAGAUGGACCUCGUCGGGCCGCCCGGACCUCCUGAGCCUCCCGAGGCUCGGAGUCCUGAGGGCUCGUGAGGAUCGGCUUCUUCGCCCCGCACCGCCAGCUACUCCGACAAUUGUUCUACAAUAGUAUCAGGUGACUUCUUUUCAGUUUUCGCUUCAGCUGGGAGCGCCCCCAAGGCUGCAUCAUUCCCAGGUCGCGUGGGUCCGUCCCUGCGGCAUGUAUCCUUUUGCUUAUGACUUCUGCUUACCUUGUUGGGGGCACCCCUCGGGCUGCAUCAUCCCCAAGCUGCUCGGGCCUGAUCCAGUGGCGUUUUCUUUCUCCGCAUCUAUCGAAGUUGAAUUGCUUCUUCAUGCUUAACCUACUCAUGAUUAUCGCCUGCUGCCUACCACGGACCUCUCCACUCUCAUGCAAAGUGCUUGCACAUUAAAAGGGGGGUGCCUGAGCAUCGCGACUCAUGGGCUCUUACUGGCUCUCCAGCCCUCACCCCCUGGCCUUGACCCACGGCAUCGCGACCUGUCAUACCAGCGGCGGCUGAGCUUGCUUGAGGGCCGGGACCUGAGGACAUAGAGCAUUUGCAUUCUAACCACCUUGUAGGAACAUACCACUGACAAAGGCCCAGAGCCAGGUGCAACCCGCCUCGAGGUAGGGCCUCGUGAGUCCCGCGCUGGCUCACGGGUGCCUAGAUACACCUCUCCUAGCCCUACCGUGUCGGCCACGUGUCAGGGCGGGGCUGUAGACGCCCCGGGGGCUCCUCCCGGAGGGGAUCCCCCUCCCACGCACCAGUGGAAGCACCAUGUUCUGCGCUGGCUGACGACACUACCGAGGAGCGGCUAUGCCCGUACACAUACGGAAGCACUAUGCUCCGCGCUGGUGAUAAACAACUGAGGGCAGCCCAUGACUGUAUCAACCUCAGGGAGCCCAGAGAUCAGUGUCUGGCACCAUCGCAAAGCCUCCCCUCGGGAGUGCCGCGCGAGGGGGCUGGACACGGGGGCUGCGCCCAGGCCACGCCCGAGCACAUGCCACCCAGCCAGGUCCCUCAGACCUGGUCAUCGCGCGCCCCUCCCCGAGCGGAGCCAAGGUAUGAAGACUCAUUUGAGCGUCAAGGGGGACUCCUGAGCAUCGCGACUCAGGAGCCUAACUGGUCACGUAGCCCCUCACUCCUUAGUUCCGAAAGGCUAACGACGGUUGAGGUAUGUGUGGGGCCGGGCCCUGCUGACAUAGAACGACAAAUCCUCCCCUUCACCCCUCCCUAUUUGUUGUUCGCGCGUCAAGGGGGGCUCCUGAGCAUCGCGACUCAGGAGCCUAACUUGUCACGUAGCCCCUCACUACUUAGUCCCGUCCUGGUGAUCCGGUUGGGGAUAACGACGGCUGAGGUAUGCGCGGGGCUGGGCUCUUCCGACGUAGAACACAAGCAAAUAGGAAGGAAAUCGCAAAAUCUAGCAAAUCCAGAAGCAAAUAUUACAGACAUAAAUUGUUCUCACAAUACCAAACACGAAUUUAAACGCCUCCACGAGGCAUGGUGCAUGUUGCAGGAAUCAAAGCAGGGAAAAGGCUGCGAGAGGAUCACCCCUGGGCUGCGCCACCGCUCGUGGUAGAGUCGCGCUUGGCAGCCCCACCUCCUGGAGUUGCGGGGCCGACAGCACCUCACUUGGGCGCGGUGUUGAAGGUGCGGAACUUCGAUAGCAAGGCCUCCGCUCGACCCUUGACGGCUUCAGCAGCAGCGGCAGAGUGCUUGGCGUCCACGGGCUCCAGCAGGUCAUCGAGGUUGGCGUCGGGGUUGCGGAGGUAGACGUGGCUGAGGAUCUGCGUCAGCGCUGCGGAGGAGAGGACGCGAGCCUCGACUUCAGCCAUGGGGCCGAUGCCGAUCACGACCUCCUCAAGCGCCUCGACAAGGAAGGGAACUAGCUUAGCGGGGCCUUCCUUGGCUCCGGCCAGUGGCUUCUCCAGGCCCUCGUCGUAGAGCAUUUUCAGUGCUACGCGGGCCCUCUCCUCGUAGAGCGCGAAGGCCGUACGGUCUUCGGCCAGGAUCUUCGCCUUGCCAUCUAGUUCGACCCUCUCCAUCUUCAGCGCCUGCUCCAGCGUCUUCAACCGGUCAUGGUCGGCUGAUAGUUCGGCGUCGCGCUCCUUGACAGCAGCCUCCCGAGCUUUCAUCUCCUCCUCCUUCACCUGGUGGCCACGAAUCUCCUUGGCGAGCUCAUCACGUAGCCCUUGCAAUUCGCCCUCCAGCGUCUUGCAGUGGCCCUUGGCGGUAAAGGCGUCCUUCAAUGCCUCGUCGCGAGCGGCCAUGGCCUGGAAGGUGGCUUGCUUCCCCUCCUCGGAAGCCGUCACAGCCUGGCUCAGCGCCGCUCGGAUGGAGGUGUCAGAACUAGCCCAACUAGAGACCAACUCCAGGCGCCCGGCCACUAGGCCGGGGUCCACGCUCCGGAGGUCCUCCCGCAGCCGGCUCAGUUCGGCGGCAGCACGGUCCAGGGGGGCAGAGGAAGCAGAGGAGAUGGGAGCCGGAGGAGUAGGAGGAGAGGACGGUAGCAUGAUCACGGCUUGGGAGGAAUGGACCCCCUCAGCCUUGGCCACCACGGCGACAACAUCAAGCGCAGGCACCUCUAGAGUCAGCGGGGCCACAAGGGCUAACUCCUCGCCGGAGCGCCCCUGCUGGCCUCGCGAGGACGAUCGGGCAUGGGACGUGCGGGCCCCGCUACCUCCCUUUCCCGCAAGUGAAGACGCGGCCGCGGCCGAGGGGCCCGCCCCAGGCGGGGUCGCCGCAUCUCCCCUCAGCCUCUUCGCCGCGGGCAGCAGCCUACCCAAUGGAAGAUGUCAGGUCUAGACAGCAAAAGACAGGAGCAAGGCGGAAUUCGAACACUUACUGAUUGACCGCUGCUGGAUCCCAUGGACUCCGGCCAAGCUUGAAGCCUGAAAGCCUCUUGUGGGGCUAAGCCUCGGGAGGCCCAGUCGCAGGAGAAGGCGCGCCUGAAGGGCUGGAGCUGACUUCGGCCGAUGCAGGGGCCGGGGUAGACCCUUGGGGGAUCAGCCCGGACCUUUCCUUCCUUGGGAUCAGGGGCGCGUCCUCCCCCUCUCGCCUGGUGCCGGCCUCAUCGUCGUCAGGCAAGGAGCGGAGGGCCCUGAACCUGCGCCAGGGGGAAGUCUCCCACGUCCCCUCGAAGGUCGCCUCCGAGUCAUGCUCCUUGUCCUCGUCGCCAUCUUCCUCCUCUUCUCCGCUGGAUUCGCCGGAGGACAGGUUCACCGUCGCCGUCGCCACCUGACCCUCAGGAUCCUCCGUCGGCACCAGGCCGACCCCGUCGAAGGUGGGCAUGGCGUCCACCACCAGCUCCCAGUCAUCAUGGAGGAACAAAGGGACCGGAGCACCCACCGGGCCUGCCACUUCCUCUCCAACCAAGCAGCACAGGGCCGCGGUCAGAUCCUCGUCGCUCAGGGCAUCCAAGCUCAGGCGGAGGACAACAUCCGCAUCCGCGAGCCUCCACAGCGGGCGCGAGUGCGCCUGAAGAGGGGCCACCCGGUGCGACAGAAACUCCCUCAAGAGUGAGGCCCCGGUCAGCUUCGCCGCCCUCAGACUGCCCGGCCUCAGGUCGGCGUUCAUCUUCUCCAACACCCGCUUCGCCCGCCGGUCAUCUAGCUUCGCGCGGGACCACGCCUCAACGGCCUCGGGCUGCUUUAUCGACAGCUCCAGCAGGGGGUUGUGGCACCCAACAUUCACCAUGACCCACUUGCUCUGGAAGCCCUCAGCCCUCUUCCCGGCCUUCGAGAUGGCGUUGGACUUGGAGUACGCGACAAAACUCGCGCACACGGAGAUAUUGCCGCCAGAGACCCGGAGGGAGAAGAAGUGGCGCAGGAAGGCCAUGGAGGGCGCCACCCCGACAUGCGCCUCACAGUAGUAGGCGAAGAUCGACAAGAGGAGGAUGGAGUUGGGGUGGAUAUGUAGAGCAUGCAACUGAUACUGGCGAAGGACGGCAAGGAAGAACUCAGAGAAGGGAGGAACCAGACCAGCGAUGACGGCGUUCAUGAAGAAGGGGUAGAAGGUGCUCCCCUUGUCCUCCGGCUAGGCGGAGCCAAGACGGAGCGCAGUCUCCCCAUCUCGUUGAUCUGCGACGCCGCCAUCUGGCGCGUGAGGGCGAGAUUCUUUUCCAUCACAUUGGGAGAGACCAGGGCCGGCGAGUACCAGGCCGAUGCAGUCUCAGCCGGAGUCUUGCAGGGGGCCAUGGUUCGCUGGAGGAGAAAGGAUGCGGCAGAUCUGGAGAUUUUGGAGGCAGGAAAGCGAAGAGCAAGAGAGGGGAUCUGGAGCAAGGAGAACGAGAGUAAUGAUGUAAUGCUAACCCAGAGCCAGCCAUUUGUCAGUCGAGCAGUUGCCGAGGCAGCGUGGGGAAGCGGAGACGCCCACGUCCAAUCAACCGCCAUGCGGCGCCCAAGGUCGCAGGCUGAUGGGGCCCGCGGCGCUCUGCACUUGCCCCUUCGCUUCUCCGCUAAGCCAAGUCUGAGCGCGCCUUGGGCCCGGGGGUUACUAUCGGCGUUCUGGUAACGGGGGUCCCCAGACUUGCCUGCCUGCGGCCUGCGGCGUGGCUCAAGUAGUGGCCCAGUACAGCCCAUCUUCAUCAGCACAAGACUCAAGACCCUCGCGAGGGGCCAGGCCUCGUGGGGUGGACGACGCAAGGCUUCCUCAGGGAUGGCCUCGCCAGACAGGCUCACGAGGAGGCGGAGAGAUCAAGGCAGGGUACCUCGCGAGGUGCUCAUGACGCAAGCCAUGACGAUCGAGGCCAGGCGAGCGCCAGGCGGGUGCCGACCUGCGCGGUGUCCCUGUUUCCUCUUUGGUGCAAAGGGGGCAAGCACAGACGUGGAGUACCAAGGCAUCCGGCAAAGGUUGCCAUUUUGGUGCAACGAGACCAAGACCAGCAGAGCGGCAGGAUGGAGGUCACCGUGGAGCCCAAGACGGCGUCAUCGCCAGUGCUUUUGGCAGCCGAAGACCAACUCUAGUCAGGAUAACUUGUACUAGAUGUUCCCCUUUGAAAUGGCCAUUGUUGGCGCCCUUCACACUCAAUAUUUGGGGAGAGGCCCAGCGCCUCUAUAAAUAGAGCUAGCCACCACAAAGUAGAGGCAUCGGAUCCAGAUUUUGGGAAGACUAGAGAGAGAGAGAGGCGAUCAAACUCACCAAGCAGUUCAUCGCAUCAGCUCAAGAACACCUCUCGUGAGGCCGUUCUUCCCCUGUACUGUUCAUCAUCAGCCCCUGAGGCAAUCCACCACACCACACACUGGAGUAGGGUAUUACACCACAACGGUGGCCCGAACUAGUAUAAAUCGCGUGUCCCUUGUGUUGUUCAUCGUAUUCAGCUUAGAUCUCACGAGGCAAUCAGACGUAGAUUCGUAGGAGAGAGAUCUUCGUGCGCACCCCAGAGUUUGAACCUUAAGGGUCUGCCGGAACCCAACAUCCGACACUACGGGUCCAUAGCUAAUAGCUAGAUGACUUCUUCUCUCUCUUUGAUCGUCAAUACAAUGUUCUCCUCGAUGUUCUUGGAGAUUGAGGGAGUCCUGGAUCAAGGGGUCCUCGGACGGCCGUACUAUGUAGCAUGGGCCGGACUGUUGGGCCGUGAAGAUACAAGACAGAAGACUCUCUCCCGUGUCCGGAUGGGACUCUCCUUGGCGUGGAAGGCAAGACUGGCACCCGGAUAUGAAGAUUCCUUUCUCUGUAACCGACUUUGUACAACCCUAGUCCCCUCUAGUGUCUAUAUAAACCGGAGGGUUUAGUCCGUAGAGGCAAUCAUAAUCAUAUAUGCCAGACUUCUAGGGUUUAGCCAUUACGAUCUUGUGGUAGAUCAACUCUUGUAAUACUCAUAUUCAUCAAGAUCAAUCAAGCAGGGAGUAGGGUAUUACCUCCAUAGAGAGGGCCCGAACCUGGGUAAACAUCGUGUCCCCGCCUCCUAUUACCAUCAACCUUAGAUGCACAGUUCGGGACCCCCUACCCGAGAUCGCCGGUUUUGAGUUUUGACACCGACAUUGGUGCUUUCAUUGAGAGUUACGCUGCGUCAUCGCCAAAAGGUUUGAUGGCUCUGUCAAUCAUCUACAACAAUGCAUUCCAGGGGGAGGUUUUCCUCCCCGGACAGAUCUUCGUAUUCGGCAGCUUCACACUGUGGGCCAACUCGCUUGGCCAUCUAGAGCAGAUCAACAACUACGCCCGUGGCCAGCAGGUCAGGUUUGGAAGCUUGAAUUAUGUUGCCGAUAUCCGCAGAGACUUGAUCUUCGACUGAUUCGAGCCCAUGGCAGCCGCUCCCUAUCACUAUGAUGAACAUGACCUAAAUCUGUCAUCAGACCAUACCCAGGAGAUAGCGCCUGCAACUACUCUGGCCCUGGAUCCGGAGCAGAUUGCGCCGUCUGAGGAUGGGAAGCUCAACCCUGCCACGGAAGUCGCAAACUCAGCGGCAUUAGAGCCGCACACAGAUCCAACCUCGAGCGGGGCCUGUGUCAUCGGAACCUCAGAUUCGUCUCUGGCUAUAGGUUCCGAACCGCGUGCAUCCGCGCCCAUCGAACCUGAUCAGGCGCCGAUCGUUGAUUUCAGCUCUGUGAACAUCUUCUGGCACUCACCUUUAGGUGAUGUGCUAAACUCAUUAAAAGCCCUCUCCUUAUCAGGGGACUCUCAGCCGAACUGUAUCCAGUUUGGAUUGGAAGCUCAUGACGGGGAAUUCUGCUUCCCACCCACCACCCACUUCAUAGCCACUGUCGAAGACUUAACCGACAUGGUCGAUUACGGCCACGAUGCCGGAGAGGAGCGGGCACAAAAACCAGCGCUUAUAGGGCCGUGGAAAGAAACCUCCUCAUAUGACGUAUACAUGGUGGAUACACCCAAAGAGAACAAUGGCGACAAUGAAAAGGAUCCAGUCGAGGAUAAUACUCCUGAGAUACAACCAAAGCGCCGAUGUCAGCAGCGCCGCUCUAAACCACGCCGUGGAAAAAAUAGCAAUACCUACACAGGAGGAAAUAAUACUCCGGACGAUGCCGAAGACAAUGAAGACCCCAUUGAGCCAACCUCCGAACAGGAUGAACGGGAAGAUGGGCGAGUUAGCCCUGAUGAACAUGCCACGAAUGAAGACUCGGAGGAAAGUAACUACCUUCCACUCUUUGAGGAUGAGGUGAGCCUCGGCAACAAGGAUUUUAUCAUGCCUGAGGAACCUCUCAAGCAGGAGCGCUUUAAGCGCCAGCUAAUAGCCACUGCAAGGAGCCUGAAAAAGAAGCAGCAGUAGCUUCAAACUAAUCAAGAUCUGCUCAACGAUAGAUGGACUAAUGUCCUAGCAGUCGAAGAAUACGGCCUCGAGCGCCCAACCAAAAGUUACCCGAAGCACAAAUUGUUACCCCAAUUCGAUGACGAGGCGCUGGAGCCCAUCCUACCAGCACAUAAUGCGGCUGACCGACCGCCACGUGGCCGGGACAAAGCGGCAACUCAAGCCGAACACCAGCCCGUACCUCAUGGUAUGGGAUAAGACAUAACAGCUCGGGGUCAUACAUAUGACCUGCGGCAGGACCUAGACAACAGAGCAGGUCAGACCAGAUCGAUCUACAGAUCACGGGGACAUGCCCGGACGUGCAACAACGACCAUCUAGCCGGACGUGACAAACACAACCACGCCCGGGCCGAGCAUCACAGACGAACUCCAUCCGAACUACGUCGCAAGGUGGCCCGACAUAGAGGCGCCGCACACCCCCUUUGCUUCACUAAUGAAGUAAUGGAACAUGAAUUCCCGGAAGGGUUUAAACCCAUGAAUAUCGACUCAUACGAUGGAACAACAGACCCCGCAAUAUGGAUUGAAGAUUUCCUCCUCCAUAUCCACAUGGCCCGCGGUGAUGACAUCCACGCCAUCAAAUACCUCCCACUAAAACUAAAGGGGCCAACGCAGCACUGGCUGAACAGCCUCCCUGAGAACUCCAUCGGCAGCUGGGAAGACUUGGAAGACGCCUUUCGUCAUAACUUCCAAGGUACAUAUGUUCGGCCUCCGGACGCUGAUGACCUAAGUCACAUCAUUCAGCAGCCCGGGGAGUCUGCCAGGAAGCUCUGGACUAGGUUCUUAAUCAAAAAGAACCAAAUUGUUGAUUGUCCGGACGCCAAAGCCCUCACGGCCUUUAAACAUAGCGUUUGAGAUGAGUGGCUCGCCCGCCACCUCGGUCAAGAAAAACCAAGAUCCAUGGCUGCCCUUACCACUCUGAUGACCCAUUUUUGCACGGGAGAAGACAACUGGCUUGCUCGUAGAAGCAACAACACCAUUGAUCCGGGUACUUCCCAAGUUCGAGACGGCAAUGGCAAGCCACGACACAAUAAACACAAGCGUCGCAGUAACAAUGAAGGAAGGUAAGACAUAGCGGUCAACGCCGGAUUCAAUGGUUCCAAACCCGGUCAACAUAAAAAGCCAUUCAAGGCAAACAGAGAUGGAACAUCCAAUUAAGAUAAGAUACUGGACCGGUCCUGCCAGAUUCAUGGCACCCCCGCUAAACCAGCCAAUCACACCAACAUGAGCUGUUGGGUUUUUAAACAAGUCGGCAAGCUUAAUGCCGAACACAAGGUGAAGGGGCCACCCAGUGACAGCGAUGAUAAAGAGACUCGCCAGCUGAACAACGGGGGUCAGAAGCAAUCCCCCCCCCCCCCGAAGUAAAGAUAGUGAACAUGGUAUACGUGACACACAUCCCUACAGGGGACUGCAAGCGCGUGCUACGGGACGCCGGCGCCAUAGAGCCAGCCGCCCCAAAAUUAAGCCAAUGGGCAGCCCGCCCGAUCACUUCUGAUCGCAAGGACCACCCAGCCUGUAUCCUUCAUGAAGGUCUGGCAGCUCUCAUCCUCGAUCCAAUUAUCGAUGGGUUCCAUCUCACGAAAGUCCUUAUGGACAGCGGCAGUAGCCUUAAUCUACUCUACCAAGACACUGUCCGCAAAAUGGGCAUUGAUCCUUCAAGAAUCAGGCCCACCACAACUACCUUCAAGGGAACAAUAUCCAGCGUUGAAGCUCACUGCAUGGGCUCGAUUACAUUGGAAGUCGUUUUCAGCUCGCCGAACAACUUUCGAAGCGAAGGCUUGACCUUUGAUAUUGUCCUGCUCCGCAGUAGCUGCCAUGCACUACUCGAGCAUACCGCUUUUGCUCGUUUUAAUGGGGCCCCGCAUUACAACUAUCUCCAACUUAAGAUGCCUGGUCCAUGCGGCACCAUCACGAUAAAUGGAAAUACGGAAUGCUCCCUCCGUACAGAGGAACACACUACGGCUACUGCGGCCGAAGUACAAAGCGGCCUUAUCAAGCCGCACAUUUCGUCGGCCGUCAAGCCGCUGGUCUCCAUUAGACAUGACCAAUCAAUCUCAGAGCUGAAUUAGCAGUUCGACCUCCACCGUCCGCCCCAUAUAGCCGUGAAGUUUGUCCCCCACACAUAAUUAUACACUUAAAAUACCCUAGUCACCGGCGGAGGCACAAUGCAGACAGACCUAUAACAUUAUCCGCACACUCAUAGUCUUUUCCUUUUUCUAACCAUUUUUUAUCUUUUACCACAGGUGACUAUAUUUGCUGAGAAGUCCUUUAACCAAGGCAAGGCAGCGCAGACGUGCGACAAGAGGUCCAAAUGUUUUUUGUAGACCGCACUCUUUAUUUCAAACCUGUAAAGUGCCCUUCUUCUCAGCUUUCGACCCCCGGCAUGUCAAGUAGCCUUGGUAGUAGCGUUAUAAUCUGUAAAGAUCGCGCUUGACGUAUCAUUCAGAUGCUAGUCAACAUAACCCGUAUUCAGUAUUUGCUUUUCUCAAAGAACUGAAUUUUGCUUCUGUGGUUAUUUCACAAACGCACCUCGGCAUAUAUUGCCAGGGGCUCGAUAUGGCAACAUAUGAGUCGCCGACAAGUCCGAACAGCUUCAUAGCACACUUCGGCGUCACGAGUUUGGCCUUAUAUGCAUCAACUCUGAAUCAUGUCUUUGGUCAAUAGUUGGGUUGUCCGGCUCCUGUGCUUACUACCUUACGUUCCGCUCUAUCGGCUAGGGUAGUAAAGGGAGAACUACUGCGAUUGUGUCCUGGUUUGUCCGGAUGAGCACCUCAGUAGAGAAAGCCGAAAACUGACUGUCAUGAUGCGGCGAGAGCUGGUCAACCACUCGAUGACUCACGGAAUCUUCACGAUUCCUUCCGUAUUACACGAAGGACCGUUCUGGUCACGUAUGUAAACGCACCGUAUUCGGAUAACCGCGUACAUACCAGGGGCUAUAUCGUAGACCCACUGUCAAACUCCUAUGGCUAAGUGAAAGUGUUAAAUCCCUAUAGUCCGAUUGCCUGGUUCGCCGCAUUGACACCUCCUUAAUGGACCAAGACUUUGGGUCAAGAGUGAUCAAGUGCUUUUCCGAACACCCCCGCAUUAUAUGCGAGGGGGCCGAAGCCGAUGACUGGUAAACUUUCAGAUUAUACAAAAAAGGCCACACAGGAGGCACCAAAAACUUUUUAGGCAAAAUUAUUAAAAACAUAGCCCUAAUAUAUCAUAAUAUUGUUUUUACAAUUUUGGUACACUUCACUCGAACAUAAUAUCUUUUGAGCACUGACCCUCUAUCAAGCGGGCACCCUCUAGGACAUCCUCAAAAUAAUGAUCUGGCGUGUGAUGGUCCUUGCCCUUGGGUGGACUUUUCGCUGCAAUAUCGAUGGCCUUCAUCUUCGCCCAGUACGUCUUGACACGGGCAAGGGCCAUCCAUGCACCUUCUAUGCACGUUGACCGCUUAACAGCGUUGAUACGGGGCGCCGCAUCAACAAGUCGCUGCACCAAACCGAAAUAACUAUUCGGAAUUGGCUCGGUCGACCACAGCCAGACCACGACGUCCUUCAUGGUAGAGCCGGAUAUCUUGUGGAGCUCGGCCCACUGGGCCAUCUGUUCGUUCAGCAACAGCGGACGCUUUGGCAUGCUGAAUUGCGACCAGAAAAGUUUUUCCGUCGCAUGUCCUUCUUGCGCUUGGAAAAACUGCGUCGCAUCGGAGACACUCUUCGGCAAGUCCAAAAUGCGUCUAGAGAACUCCACAUUUGAUUAAGCGGGGCAUACUUCGGAUCGCUGAAUUUAGUUUGUAAUAAGAAGGGUUUACCAGCCGCGAUCUCCCCAGCUUGUCGGAUCUCCUCCCGAGCCACUCUAGACUCUGACCGUGCUUCCCUCGCCUCUUGUAAGGCCUUGUCAAGAUCGAUUGCUCUGGUUUUGUUAUCUUUCUCGAGAAAUUCACAUCGGCUAAUGGCAUCCUUUAGCUCAAGCGCCAUAGUAGAUAUUCUCUCCUCGCACUAGCGCCGAGCAGCCUGUUCGGCCUUUAAUUCAGCAGCUGCCUUUUCGGCAGCCGCAUUACUCAUCCUGGCUUGCUCCUUGGCCCGGGCAAGCUCAGCCCGAAGGGUCUCAACUGCGGCGGCACUAUCUGCAGUUAUGCAUAUCUCAUUAUACAAUUCUCAGCGUCAUGCUCAUAUUAUAGUACUUGCAUAUACUGACUGUCCCAAAAACAUACCUUGCGCCUCGUCGAGCCGCCUGUUAAUAAGCGUGAUGUCAUCAUCCACCACAUUAAGUCGCUGCUUCAGAUCUGCAACCUCUGUAGCUUGGGCAAUCGCCAGGGAUGUAAAAGCCUGUGUUCCAAUUAGUCAGAUUAUUUCCUGGGCAUAUCUUUCUUGAUCCUCUGAUCGCCUCCCUUCGGACGCCAACAAGAGUCUCAGGGGCUACUAUCUAUACACAGGCGCAUUUUGCGUUUAUAGCACAAUUGAAAAUAUUACAUUACAUACGUUGAAGCCUCUUAGCAGGCCCGUAAAGGCUUCAUUCAAUCCGCUUUUCGCGGACAGAACCCUCUCAACUACCGUACCCAUCAAGGUAUGAUGUUCCUCGGAGACGGGCGCAUGUCACAAUAUGUCCAUCAAUGUAUCUGGUGCCUCCAGAUCCCUAGAAGCAGCUGUAGGGGUACAGACUCCCUUCAAAGGAAUAUGUUUACUCGACCUUAGAGUCGUCUCUAGCUGUAAAUCGGAUAGUCCGGGGCCUUUGUUGUUGGUCCGCGUAGGGGCCGCACACCCCGGACCCUAGACGGCCGAAGUAUCACCUUCGGGCCUAGUCUUCAUUGUCCCUCGCACCACUUGUUGAUCGGGAGAGAUCCUCCGGUACGACAUCUCGAGGUCGUCUGCCCUAUUGGGCAGGGAUAUCUGUGGAGGCGUCUUGCUCUCCAUCAUCUCCGGAAGAAGAUCCCUCGAGGAGGAGGACUGUUGAGGAAGGUUGCGUGCCGGACUGCAAACAUAUAUUUUAAAUAUUUCCCUUGCAACCAGGAAAGAACGGGAUAUGUUUAAAACACCCUUGUUCACUUACCAUUCAGCUAAGGGCCUAUCCUUACGGAGGAACUGUGUGACAAGGUCGCCUCCCGAACCAGAACCCCCUGACAGGGAUAUCUUCUCUCGCUUAGAAUCCUUUAUCUUCGAGUCUUCGGAGGCGGUCCUCUUCUUCCCAUGGGGAGAAGGGAUGUCAGUUUCUCCUUCCCUUUCAUCUUCGGAAGAGGGAGUUCCAAUCUCCCCGAACGAGGUGUCUGGUGUACCUCUAGAAUGGGGGCCAGCCUGGGCCUUCUUGCUCUCCUCCUUGUCUUCCUUCGCCGGCACUUGAUAUGGUGUCGAAACCAGCAUCCUUGUUAACACCAGAUCAGCUGAGUCUUCGGGAAGAGGGGCCGAACACCUAAUUCUCUCCGCCUUCUUUAUCCAGCCCUGGCCGAGUAUGGUUUUCUCAGUAUAUUGUUAUGGGAAAUUUAACUAAGUUGUGUUCAAGAGUUGAGUGCUUACCGAGGUAUCCGGAUGGUUGCAGUCAAGGCCGAUGUCCUCUGUAGUAUCCGGACACUGUUUUCAUGUCCCGGAGAAUAAUUUCCACAUUCCUCUGAGCGUCGUGUCGUAGAAGUGCUGAAGGGUUCGUGGUCCUUCUGGAUUGAACUCCCACAUGCGGAGAGGCCGUCGCUGGCACGGUAGGACCCGACGGACUAGCAUUACUUGGAUUACGUUGAUAAGACCAGUGUCCUUUUCAAUGAGGCUCUGAAUGCGGCUUUGCAGCGUCCGCACUUCAUCAAUUGAUCCCCAGUCCAGCCCCUUAUUAAUCCAUGAUGCAAGCUGUAACAGAGGGCCAAAUCGGAAUGCAGGUGUAGCUGCCCACUUGGUACCACGGGGUUCACUGAUGUAAAACCACUCCCACUGCCAUAGGUUGGAAGUUUCUAUGAAGGAGCCUUUUGGCCAAGGAGUAUUGGUGAGUUUGCUCACUGCGGCCUUGUUUGGUUCAACUUUUAUCGAUGCAUUCCGCUGCCGCGCAGCAGAAUCUGAACCAAAGGGCGAACCUAGCAUAAUCCGAUUCCAGAAAUCCGCUGCUAAAAUCUGAACCAAAAGCGGAAGCAGCCCAGGACGUGCUUUUCAAAAUCUGAUUCCGCUGCGGGCCAAAAUCUAAAAAAGUUGUAUCAGCUGGUUUGCCAAAUGACCUACAUCUUUUUCACAUCAGAUUUUCCACAGUUGUUUUUCCACAGCAAAUUUUUCACAGCUGCUUUUAGGAAUCAACAACCGAACCAAACAGGGCAUGCAGCACCACCGCACUCUGCUUGUUUCCCGUCGACUACCUUCGGCUUCACAUUAAAGGUCUUGAGCCACAAGCCGAAGUGUAGGGGAAUAUGGAGGAAGGCCUGGCACAUGAUAAUGAACGCCGAGACGUGAAGAAAGGAGUCCGGAGCUAGAUCGUGAAAAUCUAGCCCGUAAUAGAACACGAGCCCUCGAACGAAGGGAUGGAGAGCGAACCCUAGCCCUCGGAGGAAGUGGGAGAUGAAUACGACCCUCUCGCCGGAUCUGGGAGUAGGAAUAACCUGCCCUUGAGCAGGAAGCCUGUAGAGGAUUUUCACGGUCAGGUAUCUUGCCUCCCGGAGCUUCGUGAUAUCCUCCUCUGUGACAAAGGAAGCCACCCACCGGCCUUGAGGGCUGGGUCCGGACAUGACUAGGAAGCGCGGAGCGAUUAACUUGAACCAUGGGUGCUGGAACUCGAGGUGGGAGAGGGUGAGGAAAGGGUUGGCGUAAAGGAGAAAAGACGGGUCUUAGCCCCUUUAUAAAGGCGAUGAAUAUCAAAUGUCCCCUCCUAGGCCUUAAAACCUGCCUUUUCCCAAGGAAUCAUGCCAACAGAACAGUUGGGUUACCCACGCCCGUAUUGAUGAGAAUCCCACAAUAAGGGGACACGAUCUCUACUUUGACAAGACGUGCCAAUGAAACCGUAUCUCGAAAUAUGGAGCGGCAGGCUAAAAAUGGUUCAAAAUAAUGGUCGGGCGGCGACGUGACGUCAUGCUACAAAAAUUAACAGCGGAUUGGACUCGUGAAAUAUUAUACUCUCUACGGUUGUGUGUGGAAUUUGUUUUGCAGAACCGUACACAACUCUUGUGUUCAAAGACUAUUUUGGAGUAUUCGGAGAAGGAACCCGCUUUGCAAUGCCGAAGACAAUUCGCGUGUCGGACACCUCGUCAUUGAAGCCUGGUUCAGGGGCUACUAAGGGAGUCCUGGAUUAAGGGGUCCUUGGACGGCCGGACUAUGUAGCAUGGGCUGUGAAGAUACAAGACAGAAGACUCUCUCCCGUGUCCGGAUGGGACUCUCCUUGGCGUGGAAGGCGAGCUUGGCGCCCGGAUAUGAAGAUUCCUUUCUUUGUAACCGACUUUGUACAACCCUAGUCCCCUCUAGUGUCUAUAUAAACCGGAGGGUUUAGUCCGUAGAGGCAAUCAUAAUCAUAUAUGCCAGACUUCUAGGGUUUAGCCAUUACGAUCUUGUGGUAGAUCAACUCUUGUAAUACUCAUAUUCAUCAAGAUCAAUCAAGCAGGAAGUAGGGUAUUACCUCCAUAGAGAGGGCCCGAACCUGGGUAAACAUCGUGUCUCCCGCCUCCUGUUACCAUCAACCUUAGACGCACAGUUCGGGACCCCCUACCCGAGAUCCGCCGGUUUUGACACCGACAGAGAUCUAUUUGAUGUAAUCUUCUUUUGCGAUGCGUUCAUUGAGAUCCGAUGAAUUAUGAAUUUAUGAUCAAAUUAUCUAUGAAUAUUAUUUGAGUCUUCUCUGAACUCUUUUAUGCAUGAUUAAGAUAGCUUUGUAUUUAUCUUUGAUCUAUUGAUUUGGUUUGGCCAACUAGAUUGAUUUUUCUUGCAAUGGGAGAGGCGCUUUGUAAUGGGUUCAAUCUUGCGGUGCUUAUUCCCAGUGACAGAAAGGGACAUGACACGUAUUUGUAUUGUUUUCCACUAAGAAUAAAAAGAUGGGGUUUGUUCAUAUUGAUUGGAUCUAUCCCUCUACAUCAUAUCGUCUUGCUUAAGGUGUUACUUCGUUCUUGUUAACUUAAUACACUAGAUGCAUGCUGGAUAGCUGUCGAUGUAUGGAGUAAUAGUAGUAGAUGUAGGCAGGAGUCGGUCUACUUGUCACGGACGUGAUGCCUAUAUUCAUGAUCAUUGCCUUAGAUAUCGUCAUAACUAUGUGUUUUUCUAUCAAUUGCUCAACAGUAAUUUGUUUAUCCAAUGUAUGCUUUCUUUCAAGAGAAAAGCCUCUAGUGAAAACUAUGGCCCCCGGGUCUAUUUUGAUCAUAUUAUUUUCAAAUCUAUAAAAUCAAAAACACAAAAAUACCUUGCUGCAAUUUAUUUACUUUUAUCAUAUUUUGCACUUUUAUUUAUCUUUUAUAUCUAUCACCAUCAAAUCUCAUCCUUUCAAGUAACCGUGAAGGGAUCGACAACACCUUUACCGCGUUGGGCGCAAAUAUUUGUUUGUUGUGUAGGUGCAACCAUUGGUGACUUGUGUGUUCCUCCUACUGGAAUGAUACCUUGAUUCUCAACUGAGGGAAAUACUUAUCUCUACUUUGUUGCAUCACCCUUUCCUCUUCAAGGGAAAAACCAACGCAAGUUCAAGAAGUAGCACAGUGCGCUCGACGAGCACCGCUUCAAAGGCGUCCGCGUCGGGCCCGACGAGGUAGUCCUCCGGGCAGAUGAGGCCGCGGUCGCGCGGCCGCUCCUCUCCCGGCUCGAUCUUGACGGCGCAGAGCGGAGGAAGCUCGUCGGGCUCCCCGUUCACUGGAAGCAGCGACGCGCCAAAAGAACUCCCCGCGUCGGAAGAGCUCCCCGUGUCGAAGCGUCGUGCAUGGCGGCGGUCGUACUCCUUUGUCUCGCGGCGAAGGAGGGACGCCGACACCGAGAACCCGUAGUUCGUGUAGCGCUUGGCCGUGCGCUUGCGCGCCGCGUCGGCGGUGACGCAACGCUUGCGCUCCGGGUCAACGCCGUCAUCGCGCCAGCCAGAGCUCCACAUCGUCGUAGAUCGAUGGGCGGGGGUGGCGUAUUUAAGCUCAUCGGCAGCCAGAAAUCGAAGAGGGAUUUGGGAAUCGUGGCGGGGGAGGGAUAGAGUUUCGGCCCGUAUACUCACGGCAAAACCCGUAGAUAUACCGUGUGGGCGGGGAUGGUUUGUGGGCCACCGUAAAAUCUUUUACGGGCUGGGCGAAUAUACGGGCUCUGGUCUAGCCAAAAAAAGACCAAACCCGUAUAGUCGCCGAAUUUUUACAGUUCACGCGAAUAUAAAGAGUCUGCUAGAGAUGCUCUAAGAGAAGUAGGCAAUAUAAGGGGUCUACUAGAGAUGCUUUAAGAGCAGUAGGCACGGGAAAAUGAUGGAAGCCUAAAGAACUCGGUUCCUGUUCUAUCACUAGAAGAGGUUUUGGUUUGAGCUUUCCGGAUGCCUCCCGUGCCUAUUGUUCUUUGGUGUUCCUUCAUCUUCCUUUUGGAUUGCAACAUAAAAAGAAUUCAGGAUAUAAUAUGAUUUUAUUCAAGUUAUUUCUUUGGCAUGCAUUAAUCCAUUGAUAAGGUAAUAUAAGAUGGUGGCAUGGUUUGGUUUAUACUUUAUUAUCCUCUCUGGUUGAUGCUAGAGAUAACACGAAUUUCAAAUCUCGAAUUCUGAACCGACGAAUUCGUGAAAAUUCAGUCAUACAUAGAUUGUAGUGAAGUAUAGCACACUUGUCAAUUUGCCUGUCACGUACUCCAUCCGUUCCCAAAUAUUUGUCUUUCUAGACAUUUCAAAUGGACAACAUACAGAUGUACGUAGACAUAUUUUAGAGUGUAGAUUCACUCAUUUUGCUUCGUAUGUAGUCACUUGUUGAAAUCUUUAAAAAGACAAAUAUUUGGGAAUGGAGGGAGUAGAAACUACACUGCUAAUUUUCAUUUUUCGUCAAAGUUGAGUGCAAUAACAUUUCACAUAAAUGGCUAACAUAUACUAUUAGAGACUGUUGACUGAACGGAAUGAAAAUUGAGAACAGAGAUAAUACUACAUCAAAAAUAUAUAGAUAGCACAGAGAAAUCUGAAGCCCAUAAGAAUUUACUAUAUAAUUGCAGCAAAUAGUCAUUGGAAAAUAAUUAGGUGCGAGACUCGACUACUUUGCAUAUUUCAUCUAACAGGAUUGUUAACUACUUGUCCUAUUGAGAUACCGAAUGAUACUGUAACAAAGGGAGGCUUCAGCCAAUUCGACUUCGCAACAGAAAGUAAAACAUUACCCUUAUUUACUAUGUUAGCUAGAUGGUAAGCCAACUCCCCAUCUCUAUAAUCAGAUCUCCUUGUUUGUUGCUCGCAAACUUCAAAGUUUGAUGCCCUUCGCCUUUACAUUUGCCAUGCUAGCCAGCCCACUCGCUGUCUCUGAACCCACCAUGGUCGGCGUCUCAACAGGAUCCACGAGGUCGACCGCCCUGUGUGGCUUCCUCCUUGUGUAUGUGUAAGGGAGUCUAUGUCCUUCAACUCUUGUAGCAGAGUUCAUGAAAGGAGGUGCCUUCGUCUUCAGUCCAUCAUGAUGCUGUUUGAGCACUGUUUCAGACUGCAUCGGGAAGUUAUAAGGUGGGUUUGUGCUUGCACCAAGGGUAAGCAUCUCAGAAAUAAUGUCAGCAUUUCCUGGGUUGGACAUUUUCAUCAAUCCGUUCGUCUCGUGGCCAACGGCGGUUCUCGUAUACAGACCAGGAGAACUUUCAGGAACCAUGGCACCCGGCCGACCAAAGUUCUUCAAAAGGUUCUUCUCAUGGAGGGAUUCUCUUGUGUCGUUUCCUUCAUUCGAAUAUGCUGUGAUAGGUUUAGCUGCUGACUGAUACCCACUCAACACUGCAGAAUGGUUGCAUGUUUUGAGAUCCUCUAAAACAGCAUGCUGGACUCCAAAUGGGCUUUUGACCAAGAUAGGGUAAGUUUCCAGUGCACCCUCCGCCUGCCAGGAUUUUGAGCUUGAGCUGCCUAAAGAACUUCUCCUUGUGUUUAUGUAUAAAGGAUAAGAUGGAUUCACAGAAAAAUUAUGUACAUGCUGUGAAAAAGCAUAAGGAGAAAAGGUGGAGACCUGCACUCCCAGCUGAGGGAGUGGGAUCAGUCCUGGUGUAGGAUGUAUUCCUGCAUUGCCAUCAGCAAGGGAAUCACUGUCGGCAUUUGCUUUAAGCACGACUUUUGGUGGUUUGCUACAUUUUUCACCGGGCACAUCUCGAAGGUGAAAAAUGUGACUAUUCGAUGAGCUAAUUUCCACUGAUUUUGCUCCAUGGACUAUCUCCUUGUAUUUGGCUGACCAAUUGGUACUUGAUGUCCCUUCUAUAAGUUUAGCUCGCUUCAAUGGUGCAAAACUGGCAGCUUCAACCUUGCCAAUAUUUGAUAGUCUUGCAUUCAAAGGAGAACUGUUUGGAUCUGCAAAUGUGAGAAGCUUCUCUUGUAUCCAGUUGUGCCAAAUGUGAAUCUUCUCCUCAAGACUAGUAUCCACAAGAUUUCUUCUCCACAGCUUGUCCAUGCACGCAAACUUCCAAACAAUGCCAUCAUGAUACAACUUCAGAAAAUGAUAAUACCUUCGUCUCUGAAAGUUCAUCAGUAAUUCUCUUGCCCGAGAAACUUCUGGAGAAUAAAAUCCACCAUUCAAUCUGUCAAAAAACCCUCUAAGUGGACUCCCAAAGAACAUAGCACUGCCACUCAAGAGCUCCAUCAUUGUUGUAAACAAGUCAUGUUGGUCCAUGUCCGGGAGGUAUGCUGCUAGACGGAAUCUAUCGUCUUCUGUUAGACAUGAGUUCCACGUCUCCAGAGACAGUAUGUCAUUUAACCCAGGCAGAUCAUAAAGCCCAUAAGGCACAUUGCACAGCUGGCCUCCAGACAUUGCAAGCUCACAAUCGACCUUCGCAUGUUCGCAGUCAUCGGCAGAAUCAUGAACAGGAAAGCUCUCAAGCAGUAAUUUCUCCUCUUGUGUAAGGUCCUCAUUUUCACGGCUGUAACCACACUUCGCUAUAGGCGCACCACUUGCAACCUUCACAAUGCCCAUUGAUGAUGAAGAAGAAGAGGCCCAAUACACCAAUCAGUAUCAGAGACAAUCACAAAAGAGAGUCCGCGAUGAUUUCAGCACAAUACCACACUAUCCAGUAGAAGACCCCUGUGAGAAAAAGGAGCAAACAAGCACUUAUCAGCAAGAUAGCACCCAAGACUAACCAAUAGUUCAACUUGGAAAUCACUGUUCAUGAAUUGUCAUACAGCAAAAAUGAUGCAUGCCAGAACUUAAACCACUGGAAAUAUAAAAAACCCUACAUUACUGUAACGUAUACGCCAUAAGCAACAUUGCCUCCAGUGAUCGAACCAACUUUUUUUUUUAGAAAAGGAGGAUGACCCCCGGCCUCUGCAUCUGGGCGAUGCAUACGGCCACUUUAUUAAUUAUUCUCACAAGACCUUACAAAGAAAUACAACAGUAAGACUAAAGCCACCGUCUAAGCAACAACUGUCGCUACGCCUAUCCAAAUGAUGAAGGGGCGCUGAUAGUCUGGGCCUAAUACCAAACAGACAUCGCAGCCAAACCUAAACAUCUAAGACCUGAGGUUCCAACCAGGACGCCUACCUGGUAUGGGGCACCUACCAGUCCGGCGCACUUCUCAACCAGGACGCCUGCCGGGUAUGAGGCCGCCGCAGCCACCUGCCACGAGUCCAUCUUUAGAGCUGUACUGUUGCAUCUACCAUGCCAGAUCUCUCUGCCAUCGACGUCACCACGACGCCAGACAGCGUCGUCCUCCUGCGCGAGUCCAUCCUCCCACAUCAAACUCCGAAUCUGCACUGCGCCAUGCCGUCAAGAUCCGUCGCCAUCAAUGUAUGGAUGAAACACCGAUCCACCAAAGAAACCGUCCGCUGGUCCCGCGAAGCAAGGCUCAGCACCAAGUAGAAGGCCGAAGCGCACCGCCACCACGCCACCAGCAGCCCCGCCACCAAGAGUUGUUCCCAGCCGCCGCCUUCAAGAAGGAGCACGACACCAGGGUGCCGUCGACGCCCAGACCAGGGGAACAAAAGCUUUCGCCAUAGCUCGAGGAGGAGGCGGAAGGGAGAGGAUCCACCCCAAAGCCUUCAGGAAGGGGAUCGGCGCCAAAGGCGUCGACUUUGGGGAGGCUGCCGCGCCAGCCAGGGGUUUCCCCCGGAACCUCACCCGCACGCCAGAUCCGCCAGGCCGGCCAUAGGGGACGCCGAAGCCGCCGCCAAGGACCGGCGCCAGCACGGAUCGGGACAGAUCGAAGCAGAGGCGGAUCUUCUACAUGGAGCCAUGACGGAUUGCGAGGAACCGCCACUGCGCCAGCGUCCGCAGCCCCCACGCCGCCCGCGCGGCCGUGGGAGGCUGCCCACCAGAGCCCGCCGACACAGCCCGCCGGCUGCACCGCGCCCAUCCCGCCGCCACCAUCAUUGGGAGGCCCUCAGGCGGCGGCAGAGGGAGGGGAGGCAAGGGGGAGGCGCGGCGGCGGCGCUAGGGGGCGUCACCACCACGCCAGAUCCACCUUCCUCGCCGCCAACAGAAGCCGGCGGGCCAGAUCGGGCGCGGACCAAAUCUGGCGCCUAAGCACCCGCACGCCUACGCCGCAGCCACGGCCGGCCAAGCUCCAGGCCACGCCACUCCACCCACCACCAGAAGCAGGAGGGGGGCUGCCACCCCACCCCGACGCGCCGAGAGUACAGAGACUCGCCGGCGCCGCCGCACCGGCCGGACGGCCGAAAAAACCGCCAGCCAAGGAGGCGUUGCAAGGGCUGACGGAGGAGGAGCGCGAGACGGAGCAGAGGGCCGCCGGGGAGCGCCGCGACGGCCGCAGCGCCGGAGGCCGAGCCUCCCCCCACCUGGAGCCCUCGCCGUCGAGAACGACGCCGCGCGCGCGAGCGGGAAGCCCCGCCGCCGCCGUCCGCCGCGCGGGCUUCGCCCGGCAGUUUCCUCCGGCGGCGGCGCGGCAGGGGGAGCCGGGGAGAGGGGGUGGCGGCGCGGCGGGCUAGGGUUCCCCCGAGUCGCCUCCUAGGCGACGCGGGGGUCGGGGUCGGGCCCUCUGUCCAGUGAUCGAACCAACUACACGGUCCAGAAGUAUGAACAUCACAUUGGACAAAUAAAUCCUUCUAACCCUUCUCUUCCAAACAGUAAAACGUAUCACAUCUUCUCUACCAUUUCUAUUUCUGUUGGCCUAACUUGUACAAUCACCUAGAACACUUGUACGAUCAACUAGACAGUAUAGAGACUAACCCCACCAGAGAAAAAUCUAACAAAAAAUGACCUAAAUUCGGACCUCCUAGAACCGGAUCGCGCAUUCCACAAACUGGAGCACAAACUGAAGCCGCGAGACACGCAUGCACCGCAUGCAAUUCCGGGAAGCAGAAGCGCCCCCACACAGGUACCACGAAAUCACACGCACAAUUAGCAAUAACUGAAGCUCAAGCCACCAACCUGCCCUACGAUCCGGCCGCCGAUUCUCCCCGCGAAUCCGAGUGAGCUACGUGCCCACACCCAACGAAUCGGGCCCGGCGGCCGUCCCACCGCGCGGAAUCGCGGCUGGAGACGGCGAACUGCCCGGCGGAACGGGGGAUCGAGGGGGUGAUGCCGCGCCGAGGGAGAGGAGGCGGCGGAGGAGGGGAGGGGAGGGGAAAGGCGAGUGGAGGAGCCUCUGGGCUGGGGGCGAGAUGGACUGGUGGUGAUGGCGCAGUCUGUGCCGCGGUACUGUUUCCGCCGCGCUGGUGCUUUGCCCCCAUUUCGUGCCGUGUGGAAAUCGGAGCGAUUACUGCUCUGACCAGCGACAACUGCUUUCCUUCGCUGUUUCCCCUGGUUUUCCGCUUCUUUAUUUUCUCGCUUUCUCAGCCGGAUCCCCCUCCCCGUCCGCCGUGUUCUAUUUCUACGAGAGCAAACACGCGUUUUAUCCGCUUUUCAUUAGUUUGGGUUUGACUCGUACAUCUCCGUGUGCCAAACCGACCGACCCAGUUCUCAUCCACGCAGAAAACAAUCUGAAUUUAAAUAAGGCUCGUGGCCAGACAUCAUUCGAGCGGCCAUGCCAUUGCCUAGGGUUCAUGCCGACGCCAUGCCAACCUAAAAAGACACGCAGUUCAUGUUGUCGCACUUGUCAGCGGCCGACGCACAUGCCAACACACAAAAAGGGGCGGGAAUUCAACCAUGUCAUCUCGUCCGUGGUCAUGCCGGCACACUUGACGGUAUACAAAAAAAGAUGACGCUCUUCCUCAUAGAUCAAUCAUCAAGCUUGGAGUAAAUUGCACAGAAGUACCACGAUUGGGGCAUUGGAAGCAGAUUGGUACCAAGAUUGGUAAUUUUUACGUGUCAGUACGAAGAUUGGGGCGAGCCGUUGCAAAAAAGACUAAAAGUGUGUUUUAUACGUAUUGACAGAAAAGCUGACCGGUUGGGCCCGCCCGUCAGGCGCCACGCUGGCCAGUGCACGCGUGCCCGCGCGCUGACUGGGCGCUGACUGGGACGAGGCCAGCUCGCUUUUAGGGCGCGGCUGGUGCGGUCGAGCCACACCCCGCUCAUUCCCCCCGCUCUGUUCUGCGUUCUUCUUCCUUCUCUCUGCCUCACCGCCGCCUGCGCCCGCCCCCGCCGGCCGCCACACGACGCUGCCGCAGCCAUGGUUUUUGAAGACGAGAGCAGCGACGAGAACUCAAGCCUCCCGUACAUGCACUCCAAAACCUCCACCGAUGGGCUCAACCAGGUCAGUUACUCCAUUGGAGCUAGGGUUAGGGCUAGGUUUAGGAAAAUUUGGGGAUUUUUCUGUGUAGGUGGUCUUUGGUGUGAGGAUUUCGUUUGAUUUGCUUUGUCCUCGUCCUCUGCACAUGAUGCUAACUUGGAUUUUGCUUGGGCAGGUGCCUUUCUCUCUUCAGGACCCGGAUUACAAUGGUCUUGAGCUAGAUCUGAUAGUGUUGUGCGAGAAGCAUGGGAAGCCAUCAGAGAGGCUUGUUGCAUUUGAAGGAACAAUGAUUGGGAGAAGGUUCUUAGCAUGUGCAGAGCCGGUAUUUUUCUUGCCUUAUUGAUUAUGCACAGGAUAUGUUCAUUGGAAGUGACAGAGUCUUGUUUGCCAAUUGUGAUUCAGUUAUGUGAUUGGUAAUUUUGUUAGUCAUAUAUGCCAUACUGUAGUGCUCAUUGUAGGAAUGGUGAAUAUUAUGGUCAGUGGAGUGCAUUUAGGCUAAAUAUAGGCUCAAGCAUGCUCUGUUGUGUGCACAUGAAUGCUCUGUUGUGUGCACAUGCUAUUUAUUUAUACUUGUAUGCAAUGUUGCUUAGUACUCACAUUAUCCCCUCCAUUAGCUGAUGUGUGACUCUUAAUAAGUAACUGUUGCUUACUGCUGACAGUAGGUACUGUCAUUAGCUAGUUUGUUCCUGCAGGCUAAUGUAGUGUAUUUAGCUAGGCUAAUGUAGGAUUCCAUUAUAUUAAUGGUCAAUUAUAAGUUGGUUAUUAUGCAAAGUUGAAUGGAGUGUUACUCUGCUAAUUAUAUACUGAUCACCAUCUUGCUUAGCACAUGGUUGUGCAAAUUCAGUGUUGGUCAGUACCAACAUUAGCUACUGGCAUGAACUAAUUGUUGCUUAGUACUAUUAGUAGUUGUAUUGUACUAAAUUUUGCCUUGUUAUUUUUCCAGGAAGGUCAGAAUUGUGGGUUUGUUCAGUGGGUUGAUGAGAAGUGGCCCCCAACAAUGGAGAAU
Molecule: long non-coding RNA, 97686 nt
Filed under: Triticum aestivum (bread wheat)
Lineage: Eukaryota; Viridiplantae; Streptophyta; Magnoliopsida; Poales; Poaceae
Description: long non-coding RNA (TAES_LNC015993)
Source: RNAcentral